This 126153-nucleotide long non-coding RNA is filed under the name Triticum aestivum (bread wheat). Its description in RNAcentral is "long non-coding RNA (TAES_LNC006810)". Lineage: Eukaryota; Viridiplantae; Streptophyta; Magnoliopsida; Poales; Poaceae. The record is from RNAcentral.
UCAUGGCUGAAUCAACGAAGCCUUCUUCUUCCAUCUCCAGCUCUGCACUUAGAACGGAUGAGUAGGACUGGGAGAUGCUAGUGAUGAUCUCGAAUACUUUCGGUCUUCGAUUUCUUUCGGUUACCUCUCAUCUUCAGUUUCCUUCCUGCCUUCUAUCUUCGACCAAGCUCGCCUGAUCAAACUGUUCUUAUUAUGUCGCUGCUGAUUGCAGUGGCACACUUUGUACAUAGAAGUAGCAAUAUUUGGUCGGUGAGUUGUUUGAAAGAGUAUUAAAAUGUGCAGGCCCUUGAUUUCUGUCGUGAAUGAACAUGUCUGUUUUCUAACUUCAGUAAACUUAUCUCUAGGAGCUCUUCUAAGAUACUCCAAAUUAUUAAGAGUAGUUCAAUUUUAACAAUCUAACGGCUAAUAGUGUCUCUUAGAGCAACUCUAGCAAAGUAUAUAUGCGAUCGCCACACUGCAUAUGAAGUGUGCUUCAUUUGCAUUUGCAGGUUACGCAGGCAGCACACAAGCUCGGAUCUUCACCUUCAUAAAUAUUUUUUUUCACGUCAAACACUUACAUUCCCUCAAGACGUAAACGUUUAGCACAUCAAGAAAACAUGCACGUAGUUUUCGACAAGUUGCAUGAACAAAAACAUUUAAACCAGAACACAUGUACAAGUCACAUGUUGUCGUCGUGUGCACCAUCCCAUCCUUCUCCCACGUGUGCAUUGUGCCAUCUUUCAAGGUUCUGAAACAUAUGAUCAUAUCUCAUGCCUUCUUCCGAAAAUCUCGCACCACUGAAUCCAUUUGGAUCGGAUCCAACAUGAUGAGCCAUUUAUGCUCGAUUAUGUGUUUUUCUCUCAGUCGAUUCUCCUUAAGUUGGAGCCUACAUGCCUCCAUCUUCUGCUGAUUUUUGAGCCUACAUACCACCAUCUCUUCCCGACGUCAUAUGCUCUCUGCAUAGCAUCUCAUCUCGCCCUCUUCCUUUGCUUCUUCUUCUCCUCCAUCUCUAGCUUUGCUUGAUUCCUCUUCUCGUAUACUUUCUUGUCCUCAUCAACUCAUCCAUCUUUUUUCAUCACCUCCGCCUCUUCUUUUCUCUUGAGCUUCUCCUUUCCAAACUUUCUCCUAUCAGGCCGACCUAUGCUAUAUGCCAGAGUGGGAUUUCUGGGCACCUUUCCUUUUCCUCUCCAACACCAUCAUCAUCUUCACCGCCAUCCAUCUCUGGAGAGGAAUUGCUGCACUUCCCAGCUUUUGGACUGCCAUCAUUCCAACAAAUUCUAGUAAUGUUGGAGGACAGACAAUUUUCCCGUUGACUUGCCCAUUUAUCGGCACCUCUCUUGGGCUAAGUUAACAUAAAACAAACAAAUGCUAAAAAUGGUGAGAAUUUUCGAAGUAAUGCAAAUGUGGCAAUAAAAACAAUAAGAUUUCUUACAUGUUGGUCAAUGAUGACACCGCUACCUAGGAGGAGCGUGCUUCACUUGCUCCAAACAACCGUUCAAACGGCGUUGUCUCUUGAAUCAUACCCCAUUGGUUUGUGAUGGGUUUGAGGGCAUGAUCCAUUCUGCGCCCAAGAUGAUAUUUGGAACACUCCUCGAUGUGCCCAAUACUUUGCGCUCAAUUGAUCUGCUUCUGUGCCCACAUUGAGAGAGAGAUGUUCCCAUGCCAAGACAAGCAGAAUAUCCACAUUGGUCUUAAAGUUGGUUCCCCUAACUGCCCUCUUUCCUCAAUGAGCCGGAGGCCUCAAAUUGAAUCAAACCACAAUGAUGUGCCCUUGAGAUCGACAUCAGUUGUCCCAGAAUCACGAAUCAAACUAUUGAGAAAUGAUCCAUCGCUCAAGGUUGAUCUCCCAAAUUCAGAAAAUUAACAUUGCACAUUUGCCAGCAAUUUCCCAUGGCCAACCUACAUUCAAUUGAAUAAAACUGGAAUACAAGACAAAUGAUUGCUUUUUAUACCUCAUUGUCAUUUAUGUUCCAACGUACGACUGGGAAGGCGCCAUAUAUAGUAUAGCCCGCCGCCUAGAAGAAGCAGGGAGGGGAGGGACACGGUUCUUCCUUGUCUUAUUCUUCAGUCCCUNNNNNNNNNNNNNNNNNNNNNNNNNNNNNNNNNNNNNNNNNNNNNNNNNNNNNNNNNNNNNNNNNNNNNNNNNNNNNNNNNNNNNNNNNNNNNNNNNNNNNNNNNNNNNNNNNNNNNNNNNNNNNNNNNNNNNNNNNNNNNNNNNNNNNNNNNNNNNNNNNNNNNNNNNNNNNNNNNNNNNNNNNNNNNNNNNNNNNNNNNNNNNNNNNNNNNNNNNNNNNNNNNNNNNNNNNNNNNNNNNNNNNNNNNNNNNNNNNNNNNNNNNNNNNNNNNNNNNNNNNNNNNNNNNNNNNNNNNNNNNNNNNNNNNNNNNNNNNNNNNNNNNNNNNNNNNNNNNNNNNNNNNNNNNNNNNNUCCAUGUGGCAUCAUAGUAUUUGCCACCUCUGCGUCGGACUCUUCGCUAGCGGGGUGGACAAGGUACUGUCCUAGGUCGUGCCGGUCGGCCGUCGGAGCCGCAGGAGGUGCGGGAGCUGUCAGAGUCCCAAGAGGCGGUAUCCGACUCCAAAAUGAUGAAACUGGAUGCAGUGGUCAAGGAACCAUCCAUGCCGUCAUAUGCGGGGACUGGGGAUGAGUGGAAGUGGUGAAAGGCGACACUAAAGCAAGGAGGGUAGGCGGCGGCGCGGAAGAGAAGAGGAGUGGAAUGGGAAAAAUGUGUGCUCCAAAUAUGCACCAUAGUCACCAAAUAUGAAGGCUAGCGGGCUUGGUUUGUAGCUUCCUCCAAAAAUUAUAGUGAUCAAGGGCAGGAUGACGACUCUUCUAGAGUCGCAUUUUCGGCCAAAGUAGCCAUAACGAUGGUCAUUCUGGCGAUCGUGCCAACAUUACUCUUAGGUGGUAAAAGAAAACUAGUUAAAGCGGUCCUUACUCCUCCCAUAAUUGUGUGUUGUCUAGGUAGAAGAUGAGACAUUUGUAUGGAUUCCUCGCAAAUAGCACCCUACGGGUUUAUUAUGAUCUUAGGCGAGUUCAACACUGUGAGCUCUACCUGCCGAGCUAGUACUCGAUUCUGAUCUCUUAGGGCAGUCCCAAUGUUGUAUAUCUUAAGUUAUAUCAUGAAUAUUACAUGUGUAUUUAGAUAUAGCUCUUCCAAUGAUUGUAUCUAAGUAUUUAAAAGAGUUAUCAUUCAUUGUGUUUUGUGAGAGAGAAAAAGUGUGAGUUUUAUUCGUUUGGUGCUAAGAGCUAUAUCUAGAUUAAGAUGUGGUAACACUCUUUCUCCUCAUUAAAUGUAGUGCCACGUCAGAUUUUUACCUAGAUAUCAAUACUAAGAUAUAGUCCAAGGUGGAGUAUCAGUAAGAUUUUGUCAUAGAUUGUGUGGAGCUAAUAUGAACUUUGCAGUUUUACAAAUAGCGAAGAAAAUUAUACUAGCAUUGUAAAAGGAUAAAUGUAAAUAAAGAAGUUAUAAGAUUACUAGUUGACUACUCUGUAUUUAUGUUUCCAAUUUUCCUUUGUACAACUAUUCCAUGCAUGGAGUUAGUUUGUUAUUGACAUUUGACAUGCACAUGCUAGGUUUAGUUAUUAACUAUUUCCUACUUUCAAAUAAAAAUUUCUUCGGUCGAAAUACAUGUAUAACAUAUUAUAUACAGAAUUAUCUAAGUACAUGAAAUACUUAUGUCAAUCAGUAUUUAUUUAUUUCAUAUUAAAUUCAAGAACAUUAUUUCUAUACCGUUUCUAAUAUGUACAUAUAUGAAUUCACAUAAGCAUGUUUUAAAUACAUAAAAAAAUAUCCAUACAUUCCUUAAAUUCCAAGACGUUUCUUUGAUACAAAAUGUCUAAUUAUAUAUCUCAUGUACAUAUUGACACGAAACAAAGGCAAUACCUCUUGUACAAACCUCUACAUGGUAAAAGCUAAAAGGAAAAUGCAAACCAAUUUGUAGUUGGAUGAUUAGGAGGAUAGUGGUAUCCCGGACCCACUAGGGUUCAAGUCCUAGACUGGACAUUGGUGCUUGCAUAUUUCUGGAUUUAUUUUAGGCCUUCCAGCGAUGUUCAUUCAGCUGGAGGAAACGUUCCCAUCGACUAGGAGAUGCCUGUAGUGACUUCGUCAAUCUCAAGAUGCUAUACCGAUCCAGUUUCUCGGAGGUGCUCAUGGGGGUAGAGUGUGCGUGCGUAUGUUUAUAACAGUGAGUGUGUACUCAUGUAUGUGAGUGACUUCGAUUGUAUUGAGUUUUAUUCUAAAAAAAAGGCCAAACGGAAACCAUUUGGAAGGAGUGAACAUUAAACCUAUCAAAUAUUCCCUCCGUUUACAAAUAUAAGAUGCUCUACUUUUUUUGUAAAUUGGAUGCACAUACACACAUUUUAGUGUGUUUUUUCACUCAUUUCAGUCCAUAUGUAGUUCAUAUUGAAAUACUCAGAAAAAUUAUAUUUGUAAUGAAGGGAGUAUUUCUUUUUAUUAUACUUACCAUAUUUAAGUAGGCAAAGUUACCCUUCCACAAAGAAAGAUUCUAGUCCCUCCGUUUCUAAAUAUAAGUUUUUUUUAUAGAUUCCAAUAUGAACUCUCUCNNNNNNNNNNNNNNNNNNNNNNNNNNNNNNNNNNNNNNNNNNNNNNNNNNNNNNNNNNNNNNNNNNNNNNNNNNNNNNNNNNNNNNNNNNNNNNNNNNNNNNNNNNNNNNNNNNNNNNNNNNNNNNNNNNNNNNNNNNNNNNNNNNNNNNNNNNNNNNNNNNNNNNNNNNNNNNNNNNNNNNNNNNNNNNNNNNNNNNNNNNNNNNNNNNNNNNNNNNNNNNNNNNNNNNNNNNNNNNNNNNNNNNNNNNNNNNNNNNNNNNNNNNNNNNNNNNNNNNNNNNNNNNNNNNNNNNNNNNNNNNNNNNNNNNNNNNNNNNNNNNNNNNNNNNNNNNNNNNNNNNNNNNNNNNNNNNNNNNNNNNNNNNNNNNNNNNNNNNNNNNNNNNNNNNNNNNNNNNNNNNNNNNNNNNNNNNNNNNNNNNNNNNNNNNNNNNNNNNNNNNNNNNNNNNNNNNNNNNNNNNNNNNNNNNNNNNNNNNNNNNNNNNNNNNNNNNNNNNCACUUAUUUUGAGACGGAGGGAGUAGUAUAAAUAUUUGCAUCCAUGUCCCUUUCAUUUGAAGUGGCUAAAAAUUGUGCAGGAGACAAGCGAGAUGUUGUAUAGUGACGUUCUUGGGAAUUAAAUGAGAAUCUUCCAUUAUUGUGGCCACUAGUGCUAAGUGGUAGUAACCAGCGGUUGAGGCCAUCGAAUCUUCAAUUGUGACCAAGAACCCAAAAGUGUGCAACAUCUCCCACUGGUGGCUAACCAUCAGUUGAGGCCUUUGAACCCUGCUGACAUGGCAAACGUGCGACAAAACCUGGACCAUGCAUGGAUCAACCGCAUACCUCUACCAUCAACCUGGACUAUAUCCAGUACACCUAUUGCUUCCCACGCAUCAAUGCAUUUUGGCUCAUUUUAAGGUUAUUAUAGAUUACUAAAAAAAACACAACACCAAUAUUGCAUGCAUCUAUCAUGUCAAAAAGUAUCGAAUUCAAAUUCAACAUAUAGUCAUGGAAACAAAAAAGACAUAUCCAAUGAUAAUUUGGUCAAUCACUGAAUUUACUUCCUGCGAAACAAAUUGUCCAGAUUUACAACUGAAUUAGGUACUAUUUACGGCUGGAUUUGAAUCUUCUUUUUAUUUGUGUUGCAUUUGAUAUUUUGUAAAAUGAUUGAUAUAUAUUGUGGGGACAUUUACAUUUAUGCCCCUAAUUUGCGCCCACUCUCAGAUUUACCCCUAAUUUUUUGAUGUGCUCAAAUUUGCCACUGAAAAGCAUUUUAGGUCAUGAGAAUGCCCUUUCAGCUGGACAAAGUUGUUUGACCAAAACUUUAGAAAUUCAUAACAAAUUUAUAUGAACUCAGAAGAAUGCAAAUAAGAUAUCAAAAUGUUCAUAAAAAUAUCACAUAUACACGCAUGUCAUUUAUGUUCAUCAUGUUAGCACUAAUCUUGUCAUGAUGUACCAGCAUGCAUGUUUAGUUUUGAGUUUGCAUGUAGUUUAGAUGAUCUAGGGCAGUGUAUGUAGGCCAAUGAUACUUCAGCUACGCGCGUGAAGAAAGCGAGAUGUCGGGCUGCCGUGCGAUGCGGUGAGCACGGCAAGAUGCCGAUGAUGUCGUGCGAUACGGCGAGGCUGUGAGAAGCAGUGAGACGCGACGAAGCUGGAGGAUGAUGGGCUGCUCGUUCAGGUUGAGCCGAGUGAUUUGGCCAAGCCGUAGUUAGUUAGAGUGUGCUGGUUGGUUGUAGCUAGCUAGCUUCGUGCAUGAAGUAGUAGGCCACGUUGAGACGUGGAGCUAGUUUUAGAUAUAGCCGAGUCGUGUGGCCGUUGGAGUGAUUUCAGGAGUAGGAUAAGGCUGUUAGUGCAUGCAUAGAUUAGUGGGAUUAGUUGCCGAGAGAGGUGGCUGGCCAGUGCGUGUAUGGUCCUUGUAUAUAUAUGUUUCAGUGGAGUAAUGAAGAAAGGAGGCCGUAAGGGCUGAGGGAAAAAAGAUGUAGCAUAUGUGUGUCUCACCGGGAGAACAAAGCAAAGCUGGUUCCUCCACGGUGAGGUGUGUGUGUGUGUAGAGUUUCAUGUGUAUGUGUGUGUUCUUGUGUUCUUGAGAGAAAAGAUAGAGAGAAACCACAAGAGAGUUUUGUGAGGGAGCUCGAGGUAGAAGAAGAAGCGGCGCUGCAAGGAGAGAUGGCGCCAACACAUCACCUACACAUGCAUUUAUUUGCAUUCACCCUAAAUAGUUUUUAAAUGUUAUAAACCCUAAAAAGCUUUAAAUAGUGCUUUUGUCAUGAACAUUAAUUGCAUGUGCAUAUAGAUGAUGUUUUUAUGAACGUUUUGAUAUCUUAUUUUGCAUUCUUAUGAGUUCAAAUGCAUUUGUUAUGAAUUUUUAAAGUUUUGGUCAAACAACUUUGACCAGAUGGAAAGGCAUUCUUGCGACCUAAUGCUCUUUUUAGGGGCAAAUUUGAGCACAUCAAAAGUUAGUGGUAAAUUUGAGUAGUGGGUUCGAGUUAGGGCACAAAUGUGAAUGUUGCAUAUGUUACCCUUUCUUCUGAUUUUCUUCAUGAUUAUUUGGAUGACGUUUUUGGACUUGGGAAUACCAUGAGUGCUCCAAAGACUAGGACUGUUAAAAGGUCCAACGAGUUGUGUUUCUCAUGUCAACUUAAUUAGCAACUUUGUGUGAUGAGAGGUAAAAAUUGUGUGGUGAGAGGAGGAGCCAAGCACUCGUGCUCGGGCGGGCCGUACCGGCUUCGGCCACCAUUCCACGGCAAGGUUGCUAUUGCAUGUCAUGUCAUGUCGUGUUGUUUGACAUUCUACGCGCGACGCAGCUCAUCUCUGCACUCCUUGCCAUCAAACCUCUGCAUUUUCUUGUAUCUUUGCUACGGUGGUGGUGGAUCGGGGCAUCCAUCGCCGAUCUCGUGUCAGGGGAGCGCACUUUGCUGUGCUCAGGUUGGCGGUGCAUCGAUGGAAUUUAGAGCAUCUCUACGAGACCCCGUAUAAUGCGCCAACCCGCGUAAUUUCGGCGAGUAUACAAACUCGGCCCAAUUUUCAGUCAGAAUAGAGCCCGUAUACUCGCCCGACCAGUAAAAUAUAUUUUUUCGCGAAUACGCUAAGGAUGCGUAUCUUUUCAUUGAUAGAAGGAGAAUGUCUACGACACGAGAUUAAGGCGACACACUAUGCCAUGUACGCAAGGGAGGGAUGAAAGUGGUCGUCGAGCAAACAGGUGGGGUUGCUCAUCCCCUCGACAUCUUAUCCUAGGUCUUUGAGAUGAUGUUACUAAUCGCGGCUGCGCCGGCCCUAGCCCAUAGGCGUGCUUCGUCUUUGAUCGUGGAGCAUAGGUGAGAGACGGAGGGUCGGUCACCAUCGAAGGUGCAGCUGUUCCGGUGCUUCCAAAUCCACCAACCGGUGAGGAUGAUGAGGGAGGACAAGCCUUUUCGCGCGGCAACCGACGCGAGGGCACAAGUAGAUGCCCACCAUGCAAGGAAGUCGGUGUCUUCGGUCGACAGGUUCGUAGGAGAUCUAGCCCAAGCAAGAAUAUCGUGCCACACCUGGCGGGAGAAGGAGCAGCCAGCCAGCAGGUGUUGCAUCGUCUCAUCUUUUUUAUCGCAGAGGGCACAAGCUGGUUCAUGAGGCAGGCUGUGUCUAGCAAGACGCUCCGCCGUCCAGCACCGGUUUUGUAGAGCGAGCCAGAUGAAGAACUUGACGCGAAGCGGUGCCCAAGAUUUACAUGUGAGCUUCCAGUGUGGUUCCGCGCGAGCUCCAACGAAGAGGGCUUGCUAGCAAGAGCUGGCGGAGUAGAUGCACGAAGUAGUCCAGCGCCAUCGGAUAGUGUCCGGGGAGUCGGUAAGCUGAAUGUGGCGCACCGCCCGCCAGAGCUGCACAUACUGCACCAUGGCGGUAGGGCCAAGAGCGCCGUGGAUGUCCUGCACUCAAGAACACAGGGAUAGGCCGUCUAUGACCAUGUGAAUCUUCCAACGUCUCUUCGGGAUCAUUUGAAAAAGUUGAGGGGCAAUCUCGGCCACCGAUCGUUCGUCGAUCCAAUGGUCGGUCCAGAACUUGCACUCGUCGCCAUUGCCAACGCUCCAGGCGAUUGAGGCGCAGAAGAUAGCGCUGACAUUUGCAUCAUGAGGGGUGUGCAAGUGGCUCCAGGGGCGCGAAUGAUUGGUGCGCUGGAGCUAGAGCCAGCGCGUACGGAGGGCGAUGCCCCAGCGCUGCAGAUCACGGAUGCCCGGCCCGCCAAGAUGAAGUGGGCGGCAGACUCGCUGCCAGUUGACCAUGCAUUGGCCGCCAUUGGCCUCCUUGCAUCUGUCCCAAAGAAAUCCACGGAUGAUGCGGUUCACCUUCUUGAGGAUGGUCUGGUUGAAGGUGAUGGCCCUGAGGAAGUGAGUUGGGAUAACACAGAGGAUGUGGCGGACGAGGGCCAGCCGGUCGCCGCGAGAGAGCAUGGAGGUGCUGUCACAUCCCUAGUUCUGCUGCUUUGGGCUAGCUUGUCAUGUGUUGCAUCAUGUUUAAAAUUCAAAUGAAUUUGAAUUGGGGAUGUUCAAACCCCAGCACUAAAUCAAUUUAAAUAGGGUUGAAUAAAAUCAUUUUCAAUAAACCCAAAAUGUCCCUAAGAAAAGUUCAUGAUCUCUGGUUAAGGUGGAAACCUCUGCCAAAAAUGAUGAACAUAUUUUUAGAUCAUUUUUGGAUUUUUGAAUUAAAUAUAUUGUAUUUGAAUUAGGGCAUUUAAAUGCUAUAAAUACUUUUAAUGCUCUAUUAAUUCUAGAAUUUGUUGUGGGGCUUUGGAAUAUCCUAUUUUGCAGCCACACAAUAUUUCCAGGAGCAACUAAGAUAAUUUGGUUUGAAACCAAAUCCAAAACAUACAACAGAAAAUAGAAAACCAUAAAGAAAAACAGAAAGGAAAAUAGGCCUACCUAACUUACCUGGCGGCCCAGCCCACGUGGCCUCCUCCUCGUGUCGUCUUCCUCCUUGCCAGGAGCCAGGAGGACAAGCACGUGUGCUCGACACGCGCGGCCACACGCUGGCCACCUCCUGCCUGCCUGCGUGCACUCCCAACACCCUGGACGUCCCAGGCAUCGCCACGCAGCCCCCGACCUCUCUCUCUCACUCUCGCUCGUCCUCAUCUCCUUCCCCUCUCACUUCUGUGCUCACAGACAGGAGCCCGUUGCGGCUACUCGCUACUGCCGCGGCCACCGUCCACCACUCACCUCGCUGAUGUGUCCUAGAGAACUGUGGUGACUUUGUCGUCCUCCCCGCCGAGCUACGCAAUGCUCGGUGCCCUGGAACGCCAUCAACAUCGUCAUCUUUGACCCACGGCCGCCGAGCUCGCCGAGGCCUCCAUUCAACUUGCUUUGAGCUCCUACGUAGAACCCCUCUCUCCCCUACCUCGUUUGCAUCAUGUAGCCGUGGAAUUCACCGGAGCCGUGAGCUUCCGCCCGCCGGCCACGUCGCCAUUGCGGCCAUAGCUGCUGCCGCUUGUGUCUGAGCCCGCCAACGCGCUCAGUGCGUCCCCAGGAGCUGAACGCACCCAGCUGCUACUCCUCCCGUGCUCUGUGGCGUGGAUUCGGUCGAGCCUGAAUUCUGGCCAUCGUCGAGGUCGACACCGCGCUCGACUCCGGCCGUUUCAGCCCCUCCCACCUGCAGAGGGAGAUGUGGCACACUCAAAGCAGCACGCAGAGCCCCUCCAUCGUCCCUUUGGUUGCCAUAGGGUAAACUCGAGCCCUCCGCCGUGUUUGCUGUCGGCGGCGAUGAGCCGCCGACGUAUUAGGCCCGGUUGACCGGGGGUUUGACCUCCCCUGGGUCAAUGACAUGUGGGUCCCGCCGCUGACAGUUUUAGUUUUGGACAAAAAUUAGUGCUAAUCACCCUGGUUAACUAAAUGAGUCACUCACGAGUGGGCCCGGCCGGUCAGGUUUGACUUUGGUCGGCAGUGUUGACUUGCUAACGCAAGCAUGACGUGGUGCUAACGCAAUAAACCAUUUCUGAAUGAUUUCUACUUUUGAAAUAAUUUGGAAAUUUCAAAAAAUGUUUAAAACUUCAAAAAUUCAUAGAAAUUAAUCUAUAACUCCAAAUGAAAUAUUUUAUAUAUGAAAAAUUAUCAGAAAAAUCAGUCUAUCCAUCUGUACCAUUUUCAUGCAUGAUAGAGCAACUUAUGGCUACUGUUUAGGACAAAUCAAAAAAUGGCAUUUGAAUAUCCACAUAUGGAGUUUGAAUUUGAACCUCGGGUUCAAACCAACUUUAUUUAACUUGUUGCUAGUUGCAUUAGAUCAAUCAACAACAUAUUGCCAUGUCAAUCAUGCAUCAUAUUGUUGCAUUGCAUUGAUUGUGUUCCUUCUCUGUUGCCGGUAUUUGUCCCCUCUCAGUAGACGUGGUUCCGACGAUGAGAUCGAUGACACCGAUGAAGAACUAUACUAUCUUCAGAAGUGCCAGGCAAGCAAAAAACCCCUUGUUCAUUCUGAUACAAUCUCACUCUCUUGCUCCUGCUCUCUUUUACUGCAUUAGGACAACAAUGUUUCAACUGUUACAUGCUACGGUAGCAGAACCCCUUUCCUCUGCAUGACCAAUCAUUGCCACAGUAAAUAGAUGAAACCCACUAGCAUGACUAGGAUUUAUUUGAGACAUGAUGUGCCUACUCAUUCAUGCUUGUUUGUCAUGCCUGCUAUUGCUUAGAGUUGUUUCACGUCUGAUUCAUCGGGAAUGAAUUGGAAUAAUGUGAACAUGUCCCACUAUUGUGAGCUAAGUGUGCGAACACGAUUUGGUAAAGGUAGUAGUGAGAGGCCAUGUAGGAGUACAUGGUGGAUUAUCUCAUCGAAACCGUCCUCAGGAACUGAGUUCCAUGUUUGUGAUCGAUGAACAACUACUACCACGCAUUGGGCCCUGAAAUAUGACCCCGCUCGACUUAUUAACCCCCAUAUCCUCUAUCCAGGAGUUGCAAGUAGUUUCUGGUGUUUAUAGUAUGCUGGAGGCCGUGCACAGUGCUGACCCUAGGGGUGGGCUGUGAUGCGGUAGGCUCGUGGCACGGUGUACUGGGGCACCCGUUUGGUGGGCUUGGGAACCAUGCACACAUCGUUUGGGGCCGUAGUGGAAACCUCGGCCAGACUCCCUAUGGAUGGAACCUAAAUAGGCGAUAAACCUAGACUAGGGACUUGUGUGGUUAGUCAGGUCGUGGUCUACACCCACAUCGGCUUUCGCUUGAAGUUUGCCGAGCACAUGUCAUGUGCAGAUGCUAAGUGGUGGAAACAUGUGUGAAGAAGUACACCCCUGUAGGGUUAUAAAUGAUCUAUUCAAAUAGCCACGUCCACGGUAAAGGACUUCUUGGUUGCCUAUAUAGUUCAUAGACAAGUGAAAGUGGAUACUCUAAAAUGCGCAAGAUAAGCAUGAGUGUUAUGGAUGGCGAUCUCGUAGGGAGACGGGAGCGGAUCCAUAGUGGUGUAUUGAUAUGGUGAAUAUGUGGACUCGUGUGCGCCACCUCAAAAGAGUUACCAUCAGUCGUAGUACAGGAUAGCCACUGAUUCAAAGCUGGCUUGCUGCAAUUAAACUCCACCAUCCCUUUGUUUAUACUGAUGCAUAUGUAGCUAGUUCUGAUAUAAGUCUGGCUGGGUACAUUUGUACUGCAUGUUUGCUUAAUUUAUGUUUUUGCAGAGAGACUUCACUCUCACUAGUAGUUCCACGUGGACUUCGAUGUUUAGCUUGUUACCUCAGCUACGAUAUUGUGCCCUCGGGAGGGUCUUGUAGAUAGUCAGGCUUCUUAGCCUUUUUCAAUUGUUGUUAUCUGUACUCAGACAAGUUAAGCUUCCGCAUGUGCUUAUUGCUUGUAUGACUUGAAUGCUGGGUCAUCAGACCCAUGUUUGUAAUAUCUGGCUCCUCAGAGCCUCUUGAAUAAAUACUCUGAGUCAUAGAGUUUUGUUGUGACGCCGUGUUGUAUUUGACAUAUCGAGCAUAUUGUAUGUAUGUUAUUGAAAUGCUUGGUAUGUGUGGGAUCCGACAAUCUAGUUGUUUAUUCUUGGUAGCCUCUCUUGUGGGGAAACGUCUCCUAGUGCUUCCACUGAGUCAUGGUAGCUUGCUACUGCUCCGGAACACUUAGGCUGACCGGCAUGUGUCCUUCUUCGUUCAUGUGUUUGUCCCUUCGGGGAAAUGUCACGCGUUGUUCCUUUAAGUACUUGUAGCUUGCUAUGACUUGGGUUCAUAUGUUGAUGAUCGACACGUUCGUUGUUGGGUCAUGUAUGCCUGUCCAUGUAAGUUAGUGCCACCUUGGGUUUAUGACUAGUCAUGUCGGCCCGGGUUCUCUGUCAUAUGGAUGCUAGCGACACUAUCAUAUACGUGAGCCAAAAGGCGCAAACGGUCCUGGGUCAGGUAAGGUGGCACCCUUGGGAAUACCGUGUGUGAGGCCGCAAAGUGAUAUGAUGCGCUACAUGCUGGACCGGUGUGACUUAGCAUUGGGGUCCUAACAACUUCUGUGUCAGAGCCUAACUGCCAGUAGGAUUACCAAGCCAAACUGGUCGAAGUUGAGUCUAGAAAUGCUUUAUACUUAUAUAAGGGAAUUGAUUGUGGAAGGGAACGUAAGGCUCUUUUUACUCCUUUACCUUAUGCCCUUCUGAUCCGAGUCAUCCUAUCUUUCCUACAGGUCUAAGGAACUAGGCUUUCUCUUCUUUCUAUCAGGAUCACGUGUUACUAAUCUAUAGCUUAUAUGCUUGAUGGAUUCAAGUCUUAGUUCAGUUCCUACUACUCCCAUAUGUUAACCAUUGAUCUCGGAACCUUGAUAUUGUGAUUUUGAGUGGUUAUGCCACCAUUUUGCAGGAUAUCUCAAAUCUUUUUGGGCAUUUACAGCUGUUAUGUUGUCCGAGUCAUCCCAGGUUUCUAAAUAGUCUGAUGCAUUUGCAACUUCCUUCUUUCUGUUCCUGGUGUUCCUUUGGGCCAGGUUAACCACACUAAUCGGUGCGUUGAGGUACCCCAUUGCCUUGACAUAUAUGUUGGAGCUAUUAUUAUGACCCUAGGUGUCUUAGGGAAUCACCUAGUAAUCUAGCCAUGUUUUGUGUUUGCAGUGUGAUGAUUCUGGCCGUGAUUCUCGAAAGCACCUCGUCAUGCUAUUUAGUUAGUAGGUACUCCAUUUCUGGGUUCUUGAACCCAAGAUUCACCCUACUUACCUCACGUUGAUUGUUUUGCUAGUUCCUUUAGGAUAUUAGUAACCUUUGUGAGUCCUCGAGGUCCGUGGUAUUUCCUUCUUCCAAAUAUCAUGAAGUGCUUAUGGCAGAAGUUCUGGAACCAAAGGAUCACAAUAAGAGUGCUCUCGAUGAGGUCCCCAUUCUAUAUUAUGACUCUAACAGUCCUACCUCUCUGCAUGGAUUAUCCGGAAGAAACCUGUUGAACUUGGUUUGACAUAUUAAUCUAUGCAUCCACAACUCAGAAAACCAUAUGUUCCUUUGAGUUGUCCCUCUUUGGUUGUAUUUUGAUCUCCGUCUAUCAGUUGAUAGUCAAGAGUAUGUGUGCAUUCAUUCAUUGAUGCUUGUUAUUCUUGUGGUUCGUCAAGCCAUCCUAUUUCAGAAUGUCUAAGAGAAACAAACUCCAGUACCUCAUCCAUAUCUUGGAAUGAGUCAAAUCAGUUGUAUUCCGCAGAUUAAACUGCCAAUCCAGCUUUGUUCUGUUCUACCUUGGAGUGUUGCCCUCUUUAUGUCAGGAUUGUCAUGAGAAUUGCACCACCUCUUAUGAAUUAUUGAUGCCGUGAUACCUCUCGCCAUCAUUGUUCAUUCAUUGUUUCUCGUAUUAUUGUAAUCGGAAUGCCGACAAGUGAAUCGUGAUGUGUGAAAUCAAUACUCCUAGCAACCUCGUUGCUUGGUAGUUAAAGGACAAUAAUUUCAUUCUUAGCGUGAUGGUUAUAGGAUCAUCAUUCUAGGAUAGAUUGUGCUACCUAGACCAUUUUCCUGGUGCACUCUUCGAUCAAUGAGUUAGGAUUGUGUUAACCCCUUGAUUAUUUGAUAACAUCGUCUUUCCUCGAGAGCAAGAUUGUUCUCGAGCUUUGUAUCAUAUCAGUGGUUCGUGAUUUUCCGAUUAUCUUCUCAGAAGUAUCACUAGGUUAUUCUCUGACUGCUAUGUUGAGUUCGUGAUCAUGUUGGUUUUCCUCUAAACCACCCUUUCUCCAAGAAUUUGUGUUGCAUACCCUUGAGCUAAUUGGUUAAGCUAAACAACAACUUGGAGAGUUGGAAGAUAGAAGCUUUUCCUGACUUAGUUCAUUCCCGAGGAUAUCUUUGUGUGUGUGAUGAAGAAAGACGAUAUCUUCAUCGAUUGGUCCCCGUGAUCAAUUGUUGGAUCUAUUGUCUUGCCAAAACCUUGAUUUGAGUGUGGGCUAUCAUCAAAUUAAAUCAGAACCAAUGAUGUUCGUAAUGUUGUCUUACUCGUGGUUGUUUCCUCAAGCAUACACCAUUAUAUUCUUUGGUCUGACCAAUGCUACCACUUUGUUCACAUAAUUAUGGAAUUCCAUUUAUAUGGAAACCUGGAUAAAUUGUUGUUGAGCCCAUCAGCAACAUUUUUAUCUUCUCCAUGAUUUGUGUUGAACAUCCAGCUAGUGUUGGAAACUUUUAUAAGCAUUAUCUUCAUGUCCCGUUCAUGAAGCAUAUGUUGGAUGAAAGAAGUGACUUCCUAUGAUUCACGUGCAUUUGGUGCAAGUUGCCACCAUGAAUUUGAGAAAGGUUUGUUUUGUUUCCUCUAGAAUCAUCCCAAGUCAGUUAUGUAUGUGUGAAUAUAUUCUAUGGUUUGGUAGAUUAAAUACCUCCAUUCCAUAUGUAUUCCCUAGCACACCAAGCCACUUAUUGAGUUGUUUAAGGAGAAUAAGUUCCUACUUAAGACCCAGGAUUAUACAAGGACUUCGAUAUCCCCAAUGAUGGUUCCCCACCUGAACUCGGUAGUGUUUUGUUGUAAGACUUCUAUGUGGUCAUGCUUGUCUUGGACAACGUGUUCACAUGUGUGUAGAAGAACCAGCUCAUGUUUUGGAGCUUGCUAUCCUAGAUCAUUGCCCGAGAAUCUCGCAACGCUAUCUCGUAGAUUUGUGUUGCAAACUUCCAUUUUUUUCUAGACUUGAUGAGUCUGGAAUAUCCUGUUACCAACCGGAUCUGAAUCUCAGACAGAUAUGAUGGUUGGAAAUUUUCCAAGAUCUAUGAUGUAGGUCCCAACAAGGUUGAUGUUCUAGCCGACACACCUAGCCGGAAGAUCUAUCAUUGUAGUAUCUUGAUUGAGCUAUUUGACCAUCUUCUCCAUUAGGAUUUCGUGCAACUUAUUCGAGAAGUUGUACCUUAGGCGUCCUUGUGCUCUCGGUUUCAUCGAUUAAGCUAUAACCAUUCAAACAGUGGCAUCACUCUCUACUGUUGAGUUUUUCCCUAGUUACUUGAAUCAUUCCUAGCAUUUGCAUUUUGUUCCCAGCUUGCACCUGCCAUUGUGCCUUUUCACUAUGGGCUGCCCUUCUCGAUAAAUGUUGUUCAGGAUCAUCUUCAAAAGUGGUCCUACCAUGGGUCCCAUCCAUUUCCGAUGAUAGGCAAAAAUCAUCCAUUAUGUUGUCUUCAACAAGGUAGUCCACAUCAUCCAUUCUAGCCUGAGUAGGCUGUUCUCUCGAACUCCGUCAAACGAUCGUUUGUAAAUUGCCUUAGGCUGGUAUAGAGAAUUCCAAUGAUCUAGAUAUCAAAAGUAAUUCUUUUUGCCACUUAAGGGAUAAUUCUACGAGUCACCUUCCCUGAGGUGCCCCGUUAUGGGAUCAUGGCAAUUAUCUCCUCGCUACGUUGAAACCAUGCACCAUCAUACUCGAGCAUGGAAUUGUUGCCAACCAACUUGAGUCUUUGUCGUCUGUUUUCCCAUCACCCUUGAUGUGUGUUUUGUGUCUCAUCUCAAGAGAUGUUCAACGUCUCAUUCCGUGAGUUGAUCGUGAGUUGCUCGAUCUUUAAGAAGAUCGAUUCCUACAGAGAUUCUUUCUGUCAUCGUCAUGUUGGACAAAGAUCUCAAAGCCAAAGACGUUAAGAUCAAUGUGAUGCAAUGAAUCAAAAUCUUUGAGAAGGCCAUUUGGAUCGAGAAGAUCAUGAUAGUUUUUUGACUCCCUUUCAUCUGACCCUAUGCCCAAAUCCCGGGACGAGAUUCUUGUUUAGUGGGGGUGAGUUGUCACAUUUCUAGUUCUGGUGCUUUGGGCUAGCUUGUCAUGUGUUGCAUCAUGUUUAAAUUCAAAUGAAUUUGAAUUGGGGAUGUUCAAACCCCAGCACUAAAUCAAUUCAAAUAGGGCUGAAUAAAAUCUUUUUCAAUAAACCCAAAAUGUCCCUAAGAAAAGUUCAUGAUUUCUGGUUAAGGUGGAAACCUCUGCCAAAAAUGAUGAACAUAUUUUUAGAUCAUUUUCGGAUUUUUGAAUUAAAUCAUAUUGUAUUUGAAUUAGGGAAUUUAAAUGCUAUAAAUACUUUUAAUGCUCUAUUAAUUCUGGAACUUGUUGUGGGGCUUUGGAAUAUCCUAUUUUGCAGCCACACGAUAUUUCCAGGAGCAACUAAGAUAAUUUGGUUUGAAACUAAAUUCAAAACAUACAAUAAAAAAUAGAAAACCAUAAAUAAAAACAUAAAGGAAAAGAGGCCUACCUAACUUACCUAGUGGCCCAGCCCACUUGGCCUCCUCAUCCUUCGUCUUCCUCCUUGCCAGGAGGACGAGCGCGUGUGCUCGACGCGCGCGGCCACACGCCGGCCACCUCUUGCCGGCCUGUGUGCACUCCUGACGCCCUAGACAUCCCUAGCAUCACCAGCAGCCCCCUGACCUCUCUCUCACUCUUGCUCGUCCUCAUCCGCUGCCCCUCUCGCAUCUGUGCUCACCGAGAGGAGCCCAUCGCCGCUGCUCGCUGCUGUCACGACCAACGUCCACCACUCGCCUCGCUGACACAUCCAGAAGAACCGCCGCGACUUCCUCGUCGUCCCCAUCGAGCUAUGCAAUGCUUCGUGCCCUGGAACAUAGUCAACAUCAUCAUCUUUGACCCACAGCCACCGAGAUCUCCGGCGACCUCCCAUCGUCACCAGCUCCUCCGUGAGCUUGCCGAGGACUCCUUCAACUCGCUAUGAGCUCCUACGUCGAACCCCUCUCCCCCUACUUUGUUUGCCUCGUGUAGUUGUCGAAUUCACCGGAGCCAUGAGCUUCCACCCGCCGGCCAUGUCGCCAUAGCAGCCACAGUUAUUGUCGCUUGCGUAUGAGCCCGCCAACGUGCUCAGUGCGUCCCCAGGAGCUCAAAGCACCUAGCUGCUGCUCCUACCAUGCUUUGUGGCGUGGAUUCGGUCAAGCCUGAACUCCAGCCGCCGCCGAGGUCGAGGCCGCGCUCGACUCCGGCCGUUUCAGUCCCUCCUGCCUACACAGGGAGAUGCGGCGCACUCAAAGCAGCAUGCAGAGCCCAUCCGUCAUCCUUUUGGUCGCCGGAGGGCAAAACCCGAGUCCUCCGCCGUGUUUGCUGUCUCCAGUGAUGAGCCACUGGCGUAUUAUGCCCGCUUGACGAGGGGUUUGACCUCUCUGGGUCAGUGACAUGUGGGCCCGGCCGCUGACAGUUUUAGUUUAGGACAAAAAUUAGUGCUAAUCACCCUGGUUAACUAAAUGAGUCAGUGACGAGUGGGCCUGGCCGGUCAGGUUUGACUCUAGUCGACACCGUUGACUUGCUGACGCAAGCAUGACAUGGUGCUGACGCAAUAAACCAUUUCUGAAUUAUUUCUAUUUCUGAAAUAAUUUGGAAAUUUGAGAAAAUGUUUAAAACUUCAAAAAUUCGUAGAAAUUAAUCUAUAACUCCAAAUUAAAUAUUUUAUAUAUGAAAAAUUAUCAGAAAAGUCCAAUCUAUCCAUCUGUACCAUUUUCAUGUAUGACAAAAAAACUUAUGGCUACUGUUUAGGGAAAAUAAAAUAAAUGGCAUUUGAAUAUCCACAUAUGGAGUUUAAAUUUUAACCUCUGGUUCAAACCAACUUCAUUUAAGUUGUUGCUAGGUGCAUUAGCUCAAUCAAUAGUAUAUUGACAUGUCAUGAUCAUGCAUUAUAUUGUUGCAUUGCAUUGAUUAUGUUCCUUCUCUGUUGUCGGUAUUUGUCCCCUCUUAGUAGACGUGGUUCCAACGAUGAGAUCGAUGACACCGAUGAAGAACUAUACUAUCUUCGGAAGUGCCAGGCAAGCAAAAACCCCUUGUUCAUUCUGAUACAAUCCCGCGCUCUCGCUCCUGCUCUCUUUUACUACAUUAGGACAACAAUGUUUCAACUGUUACAUGCUGCAAUAGCUGAAUCCCUAUCCUCUACAUGACCUAUCAUUGCCACAGUAAAUAGAAGAAACCCACUAGCAUGAGUAGGACUUGUUUGAGCCAUGAUGUGCCUACUCAUUCAUGCUUGUUUGUCAUGCCUGCUAUUGCUUAGAUUUUUCUCAAGUUUGAUUCAUCGGAGAUGAAUUGGAAUGUUGUGAACAUGUCCUACUGUUGAGAGCUAAGUGUGUGAACACGAUUUGGUAAAGGUAGCAGUGAGAGGCCAUAGGAGUACAUGGAGGGUUGUUGAUACGUCUCUGUCGUAUCUAUAAAUUUUUAUUGUUCCAUGCCAAUAUUAUACAACUUUCAUAUACUUUUGGCAACUUUUUAUACUAUUUUUGGGACUAACAUAUUGAUCCAGUGCCCAGUGCCAGUUCCUGUUUGUUGCAUGUUUUAUGUUUCACAGAAAACCCAUAUCAAACGGAGUCCAAACGGAAUAAAAACAGACAAAGAAUAUUUUUGGAAUAUUUAUGAUUUUUGGGAAGAAGAAUCAACGUGAGACAAUGCUCGAGGGGGCCACGAGGCAAGGGGCGCGCCCCAGGGGGUCAGGCGCGCCCUGAGCCCUCAUGGCUACCCCGUAAGGCGGUUAGUACCCUUCUUUUGUCGCAAGAAAGUCAAUAUCCAGAUAGUAAUCGUGUCCAAGGGACAACCCAAUUGGAGUUAGGGAUCUCCGGGAAUAUAAGAAACGGUGAAAGGGCAGAAUCAAGAACGCAGAAACAGAGAGAGACAGAGAGACAUAUCCAAUCUCGGAGGUGCUCUCGCCCCUCCCACACCAUGGAGACCAUGGAACAGAGGGGAAACCCUUCUCCCAUCUAGGGAGAAGGUCAAGGAAGAAGAAGGAGAAGAAGGGGGCUCUCUCCCCCUCUCUCCCGGUGGUGCCGGAGCGCCGCCAGGGCCAUCAUCAUCAUCGCGAUCUACACCAACACCUCCGUCAUCUUCACCAACAUCUCCAUCACCUUCCCCCAUAUAUAUUCAGCGGUCCACUCUCCCGCAACCCGCUGUACCCUCUACUUGAACAUGGUGCUUUAUCCUUCAUAUAAUUAUCCAAUGAUGUGUUGCCAUCCUAUGAUGUCUGAGUAGAUUUUCAUUGUCCUUUCGGUAAUUGGUGAAUUGCUAUGAUUGGUUUAAUUUGCUUGUGGUUAUGUUGUUGUCCUUUGGUGCCCAUCAUAUGAGCGCGCGCGUGGAUCAGACCAUAGGGUUAGUUGUAUGUUGAUAGGACUAUGUAUUGGAGGGCAAGAGUGACAGAAGCUUCAACCUAGCAUAUAAAUUGAUGCAUACGGGAUUGAAGGGGGACCAAUAUAUCUAAAUGCUAUGGUUGGGUUUUAUCUUAAUGAACGUUAGUAGUUGCGGAUGCUUGCUAAUAGUUCCAAUCAUAAGUGCAUAUAAUUCCAAGUUAGGGAUGACAUGCUAGCAGUGGGCUCUCCCACAUAAAACUUGCUAUCGGUCUAGUAAAGUAGUCAAUUGCUUAGGGACAAUUUCGCUACUCCUACCACCACUUUUCCACACUCAUUAUACUAACUUUAUAGCUUCUUUAUCUAAACUAGCCCCUAGUUUAUAUUUACGUGCUCUUUAUACCCUUGCAAACCUAUCCAACAACACCUACAAAGUACUUCUAGUUUCAUACUUGUUUUAGGUAAAGCGAACGUCAAGCGUGCGUAGAGUUGUAUCGGUGGUCGGUAGAACUUGAGGGAAUAUUUGUUCCACCUUUAGCUCAUCGUUGGGUUCGACACUCUUACUUAUCUAAAGAGGCUACAAUUGAUCCCCUAUACUUGUGGGUUGUCAAGACCUUUUUCUGGCGCCGUUGCCAGGAAGUCAUAGCGUGGGUGAAUAUUCUCGUGUGUGCUUGUUUCUUUAUCACUAAGUAAUUUUUAUUUGUUGUUCUUAGUUGUUUUCUAUCUUUAGUUAUGGGUAGGAAACACAAAAUGCGAAAAAAUAGUUGUACCUACUACACCAAUGGUUGAAGAACCACUCAAAAUCUAUCACACUCCUGAAGCUUUUUACUUGGAUCAUCUUUGAUCCCUAUGUGCUCAUGCUAAAACCCCAACUAGCUUAGUUGAGGGCAAAUCUUUAGAUGAGCAUGCUUGUUAUGUGUGACACCACUUAUCUCAAAAAGGGAAACUUUUACUGGAUCAAAUUCAUCGUUUGCAAUGCUAUGCUUGGAAUUUAUGUGAAAUAUAUGAUUUUACUUGUUGUUCUGAAAACCCUAAGAAACACCUUCCCUAUUAAUGUGAGUUUAGUGAUAAUGGAAUCGUAUCUUCGUAUGCUAAAGGUGUUUAUAAUUACUAUGAUGUUCAACACAUUGAAGAAUUUGUUGCUUUUAAGGGUGCUUAUGAAUUUUCUUGUUUGAUUGAAAAGUAUGAUGCUACUCUUUACAAAUCUGCAAAUUUUGCCAUACUUCAAUAUUGUUAUGAUAAUUAUGCUUCUAAUGCCUAUGUUAAACCAUAUAUUGAGGACUCCUCCGCUGUCCAAGAAGAGACUAAUAAUUUUGCAGGAGUCUAUGGAAGAAGAAAUUGAUGAAACUAUGAGCUCAUUGGAUGAAAAAGAUGAGGAGGAGAGCGAAGAACAAAAGGAGGAAGAGCGGAUUGACAACCCGAUCCCACCUUCUAAUGAGAGUAACUCUUCAACUCAUACAUUGUUUAAUUUCCCUUCGUGCUUAGGAUGAUUGCUAUGAUGAUUGUUAUGAUCCUGUUGAUUCUCUUGAAAUACCCCUUUUUGAUGAUGCUUGCUAUGCUUGUGGCCAAGAUGCCAAUAUGAAUUAUGCUUAUGGAGAUGAACUUGCUAUAGUUCCUUAUGUUAAACAUGAAAUUGUUGCUAUUGCACCCACACAUAAUAGUCCUAUUAUCUUUUUGAAUUCUCCAAACUACACUAUAUCGGAGAAGUUUGCUCUUAUUAAGGAUUAUGUUGAUGGUUUGCAUUUUACCGUUGCACAUGAUGAUUUUGAUGAAUAUAAUAUGCAUGUGCUUGCUGAUCCUACUUGCAAUUAUUAUGAGAGAGGAACUAUAUCUCCGCCUCUCCAUGUUUCCAACAUGAUAGAAUUGCAAGAAACUGCUUAUAUUAUGCAUUGGCCUUUACUUUGUGUGCAUGAAUUGUUCUUUUAUGAAAAGCCGAUGCAUAGGAAGGAGUUAGACUUUGUCAUUACAUGAUAUAUGUUUCUUUGUGCUCACUACUAAAUGCCAAAUCAUUGUUAAUUAAAAUUGGCUUUGAUAUACCUUGGGAUCCGGGUGGAUAUAUUACUUGAGCACUAUAUGCCUAGCUUAAUGGCUUUAAAGAAAGCGCUGCCAGGGAGACAACCCAAAAGUUUUAGAGAGUCAUUUAUUUCUGUUGAGUGCUUUUAUAAAGUUUAAAAACAAAAAAAAGAGGGUAACCCAAAACUUUUCAAAAAGGAAACUGAAAGUGAGAAAGACAAGCAUUGUUGAAGUGGGGGAGCUCCUUGAACUUUGUUCAUGCUCACGGAAACUUUGUGAAUCUUAUAUACAGAAAAUUUUCAUCAAAAAUAAUUAUCCCCUUGUACAAUUCCAUUGUAAUAUAAAAAUAAUGUGCCAAGGUUUGCCUUUAGGAUGUUUACAAUGCUUGUUGGUUUGUGCGGUGCAGGACAUAAACUUUGGCUGUAGUGCGCGAUUCUACAUUUUUUACUGGAACGUCAAACGGUUCUGAAACUUUUUGCACUGUAUUUAUUAACAAUUUUUUUAUUUUCCUAAUUUUGGAAGAAUUGUUGGGGUACUAGAAGUUUGGUGAAUGUUUAUAUUACUGUAGAUUGUCCUGUUUAAGACAGUUUCUGUUUUUGAUGCAUAGUUUGCUUGUUUUGAUGAAACUAUCAACUUCUAUCAGUGGAUUAAGCCAUGGAAAAGUUAUAUUACAGUAGAUACAAUGCAAAAACAAAAUAUGAAUUGGUUUCCAACAGUACUUAGAGUAGUGAUUUUCUUUAUUAUACUAACGGAUCUUACCGAGGUUUCUGUUGAAGUUUUGUGUGGAUGAAGUGUUCGAAGAUCGAGGAGGUCUCGAUAUGAGGAAAAGGAGGAGAGGCAAGACCUCAAGCUUGGGGAUGCCCAAGGCACCCCAAGUAAAUAUUCAAGGAGACUCAAGCGUCUAAACUUGGGGAUGCCCCGGAAGGCAUCCCAUCUUUAUUCAACAAGUAUCGGCAUGUUUUCGGAUUCGUUUCGUUCAUGCGAUAUGUGCAAGUCUUGGAGCGUCUUUUGCAUUUAGUUAUCACUUUUCUUUUAUGCACAUGCUGGUAUGAGAUAGUCCAUGGUUGAUUUAUAGAAUUCUCAUUGCACUUCACUUAAAUCUUUUGAGUAUGGCUUUAUAGAAUGCUUCAUGUGCUUCACUUAUAUCAUUUGAAGUCUGGAUUGCCUGUUUCUCUUCACAUAGAAAACUGCCAUUUGUAGAAUGCUCUUUUGCUUCACUUAUAUUUGUUAGAGGAUGGGCAUAUCUUUUGUAGAAAGAAUUAAACUCUCUUGCUUCACCUAUAUCUAGUUAGAGAGAUGACAGGAAUUGGUCAUUCCCAUGGUUAGUCAUAAAAUCAUACAUAAAACUUGUAGAUCACUGAAUAUGAUAUGUUUGAUUCCUUGCAAUAGUUUUGCGAUAUAGAGAUGAUAAUAAGUGGGAGGUACUAGUAAAUGGUUGUGUUUAGUAAGGAUAUUGGUGUGAAGGUUUGUGAUUCCCGAAGCAUGCACGUAUGGUCUCCUAACCAUGUAACCAAAUUGGCGCGCAUUGUAUUUUGAUUGUUUAUCUUCGCGUGAAGGUCGCGGGCCUGCGAUGAUUAACUCCUACCAACCUCCCCCCUAGGAGCAUGCGUAGUAGUACUUUUCUUCGAGGGCUAAUAAACUUUUGCAAUAAGUAUAUGAGUUCUUUAUGACUAAUGUGAGUCCAUGGAUUAUGCACACUCUUACCCUUCCAUCAUUGCUAGCCUCUUCGGUACCGUGCAUUGCCCUUUCUCACCUCAAGAGUUGGUGCAAACUUUGCCGGUGCAUCCAAACCCCGUGAUACGAUACGCUCUAUCACACAUAAGCCUCCUUAUAUCUUCCUCAAAUCGUCCACCAUACCUACCUAUUAUGUCAUUUCCAUAGCCAUUCCGAGAUAUAUUGCCAUGCAACUUCUGUCAUCAUCAUAUACAUGACUUGAGCAUUCAUUGUCAUAUUGCUUUGCAUGAUCGUAAGAUAGCUAGCAUGAUGUUUUCAUGGCUUGUCCAUUUUUUGAUGUCAUUGCUAUGCUAGAUCAUUGCACAUCCUGGUACUCCGCCGGAGGCAUUCAUAUAGAGUCAUACUUUGUUCUAGACAUCGAGUUGUAAUAUUGAGUUGUAAGUAAAUAAAAGUGUGAUGAUCAUCAUUAUUAGAGCAUUGCCCCAUGAAAAAAAUAGGCCAAAGAAGCCUAAUUAAAAAAAGGGGGCCCAAAGAAGACCGCCAAAAAAAGGAGGGCGAUGUUACUAUCCUUUUACCACACUUGUGCUUCAGAGUAGCGCCAUGUUCUUCAUAUAGAGAGUCUCUUGAGUUAUCACUUUCAUAUACUAGUGGGAAUUUUCAUUAUAGAACUUGGCUUGUAUAUAUCGAUGAUGGGCUUCCUCAAAUGCCCGUGGUCUUCAUGAGCAAGCAAGUUGGAUGCACACCCACUUAGUUUCAGUUUGAGCUUUCAUACACUUAUAGCUCUUAGUGCAUCCGUUGCAUGGCAACCCCUACUCCUCACAUUGACAUCAAUUGAUGGGCACCUCCAUAGCCCGUUGAUUAGCCGUGUCGAUGUGAGACUUUCCCCCUUUUUUUCUUCUCCACAGAACCUCCACCAUCAUACUCUACUCCACCUGUAGUGUUAUAUCCAUGGCUUGCGCUCAUGUAUUGCGUGAAGGUUGAAAAAGCUGAAGUGCGUUAAAAAGUAUGAACCAAUUGCUUGGCUGACAUCGAGAUAUGCAUGAGGGGUACCUUGUGUUAAGAAAAGGGAGCAUACAAGACUAUAUGAUUUUGUAGGGAUAACGUUCUGUAAGCAUUGAUAUUUUGAAAGGCAUGAUUGUUUAUUGGGAUGCCUGACUAUUAUUGUUUUUAUGUCAAAUGAUAGACUAUUGCUUUGAAUCACUCGUGUUCUAAUAUUCAUGCCAUGAUUAGAUUACAUGAUCAAGAUUAUGCUAGGUAGCAUUCCACAUCAAAAAUUAUCUUUUUUAUCAUUUACCUACUCGAGGACGAGCAGGAAUUAAGCUUGGGGAUGCUGAUACGUCUCCGUCGUAUCUAUAAUUUUUUAUUGUUCCAUGCCAAUAUUAUGCAACUUUCAUAUACUUUUGGCAACUUUUUAUACUAUUUUUGGGACUAACAUAUUGAUCUAGUGCCCAGUGCCAGUUCCUAUUUUUUGCAUGAUGUUUCAUAGAAAACCAUAUCAAACGGAAUAAAAACGGACGGAGAAUAUUUUUGGAAUAUUUAUGAUUUUUUGGGAAGAACAAUCAACGUGAGACGAUGCUCGAGGGGGCCACGAGGCAGGGGGGCGCGCCCUAGGGGGUCAGGUGCGCCCUGAGCCCUCGUGGCCACCCCGUAAGGAGGUUUGUGCCCUUCUUUCGCCGCAAGAAAGCCAAUAUCCACAUAGAAAUCGUGUCCAAAAGACAACCAAAUCGAAGUUCCGGAUCUUCGGGAAUAUAAGAAACGGUGAAAGGGCAGAAUCAGGAAUGCAGAAACAAAGAGAGACAGAGAGAUAGAUCCAAUCUCGGAGGGGCUCUCGCCCCUCCCACACCAUGGAGACCAUGGACCAGACGGGAAACCCUUCUCCCAUCUAGGGAGAAGGUCAAGGAAGAAUAAGAAGAAGGGGUCUCUCUCCUCCUCUCUCCCGGUGGCGCCGAAGCGCCGCCGGGGCCAUCAUCAUCACCGCUAUCUACACCAACACUUGCGUCAUCUUCACCAACAUCUCCAUCACCUUCCCCCAUCUAUAUUCAGCGGUCCACUCUCCCGCAACCCGCUAUACCCUCUACUUGAACAUGGUGCUUUAUGCUUCAUAUUAUUAUCCAAUGAUGUGUUGCCAUCCUAUGAUGUCUGAGUAGAUUUUCGUUGUCCUUUCGGUAAUUGGUAAAUUGCUAUGAUUGGUUUCAUUUGCUUGUGGUUAUGUUGCUAUCCUUUGGUGCCCAUCAUAUGAGCGCGCGCGUGAAUCACACCAUAGGGUUAGUUGUAUGUUGAUAGGACUAUGUAUUGGAGGGCAAGAGUGACAGAAGCUUCAACCUAGCAUAGAAACUGAUGCAUACGGGAUUGAAGGGGGACCAAUAUAUCUUAAUUCUAUGGUUGGGUUUUACUUUAAUGAAUGUUAGUAGUUGCGGAUGCUUGCUAAUAGUUCUAAUCAUAAGUGCAUAGAAUUCCAAGUCAGGGAUGACAUGCUAGCAGUGGCCUCUCCCACAUAAAACUUGCUAUCGGUCUAGUAAAGUAGUCAAUUGCUUAGGGACAAUUUUGCAACUCCUACCACCACUUUUCCACACUCGUUAUAAUAACUUUAUUGCUACUUUAUCUAAACAGCCCCUAGUUUAUAUUUACAUGCUCUUUAUAUCCUUGCAAACCUAUCCAACAACACCUACAAAGUACUUCUAGUUUCAUACUUGUUUUAGGCAAAGCGAACGUCAAGCAUGCAUAGAGUUGUAUUGGUGGUUGAUAGAACUUGAGGGAAUAUUUGUUCUCCUUUAGCUCCUCAUUGGGUUCGACACUCUUACUUAUCGAAAGAGGCUACAAUUGAUCCCCUAUACUUGUGGGUUAUUAGUUGUCUCAUUGAAACUGUCCUCAGGAACUGAGUUCUAUGUUUGUGAUCCAUGAACAAUUACUACCACACAUUGGGCCCUGAAAUAUGACCUCGCUCGACCUAUUAACACCCUGUCCUUUGUCCAAGAGUUGCAAGUUGUUUCUGGUGUUUGUAGUAUGCUGGAGGCCGUGUGCAGCGCUGACCCUAGGGGUGGGAUGUGAUGCGGUAGGCUCGUGGCACGGUGUACCAGGGCACCCGUUUGGUGGGCUCGGGAACCCUGCACACAUCGUUUGGGGCCAUAGUGGAAACCUUGACCGGACUCCGUGCGGAUAAACUACUAGGGGAAACCCUAGUAGUAGCGUGGGUUUUAACGCUAUCAGUAGCGCGGGUGGCCGCACUAUUAAUAAGGCGCUACUGCUAACAGAUAGUAGUAGCGCUCUAUGUACCCGCGCUACUAGUAUUGACUGUAUCAGUAGCACUUUUCCAACAUGCGCUGCUAAUAAGUAGCUGUAGCGCUUUUCUUUGCCCGCACUACUGUUGUAUCUUUCAACAUUUUCCCUACUUCCUAUUGAUCUAGAACAGUACCUCGUUUCAAUAAACUGCAAUUUCACAUAUACCAGAUAACAAUAUCAUUAACCACAAUACCAUAUAGUCAUAUAGUAGUCAUAUAAUAUCAUUAAGCAUUAUAGGUACUCAUAUAUAGUCAACAUGCAUCCUCACACACAUAUAUGGUUCAUACAGGAGCAUAUAUGAUAAGCAGUACUAGGUAGUCAUACAACAUAUAGCAGUUGAUACGUCUCCAACGUAUCUAUAAUUUGUGAAGCAUUCAUGCUAUUUUAUUAUCUGUUUUGAAUGAUUAUGGGCUUAUACACUUUUAUAUUACUUUUGGGACUAACCAAUUAACCGGAGGCCCAGCCCAUAUUGCUGUUUUAUUGCAUGUUUCAGUAUUUCGAAGAAAAGGAAUAUCAAACGGAGUCCAAAUGGAAUGAAACCUUCGGCAGCGUUAUUUUUGGGAAGAAUAUCAUCCUGGAGACUUGGAGUUUACGUCAUAAGAUCCUCGAGGAGGCCAGGAGAUAGCCCCCCCUACUGGGCAUGCCCCCUGUCUCGUGGGCACCUCGAUCACCUCCCGACCGACUUGUUUCGCCUAUAUAAGCCUAUGUACCCUAAAAACAUCGAAUAUCAAGAUAGACCGGGAGUUCCGUCGCCGCAAGCCUCUGUAGCCACCAGAAACCUCUCAGGAGCCCUUCCCGGCACCCUGCCGGAGGGGGGAUCCUUCACCGGUGGCCAUCUUCAUCAUCCCGGUGCUCUCCAUGACGAGGAGGGAGUAAUUCACCCUCGAGGCUGAGGGUAUGUACCAGUAGUUAUGUGUUUGAUGUCUCUCUCUCGUGUUCUCUCUCGUGUUCCCUCUAUGGCACGAUCUUGAUGUAUCCCGAGCUUUGCUAUUGUAAUUGGAUCUUAUGAUGUUUCUCCGCCUCUACUCUCUUGUAAUGAAUUGAGUUUUCCCUUUGAAGUUAUCUUAUCGGAUUGAGUCUUUUACGAGAACACUUGAUGUAUGUCUUGUCGUGAUUAUCUGUGGUGACAAUGGGAUGUCAUGUGCCACUUGAUGUAUGUUUUGGUGACCAACUUGCGGGUUCUACCCAUGAACCUGUGCAUAGGGGUUGGCACACGUUUUCGUCUUGACUCUCCGGUAGAAACUUUGGGGCACUCUUUGAAGUACUUUGUGUUGGUUGAAUAGAUGAAUCUGAGAUUGUGUGAUGCAUAUCGCAUAAUCAUGCCCACGGAUACUUGAGGUGACAAUGGAGUAUCUAGGUGACAUUAGGGUUUUGGUUGAUUUGUGUCUUAAGGUGUUAUUCUAGUACAAACUCUUGAAUAGAUUGAUCCGAAAGAAUAGCUUUGAGGUGGUUUCAUACCCUACCAUAAUCUCUUCGUUUGUUCUCCGCUAUUAGUGGCUUUGGAGUGACUCUUUGUUGCAUGUUGAGGGAUUAUUAUAUGAUCUAUGUAUGUUAUUAUUGUUGAGAGAACUUGCACUAGUGAAAGUAUGAACCCUAGGCCUUGUUUCCUACCAUUGCAAUACCGUUUACGCUCACUUUUAUCGCUUGCUACCUUGCUGUUUUUAUAAUUUCAGAUUACAAAUACCUUUAUCUACCAUCCAUAUUGCACUUGUAUCACCAUCUCUUCGCCGAACUAGUGCACCUAUACAAUUUACCAUUGUAUUGGGUGUGUUGGGGACACAAGAGACUCUUUGUUAUUUGGUUGCAGGGUUGUUUGAGAGAGACCAUCUUCAUCCUACGCCUCCUACGGAUUGAUAAACCUUAGGUCAUCCACUUGAGGGAAAUUUGCUACUGUCCUACAAACCUGUGCACUUGCAGGCCCAACAACGUCUACAAGAAGAAGGCUGUGUAGUAGACAUCAAGCUCUUUUUCUGGCGCCGUUGCCGGGGAGGCUAGGUAAACGGCACUCACACCCCGUCAACUAAGCUCUUUUCUAGCGUCGUUGCCGGGGAGGUGAGUGCUUGAAGGUAUAUCUUUAGAGCUUGCAAUCGAAUCUUUUUGUUCAUUGUUUUAUCACUAGUUUAGUUUACAAAAGUAAACUACAAAAAAAUGGAAUUAAGUUUGUCUCAUUCGCUUCAUCUUUUUAAUAUCUUUCGUGAGUAUGAUGGAAAGGAAAAUUGUGCUCUAGUGUUAGAGGAAGAAUGCAUUAGAAUGUUUGGUAUUAGAUCUUUGAAUGAUGAGCAUGAUUGCAAUGUUGUUAGUAUGAAUUCCUUGAAUAUCCAUGAUGCUAAUGAUAUGCAAAGCCACAAGCUUGGGGAUGCUAUGUUUGAUGAAUAUGAUAUUUUUUGUCCCCCAAGUUUUGAUGAGAAUAUUUAUAUGAUGAAAGCAUGCCUCCUAUUUAUGAUGAUUAUAUUGAUGAAAGUGAGUUUGGAAGAGUGUCAACUUUAGGUAGUAUUGAUCCCACUAUUUUGGAGGAUGUUGAAUCUUAUUGUGAUGAAUAUGAAAGUGUAUUUGGAAGAGUGUCAACUUUAUUUAGUGAUGAUUCCACUAUUUCGGAAGAGGUUCCAAUUGAUUAUGAGCAUAAAGUUGUUAUCUAUGAUGAUUACUGUGAUGACUUGUAUGUUAUUAAGAAUAAUGAUAACCAUGAAACUUGUCAUCAUGAUUUUAGUUUUCAAUUGGAUUAUGCCUCACAUGAUAGUUAUUUUGUUGAGUUUGAUCCCACUAUUAUUGAUGAGAAUAAAUUUGCUUAUGUGGAGAGUAGUAAAAUUUCUAUGCUUGUAGAUCAUGAAAAGAAUGUUUUAGGUGCUGGUUAUAUUGUUGAAUUCAUUCAUGAUGCUACUGAAAAUUAUUAUGAGAGGGGAACAUAUGCUUGUAGGAAUUGCAAUAAUAUCAAGUUUCCUCUCUAUGUGCUUCAAAUUUUGAAGUUAUGCUUGUUUUACCUUCCUAUGCUAGUUGAUUAUUGUUCCAAUAAGUUGUUUGCUCACAAAAUACCUAUGCAUAGGAAGUGGGAUAGACUUAAAUGUGCUAGUCAUAUGCUUCAUGAUGUUCCCAUUAUGUUUCAAUUCUUAUCCUUUAUGUGAGCAUCAUUGCCAUCAUCAUGCCUAGCUAAAAAGGCAUUAAAGAAAAUCGCUUGUUGGGAGACAACCCAAUAUUUAACCUUACUGUUUUUGUGUUUCCACAUGAUUAUGCUACUUUAGUAAUCAUGUUUUAUAGCUUUUGUUUCAAUAAAGUUCCAAGUAGAGCCUUUGGGAAGACUUGGGUGAAGUCUUUAUGAUCUUGCUGUAAAAAACAGAAACUUUAGCGCUCACGAGAUUAGCUGCCAUUUUUUACAGAAGAGUGAUUUUAGGUUGAUUAUUUUUGCAGAUGAUUAAUAGACAAAUUCCUCAGGUCCACCAGUUUAUUUGAGAAGUUAUGAAGUUCCAGAAGUAUAUGAUACAGAUUACUACAUACUGUUCUCUUUUUGACAAAUUCUGUUUUCAUUGUGUUGUUUGCUUAUUUUGAUGAAUCUAUGGCAAGUAUGUAAGGGUAUGAACCAUAGAGAAGUUGGAAUACAGUAGGUUUAACACCAAUAUAAAUAAAGAAUGAGUUCAUUACAGUACCUAAGUGGUGAUUUAUUUUCUUACACUAACGGAGCUUACGAGUUUUGUGUUGAGUUUUGUGUGGUUGAAGUUUACAUGUUUUGGGUAAAAGAUUCGAUGGACUAUGGAAUAAGGAGUGGCAAGAGCCUAAGCUUGGGGAUGCCCAAGGCACCCCAAGGUAAUAUUCAAGGACAAGCAAGAAACUAAGCUUGGGGAUGCCCCGGGUGGCAUCCCCUCUUUCGUCUUCAUUCAUCGGUAACUUUACUUGGAGCUAUAUUUUUAUUCGGCACAUGUUAUGUAUUUUACUUGGAGCGUCAUUUUAUUUUGUUAGUAUUUGCUUGGUGUUAUUUAUAAUAAUGAUUUGCAUCUUUAUUUUCAAUAAAAAUGUCAAGGAUAGCCUUUACCAUGCUUAUUUUUCUUGUAUACAUGUUGCUGUUUGAAAACAGAAAGUUUACCACUGUUGCAAAAAUUCCCUAGAAAAUUCAGAGAAUGAUAUAAUGUUGAAUAUUUUUGAAUAAUGAGAUCUGAUAAAUCUUUUACAGCAUAGUAUUUUUCUUAUAAUUGUUUGAGUUAGGGAAGUAUGAUGAAUCUUGCAUUCUUUACAGACUAUACUAUUUUGGCAGAUUGCUGUUAUGUUUGCAUUGUUUGCAUAUGUUUGCUUGUUUAAUGAUUCUAUUUUAGGAUGGGAGUAUUAAAUAUGCAGAGACAUUUAGUAUGCAAUGUUGAAUAAUAAUGUUAGUGAUUUGUUACAGUAGAAAAUGAUAAGGUUUUGCAUUGGUUUCUACUAAGCUAUCUCACGAGUUCUUGUUGAGUUUGUUGUGGAUGAAGCUUUUUUAUAAAAAGAGAAACCAUGAUAUGAGAGGAUUUAAGGAGACACAAAAGCUCAAGCUUGGGGAUGCCCAAGGCACACCAAGAUAAUAUUUCAAGAAGUCUCAAGCAUCUAAGCUUGGGGAUGCCCCGGUAGGCAUCCCACCUUUCUUCUUCAACAACUAUCGGUUAGUAUCGGUUGAACCUAAGUUUUUGCUUCUUCACAUGAGUCGUGCUAUCCUUGCAAUGUCAUUUUGUUUUGUUUUGCUUGCUGUUUGAAUACAAUACCAAGAUCUGAAAUUAUUUAAUGGGAGAGAGUCUUCACAUAGUUGCAUAAUUAUUUAGCUACGCAUUGAUCUUCACUUAUAUCUUUUUGGAGUAGUUUUACAUUUACUCGUGUGCUUCACUUAUAUCCUAUGAGUAAAUGGUUGAAUGAGUUGAAUGUCAUAAAUCUGAAAUUACAUAUUUUUCAUUUGCUUAUCCCAUCGGGAGUAAUGACUUCACAUCUAAUAAGUAGAGGUAGUAAUUUAUUGGCGGUUAGCAAGCAUUAUAUUGGUCAUUUGAACAAUUCAUGAAAGAAUAUUGAAGGAAGAGAGAUUUCACAUAUAAAUAUAUUAUCAUAGACAUCUUUUAUAAUUGUGAGCACUCAUUAAGUAUGACAUGCUAAAGAGUUGAUGUUGGACAAGGAAGACAACAUAAUGGGUUAUGUUUUAUCACAUCUCAGUUAAAGUAUAUUGUCAUGGAUCAUUCAAACAUGUUGAGCUUGCCUUUCUCCCCUUGCUAGCCUAAAUAUCUGUACUAAGCGGGAAUACUGCUUGUGCAUCCAAUAUCCUUAAACCCAGUUUUUGCCAUGAGUGUCCACUAUACCUACCUAUAUGCGGUAUUUACCUACCGUUCCAAGUAAAUUUGCAUGUGCCAAACUCUAAACCUUCAAAUUAUAAUCUGUUUUGUAUGCCCGAAUUGCUCAUGUAGCAACUAGGGGCUGUCAGUGUCUUCCAUGCUAGGUGGGUUAUUCUCAAGAGGAGUGGACUCCGCUCCUCAUUCACGAGAAAGUGGCGGUAACCGGGAUGCCCAGUCCCAUGAUCAAAAGAUCAAAAACAAAUCAAAAAUAAUUGCAAACAAAAAUCCCCCAGGUUUGAUGUUAGUUGGAGGCACCCGUUGUUUCGGGCAAGCCAUGGAUUGAUGAUUGUUGGUGGAGGGGGAGUAAAAACUUUUACCAUUCUGUUUGGGAACCGCCUAUAAUGUAUGUAGUAUGGAAGAUAUUGAGAACUCUUGGUUGUUAUGUUGACAAUGAGAUCAUACUCUCAAAAUUAUUUAUCUCUAUUUCAAAAUUGAGCUCUGGCACCUCUGAAAAUCCCUGCUUCCCUCUGUGAAGGGCCUAUCUUUUACUUUAUGUCUUUUAGUUUAUGCAAGAGUCAAGGUGAUCUUCACCUUUCCCUUUUUCAUUUUAUCCUCUAGCAAGCACUUUGUGUUAGGGUGAUCCUGAUAUAUAUAUCCAAUUGGAUGUACGUUAGCAUGAACUAUUAUUGUUCACAUCACCAAAAGGUCAAUACAUUUGGAGGCAACAUUAUAAGCCCCAAUCUUUCUGUGUGUCUGAUUAAAACUUCAUAACCACAAGUAUUGCGUGAGUGUUAGCAAUUGUAGAAGACUAUAUGAUAGUUGAAUAUGUGAAGUUUGCUAAAUCAAAGCUCUAACAUAGACCCUUCCUGAAAAUAAGAUGAAUUGCAAUUGUUUGAUGACUAAGAAUGAAGUUUGCUAGUUUUCAAGAAAGUUUAUGGUCUAUGCUUUAACAUGUGAAUUGCUUGUUACUUGAUUAUCAAAAAUUUUAUGAGAUGAACUACUGUUAUGACAUAUAAACAUGCUAGAGAGGUGAUUGAAAUUAUUGUUGAUCAAACUUGUGCACCUCUAGCAUUCACACUUCAUAAAUUCUUUCUUUAUCAUUUACCUACUCGAGGACGAGUAGGAAUGAAUCUUGGGGAUGCAGAUACGUCUCCAACGUAUCUAUAAUUUAUGAAGCAUUCAUGCUAUUUUAUUAUCUGUUUUGCAUGAUUAUGGGCUUUAUUAUACACUUUUAUAUUACUUUUGGAACUAACCAAUUAACUGGAGGCCCAGACCAUAUUGCUGUUUUAUUGCCUGUUUCAGUAUUUCGAAGAAAAGGAAUAUCAAAUGGAGUCCAAACGGAAUGAAACCUUCGGCAGCGUUAUUUUUGGGAAGAAUAUCAUCCUGGAGACUUGGAGUUUACGUCAGAAGAUCCUUAAGGAGGCCAGGAGAUAGGGGGCGCCCCCCCCUACUGGGUGCGCCACCUGUCUCGUGGGCCCCUCGAGCACCUCCCGACCAACUUCUUUUGUCUAUAUAAGCCUACGUACCCUAAAAACAUCGAAUAUCAAGAUAGAUCGGGAGUUCCACCGGCGCAAGCCUCUGUAGCCACCAGAAACCUCUCGAGAGCCCUUCCCGGCAACCUGUCGGAGGGGGGAUCCUUCACCGAUGGCCAUCUUCAUCAUCCCGACGCUUUCCAUGAUGAGGAGGGAGUAGUUCACCCUCAAGGAUGAGGGUAUGUACCAGUAGCUAUGUGCUUGAUCUCUCUCUCUCUCUCUCUCUCUCUCUCUCUCUCUCUCGUGUUCUCUCUCAUGUUCCCUCUAUGGCACGAUCUUAAUGUAUCCCGAGCUUUGCUAUUGUAGUUGGAUCUUAUGAUGUUUCUCCCCCUCUACUCUCUUGUGAUGAAUUGAGUUUUCCCUUUGAAGUUAUCUUAUCGGAUUGAGUCUUUUAUGAGAACACUUGAUGUAUGUCUUAGCGUGAUUAUCUGUGGUGACAAUGGGAUGUCAUGUGCCACUUGAUGUAUGUUUUGGUGACCAACUUGCGGGUUCUGCCCAUGAACCUAUGCAUAGGGGUUGGCACACGUUUUCGACUUGACUCUCCGGUAGAAACUUUGGGGCACUCUUUAAAGUACUUUGUGUUGGUUGAAUAGAUGAAUCUGAGAUCGUGUGAUGCACAUCGUAUAAUCAUGCCCACGGAUACUUGAGGUGACAAUGGAGUAUCUAGGUGACAUUAGGGUUUUGGUUGAUUUGUGUCUUAAGGUGUUAUUCUAGUACGAACUCUUGAAUAGAUUGAUCCGAAAGAAUAGCUUUGAGGUGGUUUCGUACCCUACCAUAAUCUCUUCGUUUGUUCUCUGCUAUUAGUGGCUUUGGAGUGACUCUUUGUUGCAUGUUGAGGGAUUGUUAUAUGAUCUAUCUAUGUUAUUAUUGUUGAGAGAACUUGCACUAGUGAAAGUAUGAACCCUAGGCCUUGUUUCCUACCAUGGCAAUAUCGUUUACGCUCACUUUUAUCACUUGCUACCUUGCUGUUUUUAUAAUUUCAGAUUACAAAUACCUUUACUUACCAUCCAUAUUGCACUUGUAUCACCAUCUCUUCGCCGAACUAGUGCACCUAUACAAUUUACCAUUGUAUUGGGUGUGUUGGGGACACAAGAGACUCUUUGUUAUUUGGUUGCAGGGUUGUUUGAGAGAGACCACCUUCAUCCUACGCCUCCUACAGAUUGAUAAACCUUAGGUCAUCCACUUGAGGGAAAUUUGCUACUGUCCUACAAACUUGUGCACUUGCAGGCCCAACAACGUUUACAAGAAGAAGGUUGUGUAGUAGACAUCAGUAGUCUACUAGGGGUAGUCAUACAGCCACACACAUAUAUAGAUCUAGAUGAUAUCGACGACGACCAUCAUCCUCAAGCCAUGGCGGUGGGUGUUCCUGAUAGUAAUUCGGAUGGCAUGUCCAACACGAAGAUUCUUGCCAACGAUGAAGUUCUUCCACCCAACCGAUCUGAAGUGUGUGCGACCGUCCGUGUCCACGCCGUACGCAUAGGUGGUGAUGGAGCCCCUUGCGGUAUGGCGUAUUCUAGAAGAGCCUUCUUCAUCAGGCUCGAUACCACAACUCACAAAUAGCCUCUUUGGCAAUUUAUGAAUAAGAAAAACAUAUCAAUUAAUAAGUAGCCUCGCACAUACUCUUGCAAAUAUAUUUCUACUAAGUAUAGGUUUCUACACUAUCAAAAAAAUACUACAUUUCUACUAAGCUUGAAUUCUACUAAUAAGUAUGGAUCGGACAGUAAGCAUGUCAUUGGACUCUAGACUAAUUAAGCAUGUCAUCGGCUAGCUUCUACACAUCAUAUCAUUGGACUCUACACUAAGCAUAUCAUCGGAUUCACUAAGCAUACCGUUGGACUCUACACUAAGUAAGCAUGUAAUCGGAUUCUACACUAAGUAUAACAUACCAUAACAUGCCGAUUAACCAUGGUACUUGUCAGGCGGGUCACGAAUGGCACCCUGACAAAGUCAGCAAGUGGCGGAAUUAUGUCCCAUAGGUUGCACACUUCCUCCUCGCUCAGCCUUAUUCUUCGAGUAUAGAUGGCUUCAUCAAGUGGGUCAUCAUCAUCUUCAUCCAUGUUGAUAUAAAUGACGGCCAACUUGGGUCUUUCUACUAUGAAGGAGAAGCUGAUCAACUCACCACCAGUGAUACCCAUGUGGGAGAUGAGACGGUUCCAUCCAUUUCGUCCCAUCUACGACAUAUUUCGUCCUUUCUCGACCUCCAUAGUGUGGGGCCCCCCAGGAGCCUCAAAGGUCACAGUGUCUCCGAUCAGCUUGUUGAAUUCCAACCUCACAUUGCAUGGGAUGAUCUAUGUAUACACAAUGAUAGAUACACAAUGCACUAAUGCCAAUAACACUAAAAACAAAAUGGUUGUUACAAGUUUCAUAUAUUUUGUUACCGCUGCAGGAAGAAAACUCGGCUGGAAGUAGAUGCCGAACAAUGUGCCAGUUGCAAGGCUGCUAGCUCAUCUUGACUUGCACGGUCGACAUGGUGGUGGUGGUGGUGUCGCCGUUUUUCUAAAGAAAUAUUAGAAAAGGAUUAACGAUCCACUUCAGAGGAAAAAUAUGGCAUGACCUUUCCUAAAAAGGACAUAUCAAGUGCAUGACAUUUGCCGGAACAGAAAUUAAUCAACACUCCGGCAAAACAUAGGCCACUCGGAGGUGUUACCUGCAAAUAUGGUCACUUGGGCAAGAACAUAUCCUAUUUGAGCAACACUAUAUACUUGUUUAUAUCUACAUCAUAUGAGCAAUUCUUGAGCAACACUAAAUAAACUAGUUGUACUAAAAAAUCUACAUCAUUAUCUACUCAAAAUGUUCUAUACCUAAAACAUCUACAUCAUUAUCCACUAUUACUAUUUAUUUUACUAAACCCUAAAAAUAUGCCCUAAGUUCAGAAUAUAACAAGUACAGAACAUUUUUUCAAAUUAUACCAACUAAAAAUUUCCAUUACUAAAAUUUCUAAUCAAAAGACCUAAAAUUUCCUAUUCUAUUCAAAACACCUAAAAUAGGCUAAAAAAAUACUCUGUUACAAAACCUACAUUCUGCAUUAAACGACCUACAUUCUACAAGAACAGAGAGAAGGGAGGGAGGAGGGUUAGGAAGGAGGGAGGGAGGAGUGGGAGGAAGGAGGGAACAGGUGGGAAGAAUGGGGGAGGGAGGAGGAUGGAGGUAGGAGGAGCUACCUCGGUGGCGGUGACGGCCAGGAGGGGGGCGACGGUAGCAGGAUGGAGGAGGGAGGGUGACAGCCGGCAGGAUGGAGGAGGGAGGGGGCGAUGGCUGGCAGUGGGAUGGAGGAGGGAGGGGCGACGGCUGGUGGCGGGAUGGAGGAGGGAGGGGCGACAAUGCGGAGGUGGAAGACGACAGGGCCGGUGCGGGGGAGAGUGAGUGGAGCAGAGAGAGGAGAGUGACGAGCAGGCUGGUAAUAGGAUGGCUUUAGCAAUAGCAUUUUUCUUGCUAACGCGCUGCUGCUAAACGCCCUAGCAAUAGCACCUUCCGAUAAAAAGCGCCACUGCUAAGUGUAAGCAUGCAAAAAUACAUUGGCCGUCAAUGAUCUUUUUGUAUACAAUAUGAAUUGUCAAUAUGAGUCCUCUCAUGUAGGAACCGGAGAAGACUCAUAUUACGGCCACAAAUUCUACACAUAGAGUUCAAUGAAGACCAAGUGGUAGUGAUAGCUUGAGAAGUAACAUAUUUAAGGUGGUAAACACCCUGUUCGCGAACCGAGGUGGGACUAAACUUGUGGACUGAACUUAGCAGUAGCGAGUUUUACCGAAAGGCCCUGCUGCUAACAUCAAUAGCAGUAGUGCGCUAUUUAAUAUGGUGCUACUGCUAUAACUAGCUUGACAGUGAGGUCAUGGCAAUUAUAGCAGUAGCGUUGUUUACAAAGGACGCGCUACUACUAUUUUCCUUUCAGCAGCGUGUUUUUGUGGCACGCGCUGCUGCUAAGUAGCAGUAGUGCCAUAUUUUAAAGAUCACUGCUGGUAAGAUUCUGUGUAUAAGGUUUUUCCUAGUAGUGAUAGAACCUGAAUAGGAGAUAAACCUAGACUAGGGACUUAUGUGGUUAGUCAGGUCGUCGUCUACACCCACGUCGGCUUUCACUUGAAGUCUGUCGAGCACAUGUCGUGUGCAGACGCUAAGUGGCGGAAACAUGCGUGAAGAAGGACAACCCUGCAGGGUUAUAAACGAUCCAUUCGAAUAGCCACAUCCAUGAUAAAGGACUUCUAGGUUGCCUAUACAGUUCAUAGACAGGUGAAAGUGCAUACUCUAAAAUGCGCAAGAUAAGCGUGAGUGCUAUGGAUGGCGAUCUCGUAGGGAGACGGGAGCAGAUCCAUAGUGGUGAAUUGAUAUGGUGAAUAUGUGGACUCAUGUGCGCCACCUCAAAAGAGUUACUAGCAGUCGUAGUACAGGAUAGACAGUGAGUCAAAGCUGGCUUGCUACAGUUAAACUCCACCACCCCUUUGUUGAUACUGAUGCAUAUGUAGCUAGUUCUGAUGUAAGUCUUGAUGGGUACAUUUGUACUCACGUUUGCUUAAUUUAUGUUUUUGCAGAGAGACUUCACUCUCACUAGUAGUUCCGCAUGGACUUCAACGUUUAGCUUGUUACCUCAACUACGAUCUUGUGCCCUCGGGAGGGUCUUGUAGAUAGUCAGGCUUCUCAGCAUUCUUCAAUUGUAGUUGUAUGUACUCAGACAAGUUAAGCUUCCGCAUGUGCUUAUUGCUUGUAUGACUUGAAUGUUGGGUCAUCAGACCCAUGUUUGUAAUAUCUGGCUCCUCGGAGCCUAUUGAAUAAAUACUCUGAGUCGUAGAGUUUUGUUGUGAUGCCAUGUUGUAUUUGCACAAAUUGAGCAUAUUGUGUGUAUGUUAUUGAAAUGCUUGGUAUGUGUGGGAUCCGGCAAUCUAGUUGUUUAUUCUUGGUAGCCUCUCUUAUGGGGAAAUGUCUCCUAGUGAUUCCACUGAGCGAUGGUAGCUUGCUACUGCUCUGGAACACUUAGGCUGGCCGGCAUGUGUCCUUCUUUGUUCCUGUGCCUGUCCCUUUGGGGAAAUGUCACGUGUUGUUCCUUUAAGUCAUUGCAGCUUGCUACGACUUGGGUUCAUACGUUGAUGAUCGACAUGUUCGUUGCUAGAUCAUGUAUGCCUGUCCCUGUAAGUUAGUGCCACCUUGGGUUUACGACUAGUCAUGUCAUCCUGUGUUCUCUGUCAUAUGGAUGCUAGCAACAAUAUCAUAUACGUGAGCCAAAAGGCGCAAAUGGUCUCGGGCCAGGUAAGGUGGCACCCGUGGGAAUAUUGUGUGUGAGGCUGCAAAGUGAUAUGAUGUGUUACAUGCUAGAUCAGUGUGACUUAGGAUCGGGGUCCUGACAGGAGUGCCAUAUAGAAAGCUUCCGCUCGAGCUUGUGCACGAUGGGUAGCAAGUUGGUUGUGGUUGGCUUCCGGAUGGAAAGGGGUAGACCAGGUACUGCACAGGGAACUCCGCGACGGUGCAGUGCAUCUCUGCCACGAUGACAGUUGCAUGCUCGUCGGUGCAUCGAGUGGGAGUGGCAGAGCACUUGGUGAAGUUCGUCUGCAAGCCAAAUGCCACACCAAAAACGCAUAGGAUCUCCCGGAUAGUCGAUAUGUCGUGGUGAUCAGGAUGGCAGAAGAUGACAAUGUGUCGUCCGCAUAGAGCGAGAUGCAAGAACUGGCGUGUCUGGGAGUGAGUCACUGGAGCAUCCCAAGAUCGACCGCACGGAUGAGCAUAGAAUUGAGGACAUCGAUUACGAUGGUGAACAACAUAGGCGAGGCAGGAUCUCCUUGUUGCAGGCCGCAAGCGUGGUCGAUGGGUGGCCCUGGUUGCCCGUUGAUCAAGAUCCUAGUGGAAGCAGUAGAUAGGAGGAUCGAGAUCCAAUCCCUCUAGCGGCUCCCGAAGCCAAGGUGUCGCAGCAUCUCCAACAAUAAUGGUCAAGAUACACUGUCAAAGGCCCCCUCACACCCCCCCAGAUCCCCUCCAUUUGCUUGAGAUUUCACCGGUGGAUCCGGAGCAUUUUCAUCACCCAAGGUACCUCCCCCAUUUCCCCUCCUUUUGAUUGGUUGAGAUCUUUUUUUGUGUGGAUUUGGUCAAUUUAUUGCAAACCCUAGGUGUUGAUCUUGUUGUGUGCAUUUAUGACACAUUUAUGAUGCAUUUAUGGCUCAUUUAUGGCAAGGGUUAGGGUUAUGUUAGGGGUUAGUGUUAGUGUGAGGGUUGGGGUUAUAGUGGUUAUGCUGGGGGUUAGGGUUAGGGUUAGGGUUAAUGGUUAGGUUAACUUGAUUAUCAAUAGUAGUUAUUUGUCCAAUUUGUGCAUAAUUUAGUUUAUUUGUCCAUUUGAGUUGCACUAGUAGCAAAAGGGCCUAAUGUGAAGCACAUUAGUCCCGGUUUGUAAUAGAGCCGGCACUAAUGUGACCAUUAGUGCCGGUUCCAACGGCUAGGGGGGCGGAGCUCAUUAGUACCGGUUCGUGGUGAACCUUUAGCACUAGUUCGUGCCACGAACCGGUACUAAAGAGAGUGGUGGUAGGAUGUUGUCAGACUGGGGCCCCUCCAGCACCUUUAGUACCGGUUCGUGCCCCAAACCGGUACUAAAGGUCAUCAUACAUAUAAACCCUUCGUCUAGCUUGCUCUAUUCUUCCCCAUUUCCCCUCUCUUCUCUGUUCUUCCUCUCUUCCCCCUCGAGCUCAUCACACAUUUUGCCCAAUUUUUUUUCAAGAUUUGAAGGCCCCCAUCCAUUCAAGUGAUCACAAAGGUUAGCAACUUUGUCCUUUCAUAUCUCAUUGCUAGAUUGGCUCUUGUAAUGCUUUAUAUAGUGAUUAAUUUGUGGGUUUUAGUAAUUUGGGAGGAAUUAUAUGUUGUAGUAUAUUCGAUUUAUAUGCAAUUUCAGCUUAAAAUAACUCUUAGUUUGCAUAUGUAGGUGUGGUUUACUUAGUGCCUUCCUGUCUCCGUCGUAACUACUGUCAAUCUUCCGCACCGACCAGUCGCCGGUACCACCUUGUGGUGAGCCUCUUGUUCUUAUCUUUUUUAUAUAAAAAAAUCAUGUUUGUGUGAUUUAGAUAUAUAGUUACUUCUAUAAUUAUCUUACCCGUACGUUGUUUGUUAUACAUAGUGCCAUGGUUUUGAUAUCCGUCCCCGUCGGCUCUCGUCCGUGUUAUGAUUCCGAUGUGGUAUAUUCUCUUUUAAAACUAUUUGUUGGAUUUUCGUGUUUAUGACAAAUUAUGCCCAUCAAGUUGACAUAAAUAUUUUUAUCUAGGAGGUAUGUGAACCGGAAAUUCCAACCGACCCUAUUGUCGAGAGGUUAAAUUUAGUUAAAAGAGAAACCGAGUAUUUGAAAGAAAAAUUGAAAAGAAUUGAGGGGGAGAAGAUGGAAUUGGAGUUGCAUGUUGCUGAUGUCGUCGAUGAUCACAAGAUCAAGAUGGAGAAAAUGCGGUUGAAGAUUAGAAAGAUUAGAAAAUAUGCCAUUGAUAGUGAGGCUUGGUAUCAUUAUGCUGUUGGAUCAAUUGUUACUUUAGUUGCGAUCUUGAUCGCUUUUUUUGCAUUUAAUUGCUUUAGCUAGAUAGUUAUUUGUAUGUUGCAUUUAAGUGUUGUAUGAACUUUAUGUAUGAACUUGUAUUAAUUUGGUCUAUUCGGUGGUGUGUAAUGAAGAUGCACUGGCAAUGGAUGUACGAUAACCGAUGCUCUCCCCAAUUCAUUGAUGGCGUGCAUACUUUUCUGAUUGUGGCUCAGGCAAACAAGCGGGCGGAUGGUUUUAUGCCUUGUCCAUGUGCUGGCUGUAAGAAUGAUCACAAUUACUCUAACUCAAGAACCAUUCACAUCCACCUGUUUGAGUCCGGUUUCAUGCCCCAUUAUAACCUUUGGAAGACAAUGAAGAAGAAGAGGACGAUGAUAGCUAUCCUGGACAUGGGUUCCCUGAAUAUGAUGAUACAACAAUGGGGGAAGAAGCUUAAGAAGAGGCAUCAGAUGAGCCCGCUGAUGAUCUAGGUCGGGCCAUUGCCGAUGCAAAGAGAAACUGCGCAAGUGAAAAGGAGAAGAAGAAGUUGCAGCGCAUGUUAGAGGAUCACAAGAAAUUGUUGUACCUGAAUUGCAAAGGUGACAAGAAAAAGCUGGGCACCACACUGGAAUUGCGGCAAUGGAAGGCAGAGAAUGGUGUAUCUGACAAGGGAUUUGGAAAGUUGCUGGUAAUGAUAAAGAAUAUGCUUCCAAAGGACAAUGAAUUGCCCAAGAGUACGUACGAAGCAAAGAAGGAUGUCUGCCCUCUAGGCUUAGAGGUGUGGAAGAUACAUGCAUGCCCUAAUGACUGCAUCCUCUACCGCGGUGAGUACAAGGAUAUGAACAUGUGCCCGGUAUGCGGUGCAUUGCGCUAUAAGAUCAGCCGCGAUGACCCUGGUGAUGUCGAGGGCGAGCGCCCCAGGAAGAAGAUUCCUGCCAAGGUGAUGUGGUAUGCUCCUAUAAUACCAUGGUUGAAACAUUUGUUCCAAAACAAAGAGCAUGGCAAGGCGAUGCGAUGGCACGGAGAAGACCGUAAGAAGGAGGGAAAGUCGAGAGUACUAGCUGACGGGUCGCAGUGGAGAAAAAUAGAGAGAAAGUACAGGGAGGAGUUUGCAGGUGACCCAAGGAACGUAUGGUUUGGUCUAAGCACAUAUGUCAUUAAUCCUUUUGGGGAGCAGAGCAGCAACCAUAGCACGUGGCAUGUGACUCUUUGUUUGUAUAACCUUCCUCCUUGGUUGUGCAUGAAGCGGAAGUUCAUUAUGAUGCCAGUGCUCAUCCAAGGCCCUAAGCAACCCAGCAACGACAUUGAUGUGUACCUAAGGCCAUUAGUUGAAGAACUAUUACAGUUGUGGAAUGGAAAUGGUGUAUGUGUGUGGGAUGAGCACAAAUAGGAAGAAUUUGACCUAAAGGCAUUGCUGUUCGUGACCAUUAAUAAUUAGCCUGCUUUCAGUAACCUUUCAGGACAGACAAACAAGGGAUACCGCGGAUGCAUGCAUUGUUUGGAUGAUACCGACAUUAUAUAUUUGGAUAGUUGUAGGAAGAAUGUGUACCUGGGACAUCAUCGAUUUCGUCCGAGCAGGCAUCCCGUAAGAAAGAAAGGCAAGCAUUUCAAAGGUGAGGCGGAUCACCGGACGAAGCCUCGCCACCGUACUGGUGCUGAUGUACAUGAUAUGGUCAAGGAUUUUAAGGUAAUCUUUGGAAAGGGUCCUGGCGGACAACCUAUUCUGAAGGACGCUAACGGACACGCACCCAUGUGGAAGAAGAAAUCUAUAUUUUUGGGACCUACCCUAUUGGAAAUACCUAGAUGUCCGCUUCACAAUCAACGUGAUGCACGUGACGAAGAAUCUUUGCAUGACCCUGCUUGGCUUCUUGGGCGUGUAUGGGAAGACAAAAGAUACACCGAAGGCACGGGAGGACUAGCAAUGUAUGCAUGGAAAAGACGACAUACAUCAGGGUCAUGCCAGCUAUGCUCUUACCAAAGAAGAGAAGGAAAUCUUCUUUGAAUGCCUACUCAGUAUGAAGGUACCGUCUGGCUUCUCGUCGAAUAUAGAAGGAAUAAUAAAUAUGGCAGAGAAAAACUUGCGGAACCUAAAGUCUCAUGACUGCCACGUGAUUAUGAUGCAACUUCUUCCGGUUGCAUUGAGGGGGCUUCUACCGGAAAACUCUCGAUUAGCCAUUGUGAAGCUAUGUGCAUUCCUCAAUGCAAUCUCUCAGAAGGUAAUCGAUCCAAAAAUCAUACCAAGGUUACAGAAUGAUUUGGUGCAAUGUCUUGUCAGUUUUGAGUUGGUGUUCCCACCAUCCUUCUUCAACAUCAUGACGCAUGUCCUAGUUCACCUAUGUGAAGAGAUUAACGUUUUGGGUCAUGUAUUUCUACACAAUAUGUUCCCCUUUCAGAGGUUCAUGGGAGUCUUGAAUAAAUAUGUUCAUAACCGUGCUAGGCCAGAAGGAAGCAUCUCGAAGGGCCAUGAAAAUGAGGAGGUCAUUGAGUUUUGUAUUGACUUUAUUCCUGACCUUAAGCCGAUUGGUGUUCUUGAAUCGCGGCAUAAGGGUAGACUGGAUGGAAAAAGGCACGCUAGGAGGGGAUCAAAUCAUAUGUAUGGACGGGCAUUCUCUCACUGAAGCACACUACACAGUUCUAUAGAACUCCGCCUUGGUGGCUCCGUAUAUGGAGGAACACAAUAAUUUUCUACACUCCAAACACCCGGAGCAGUCUGACGACUGGAUUACACGUGAACAAAUGGGGACUUUCGCCAGUUGGUUGCAGACACGUGCCAUGCAUAAUGGCGAUAUUGAAGAUGACAUGUACUUGCUGUCCCAGUUACCAUCUUCGAAUAUAAUGACUUUUAAAGGGUACGAGAUAAAUGGGAAUACAUUUUACACGAUCGCCCAAGAUAAGAAGAGCACGAACUAAAACAGUGGUGUCCGCUUUGAUGCAACAACCAACACGGGAAAGGAAACAUAUUAUGGUUAAAUAGAGGACAUAUGGGAACUUAACUAUAGAGGUGGUUUGAAGGUCCCUUUGUUUCGGUGCAAAUGGGUUAAUAUGACAUGAGGCAGGGUAACGGAAGACCCGCAGUACGGAAUGACAACAGUGGAUCUCAACAAUCUUGCGUAUGCAGAUGAACCAUUCGUCCUAGCUAAUGAUGUGGCAUAGGUUUUCUAUGUGAAAGACAUGUCUACCAGGCCGAGAAAAAGAAAAGAUAAGGAAGCAAAUGCAUCAUACGAUGAGCCAAAGCGCCACAUAGUUCUGUCAGGGAAAAGAAACAUCGUGGGAGUGGAUGACAAGACAGACAUGUCAGAAGAUUAUGAAAAGUUUGAUGAAAUUGCUCCAUUCACAAUGAAUAUUGAUCCGAGCAUCCAGUUAAAUUAUGAAGAUUGUCCAUGGUUACGGCGCAAAGGGACACACGCAAAGAAAAAGUUUCACACCCAAAGAUCCCACUCUGGGAUGUGAUAGGCUUCACUGUCAUCACUUUCUUCUGUAGUGACUUUCCGGACUUAUAUAUCUGAAAAGUGUCGCUUCGAACGAACCAGAGGGAAUCUUUCUAAUAGUUAGGGUUAGGGUACUUAUGUGUUUUGGCAUUUGAAAUGCAAAGAAAUAUUAUGUGCAAAAACUAGAUGCACUUCGUCUACAAAUUAGUUCGUCAAAUAGUUCAAAUUUAGCAGACUAAGGCAUAGCCUAGUGGCGGAAAGGGGCUGAUGCCUUCCAACCCACCCAAGUUCAAGGCAUGGUACUUGCAAUUUGGGUUUGUUGCACCAAUUAUACUGUAGGGGCCUCCCUUACAGUCUUUCUAUAAAAAAAUCAAAUUUAAACUAUUCAAAUUUGAAAACUACUGGCACUAACAGGAAUUUUAUAAUUUUUUGUACCUAAAGAAAAAAUAUUCAGAAAUAAAUAAAUGAAAAUAAAUAAAGUAGAAAAGAAAAAAAGAAAAAAAAUAUUCAGAAAUAAAUAAAUGAAAAUAAAUAAAGUAGAAUAGAAAAUAAUUAAAAAAAUCAGACGAAAACUAAAUAAAAAAGUCCACCUACUAGGCCACAGCGACCUGCAUACGACUAGUAACCCAACCUGUAGUUGGGCCAGGAUGCAGGCCUGCAAGGCCCAGUAGGCCCACAGGGCAGAGAGUAGAGUUAGGCUCAGAAGCCUGCAGUAGAGAGGAGUUCGAGAGAGCAGCCGCGCCGGGGCUUUUAAACAGGUGCGGGCGCCCCUCGGCUAGCGAGGUGGGACUAAACUUUCGCGCACCGCACCUGCGCCAGCGCACCCCCUUUAGUACCGGGUCGUGGCUCCAACCGGUACUAAAGGGGGGGCCUUUAGUACCAGUUGUAGCCACCACCCGGUACUAAAGGGGGUGCGCUUCCCGCCGCUUCGCCUGGCCAAAACAGACCUUUAGUACCGGUUAGUGGCUCCAACCGGUACUAAAGGUAGGUUCUAUAUAAGAAAACACUUCAAAAAAAAUUCGUCAGUUCAUUCUCCCUCUGCUUCUUCUCCUCUGCCCGUUGUCGCCGCCCCUCGUCGCCGCCCCCGUCGCCGUCCUGUCACCGUCGUCGUCGUCCCCGUCAUCGUCCGUCGCCGUCCCCUCUGCCUCGCCGUCCCAUCCCCUCUGCCUCGCCGUUGCCAUCGCCCGCGCUGUGAGCCCCUCUCCCCGUCCGCUCUCCUCCCUCCAAUGGAAGUCGCCGCGCCGCCAGCGCCGGCACACAUGCGCACGCGCGCGCGCACCCCCCCCCACACACACACGAUUCUGCUUUUAGUUUUUAAUUUUUAGUUUUUCUGUUAUUUCUGUUUUUGUACAAAUGUUUUAGAUGAAUUAAUUAAUUAUAUUAGAUUAAUGUCAAAUAGUAUAUAGAAAUGUUAGAAAUGUUAAAGAAAUGUUAGAAAUUUUAGAAACAUUAGUUUUAGCUAGAUGAAUUAGAUUAAUUUCAAAUUGUUAUAGAAAUGUUAGAAAUGUUAUAGAAAUGUUAGUUUUUAGUUUCUUAUAAUUUUAGUUAUAGAAAUUUAGAAUUUGCAUAUAAGAAAUCACAAUCAAAUCAUUUAAAAAUUGUUACUUUUGUGGCGUAUAGUAUUUGUUCUCGACGAUGCCCGGCCUGCAUCCUCGCCAUCAACCCAUUCACGAUGACGUCCCGCUUCAGAGGACCCAUGUCCGGGACUGGGCUUCGCCGGGCUGGCACUGGGAGGUGCUAGCUUCAGGGGCUCGCCGCUUGGUGAGGAACCCGGGUACCGUCGUCGACCCUGAGCUCCUUUGGUGGCGUUCCCGUGGGCCACUUUCGGUGCCGAGGGAGCCGGCCCUGCCGGAGGUGGUGCGUCGCCGUGUCAGGGAGGAGGACGAGCAUGUCCGUCGCUACAUGGCUGCUAUGGACGUCAGGUUCUCCAAUACCUGGCAGAGUCUUUGGGGAGAUCACCGGAGCUAUGAUCCUGUGAUGGUUCCUUCUCUUUGGGUGUCCACUUCCCGCGCCUCAGGAACCGUGAGUGGCCUAGAUUAUUCUAUAGUAUUCGAUCUUUAUUGGCUAGCUAGCUAGUGAUGUAUUCGGUAUAUAAUAUUCGAGACAAUGUAUUCGAGAUUAUAUAUUAUUCGAGACGAUGCAUAUUAUGUACUAUGAUUCAGGAUUUCCUUAUUGAUUACAUGCAAGCAUUGUAAUUUGAAUACUAAAUUGUUUUACAUUUCUUCUGGAUUAGUUAAAUAAAAGCUAUGGUGGACAAUACCGGCAGAGAGGGAGAAGAGGCCCUAUUCAAGAUCAUACACUCCCCUCGCGGGCCAGAUGAUCGAAAUGAAGAAGAAGAAGAUGACGGCUCGCAAUAUCUGAACAAUACCAGGGAGGGUGAUGAUGAGCUGAUAUUCGAUAGCGAUGACAGAGCAGAUGAAGUCAUGGACGACGUCUAUGAUAUCGAUUAUGAUGGCGAAGAAAAUGUUGAUCUUGAAAUUGGUGAAGAAAAUGUUGAUCUUGAAAUAAAAGAGACCGGCGAGGUAUAUUUAUAUAAGCAGGCAUCUGGUGAUCUCACAUGUUUUAAAUGAUUUGAAGAUAUAUUAACGAAUCAAUCUUUGUUCUUUCAGCCCUCCGGAUCGAGAAAAUCAUCUACAGGCAGAAAGAGAGGCCUGGGAAAAAAGUUGAAGGACGGCAUAAAGUACAUCAUUGAUGCCAUCAAAACUAAUGGCGAACCAAUAGCGCCUAAGAACAUUGCUAACAAGUUCGUUCGUUAGUGCGGAGUUCUUGUGAAGGACAAACUCCCGAUCUCCCUUCAAGAAUGGAAAGAGCCAUCAAAGCACCAUCCAGAUCUUACUUUUGUCGACCAUAGAGCAAAAACUGCGCUUUGGGAAAAUUUCAUGGAACAUUUCACCCUACCAGAUCAUUUCACAACUGCAGAUGUGGAGAAAGUCAAGGACACUGCUCUUAAGAAGAUGGCAAUUGCAUUUAACAACCACAAGAAAACUGUAUGGAAUAACUACGUCAAAGCAGGAAAGAAGACUCCAGAAUUCAAGGGAACACUGGAGAACCAAAGAGAACACUGGCCCGCUUUCGUGAAAUUCAAGGAAUCCAAAUUAUCCAAGGAACGGUCCAGAAAAAACAAGGCCAAUGUCGCAAAAAAGGAGCAAUUCCAUAGGCUGGGGCCAGGUGGCUACGCGGUGGCAAUACCUAUGUGGGAUAAGUCUGAGCAAGAGAUGUUGGCUGCACAGGUCACUCCAGUUACGUUGAGCUGCCCCCCAGGUGCAGAACUUGGUUCUAUGCGCAUGGGGGUGUUGGACCCGAAGACAGGCCUGGUUUCGAAGAAGGCAUGUCUUAAAGGAGUCGAUGUUAAGUUAGUUCAAGCAAUACAAGAAGCUCGGGAGGGGGUGUUCACGCCCAACAGAGAGAACGACGAGCUUACGCGCGCCCUGGGAAAUUCUGAACACCCAGGAAGAACACGAGGCAAGGGCAUUAUUCCAUGGUAUCAGGACUUUUCUGACUGGAACACGGACUACAAAAGCCGUGCGAGAAGGAAGAUGGAGGAGGAUAAUAAGAAGAAUCUGGAGGACGAGCAGAGGGAGUAGGAAGCAGAACACCUUCAAGGCCUAGAAUCAGCGCACGCGGACUUGGCACUCAAAUUGCAGCGGCAGCAGUAGCAGAUCGACUCUCUUAGCCAGGAAAGGGGGUCUCAGCAGCGGCAGCAGCUAGCGGAUGAUCCAGCAUUGGAUAGCACCAUUCCAUCCAUGCCGAGAAGCAGCAUGGGUUCCGCCCCGGGCGACGCACUUCUGGAUAGAUACCCUGUGGAUGACAUCAUGGAGAACACUAACUGUGAGCUACACUUCAAAAUAAAGAACAUAUCCGUGAAGGCGNNNNNNNNNNNNNNNNNNNNNNNNNNNNNNNNNNNNNNNNNNNNNNNNNNNNNNNNNNNNNNNNNNNNNNNNNNNNNNNNNNNNNNNNNNNNNNNNNNNNNNNNNNNNNNNNNNNNNNNNNNNNNNNNNNNNNNNNNNNNNNNNNNNNNNNNNNNNNNNNNNNNNNNNNNNNNNNNNNNNNNNNNNNNNNNNNNNNNNNNNNNNNNNNNNNNNNNNNNNNNNNNNNNNNNNNNNNNNNNNNNNNNNNNNNNNNNNNNNNNNNNNNNNNNNNNNNNNNNNNNNNNNNNNNNNNNNNNNNNNNNNNNNNNNNNNNNNNNNNNNNNNNNNNNNNNNNNNNNNNNNNNNNNNNNNNNNNNNNNNNNNNNNNNNNNNNNNNNNNNNNNNNNNNCACACUGGGAGAGGCCAUACAUCGUAUCAUCCUAUGGAGAAAGGAUUGCAUAAUCUUUCGAAGGCCACCGACACCGCGUCAGCUAGAGCUUGACAUCCCAAGAGGUGAUGAGGAGCAGGCGGCUCCCGCUCCUCCUAGUCCGGCACAGCUUCAGGCCACUCCUCCUGCGUCAACUCAGCCAACACGUGAGGCCACUACUCCUGCUUCAACUCAGCCAAAGCGUGAGGCCACUCCUCCUGCUUCAACUCAGCCAACACGUUAGGCCACUCCUCCUCCUCCGAGUCCACCAACGCGUGCCACUCCUCCUCCAAGUCCGACACCGCGUGAGCCAUCUCCGCUGCCUCGGCAAUCGCAGAAGAGAGCCGCCGCAGCUAUGAUGCGUAGUGCUACAAGUCAAGGUAGUACAGGAGGUACAGGCAGAGGCAAGCGCUUUCAAUAUGGUCCAAGCCUCGCGCCUCUUCCGCAGAGGCCUUACGACAUGACCAAGUAGCAAAACGAAGCCAUAGUGAAAGCCCAAGUGGACACCCACUUUGGACCAAAACCGUCACCACCGCCAAGGGAGAAAGUGCCCGAGGAGAAGAUUGACCACUUUAUUCGUAUGGCUAGACCACCAGCUCCCAAGCCUAUUGACUCAGACUAUGAGCGCCAAAUUAGGAAGGCACAUCGAGCACGACUAAAGGAGUCGAGCUCGAGCUCGAGCCAAGCAGUUGGCCAAAAAUGCGGGAAAACCGUUCCCCAUCUAGGAGAACAUGAGGCACAAUCGAUCCCCCCGCUUGUUGUACCAACACAUGAGAGUACCGGCGCCGGUCAGCUGGUAAUAACCGACGAGCAUAGAAGGCAGGCAGAAAUGCUCGGUAUCACUGUUGGACAACUCCUCGAGAUUGAGCACAUGCCUCUGCUUAGAAAGGAGGACAUAAAAUAGAAAUAUGUCCGCGGCCAACCUUUGGUCAAGCCUGAAGAGGUCAAGAACCUCCCAACGAGAAUGUAUGCAUUGCAUGAUUGGUACAUGAAAAUUAUCAAGAGUACCAAUCGAGAGUCCCUCAUGGUAAAAGUCAAGGAAGAGUAUUACUUCCAUAAGCUAGCUCUGUCCGUCGAGUAUUCUGAAGUAUUUCAGUUAUUCACUCAAGACACACUCAACAAAUCUCUCGUUAGUUGCUAUUGUCUGUAAGUGAUUCCUUUCUGUAAUUUAAGUCUCAAGCUAGAUGUAGUGAUCAUUGAUGACCCACAAGUGUAGGGGAUCUAUUGUAGUCCUUUCGAUAAGUAAGAGUGUCGAACCCAAUGAGGAGCAUAAGGAAAUGACAAGCGGUUUUCAGUAAGGUAUUCUCUGCAGGCACUGAAAUUGUAGGUAACAGAUAGUUUUGUGAUAAGAUAAUUUGUAACGGGUAACAAGCAAUGAAAGUAAAUAAGGUGCAGCAAGGUGUCCCAAUACUUUUUGUUGCGAAGGACAAGCCUAGACAAGUUCUUAUAUGAGAAAAGAGCUCCCGAGGACACAUGGGAAUUAUCAUCAAGCUAGUUUUCAUCACGCUCAUAUGAUUCACGUUCGUUACUUUGAUAAUUUGAUAUGUGAGUAGACCGGUGCUUGGGUACUACCCUUUCUUGGACAAGCCUCCCACUUAUGAUUAACCCCUAUUGCAAGCAUCCGCAACUACAAAAGAAGUAUUAAGGUAAACCUAACCAUAGCAUUAAACAUGUGGAUCCAAAUCAGCCCUUACGAAGCAACGCAUAAACUAGGGUUUAAGCUUCUGUCACUCUAGCAACCCAUCAUCUACUUAUUACUUCCCAAUGCCUUCCUCUAGGCCCAAACAAUGCUUAAGUGUCAUGUAGUCGAUGUUCACAUAACACCACUAGAGGAUAGACAACAUACAUCUUAUCAAAAUAUCGAACGAAUACCAAAUUCACAUGACUACUUAUAGCAAGACUUCUCCCAUGUCCUCAGGAACAAAAGUACUACUCACAAAUCAUAUUCAUGUUCAUAAUCAGAGGGGUAUUGAUAUGUAUUAAGGAUCUGAACAUAUGAUCUUCCACCAAAUAGACCAACUAGUAUCAACUACAAGGAGUAAUCAACACUACUAGUAACCCAUAGGUACCAAUCUGAGGUUUCGGUGCAAAGAUUGGAUACAAGAGAUGAACUAGGGUUUGAGAGGAUUUGGUGCUGGUGAAGAUGUUGAUGGAGAUUGACCCCCUCCCGAUGAGAGGAUCAUUUGUGAUGACGAUGGUGAUGAUUUCCCCCUCCCAGAGGGAAGUUUCCCCGGGAGAACAGCUCUACUGGAGCCCUAGAUUGGUUCCGCCAAGGUUCCGCCUCGUGGCGGCGGAGUUUCGUCCCGUAAGCUUGCUUAUGAUUUUUUCCAGGGUAAAAGACUUCAUAUAGCAAAAGAUGGGCACCGGAGGCCUGUCAGGGGGCUCACGAGGCAGGGGGCGCGCCCUAGGGGGGUGGGCGCGCCCCCUACCCUCGUGGAUAGGGUGUGGGCCUCCUGACGUUGAUUCCUUAGCCAGUAUUUUUUAUUAAUUCCAAAAAUUACUUUCAUGGAGUUUCAGGACUUUUGGAGCUGCGCAGAAUAGGUCUAUAAUAUUUGCUCCUUUUCUAGCCCAGAAUCCCAGCUGCUGGCAUUCUCCCUCUUCAUGUAAACCUUGUAAAAUAAGAUAAAAUAGCCAUAAGUAUUGUGAUAUAACGUGUAAUAACAGUCCAUAAUGCAAUAAUUAUUGAUAUAAAAGCAUGAUGCAAAAUGGACGUAUCAACUCCCCCAAGCUUAGACCUUGCUUGUCCUCAAGCAGAAGCCGAUAUCGAAAAAUAUGUCCACAUGUUUAGAGAUAGAGGUGUUGAUAAAAUAAAAUACGGAAUGAGGGCAUCAUGAUCAUUCUUAUAACAACAACAACAAUAUAUAUAUAUAUAUAUAUAUAUAUAUAUAUAUAUUGUCAUAUGAUUUCUUAUGCUUAAGUAACGAUCUAUUCACGAUGUCAAGUAUGGAUCAGAAACUUCAUUGAGAACUAAGAAACUAUAAUCUCAGUCAUUGGAGCAAUUGCAAUUUAUCAUAACAUAGGAAAGAGUCAACAUAAGAGCUUUUCAGCAAGUCCACAUACUCAACUAUCAUUUAGUCUUUCACAAUUUCUGACACUCACGCAAUACUUAUGUUUAUGGAGUUUUAAUUGGACACAGAGAAAGAUAGGGGCUUAUAGUGUUGCCUCCCAACAUUUUACCUCAAGGGUAAUGUCAACAAUAAUAGUUCAUGCUAACUUACAUCCAAUUGGAUAUAUAUAUAUAUCAUGAUCUUUCCAACAUGAGGUGCUUGCCAAAGGAUAAAAUGUGAAAAGGAAAGGUGAAGAUCACCUUGACUCUUGCAUAAGAUUUAAAACAUAAAGUAAAAGAUAGGCCUUCAAAGAGGGAAGCAGAGGUUGUCAUGUGCUUUUAUGGUUGGAUGCAUGAAAUCUUAAUGCAAAAGAACGUCACUUUAUAUUGCCACUUGUGAUAUGAACCUUUAUUAUGCAGUCCGUCGCUUUUAUUACUUCCAUAUCACAAGAUCGUAUAAAGCUUAUUUUCUCCACAUUAACAAGUCAUACAUAUUUAGAGAGCAAUUUUUAUUGCAUGCAACAUGAAAACUUACUUGAAGGAUCUUACUCAAUCCAUAGGUAGAUAUGGUGGACUCUCAUGGCAAAACUGGUUUAAGGGUAUUUUGGAAGCACAAGUAAUUAUUACUUUGUUCAAGGAAUUUGGAUAGCAUGAGGGGGAAAGGCAAGCUCAACAUGUCGGACGAUCCAUGACAAUAUACUUUAACUAAGAUGUGAGAAAACAUAACCCAUUACAUUGUCUUCCUUGUCCAACAUCAACUCUUUAGCAUGUCAUACUUUAAUGAGUGCUCACAAUCAUAAAAGAUGUCCAAGAUAGUAUAUUUGCAUGUGAGAACCUCUCUUUCUUUAUUACUUCCUAUUAAUUGCAACGACGACCAAACUAUGUUUUCCAACUCUCAACAACUUUUAUGCCUCAUACUCUUUAUGUGUGAAGUCAUUACUAUCCAUAAGAUCAACAUGGUCUCUUUUGUUUCUUUUUAUUCUUUCUAUUUUCUCAAGAUCAUAGCAAGAUAUAAAAUCCCUUGACUCAACACUAAUCUUUAUUAUAAAUAGCUCACGGACUCGAUUACAUACAGGGAUCACAAAGCAAAACUCAAAACUAAUUCAUACCAGAACUUUAUUCUACUAAAUCAAGAUAUUACCAAAAGGAUCGAACUAAGAAAAACUGUAAAGAUAGGAGUGUGAUGGUGAUACGAAACCGGGGCACCUCCCCCAAGCUUGGCAGUUGCCAAGGGGAGUGCCCAUACCCAUGUGAUUAUGUCUCCUUUGCUGGUGGAGAAGGUGGUGAUGGAUAGUCGCACAUCGAGCGUAGGAGCUCUUCCAACUUGCGGAUAAUGCCCUUGAGUGCGAUGAUAUGAUCCUUCAACAAAAUAUUUUCACGUGUGAGAUACUUGUUUUGUAUGUGAGCUAACUCAAUCAUCUUGAAAGCUUCAAUCUCAGUCGGGGUAAAGAGGUCGGGAAGAGGUCAGAUGUUUUCUUCUUCUCCCGCCGGAGCUUUAUCCUCUGUAGCCUUCUUGAUCCUAUCCUCCUUGUUGAUCUCCCCGGGUUCUUCUCUCUUCAGUCUUCAUUAGCCAAGCAUCGUUGCCUUCAUUCUUGGAGGAGGGUGGCGACAUGAUGCCUGGCCUUGACAAAUCUAACAGAAAACAACUCAAAACAAAGACAAAGGAUAUUUGCGUGAUACGGUGGUCAAUACCUCCGGGAGAUUAUAUAAUGAAUUUUUACCGACCAAAAAAAAUAUCGUGCAAGAAAACGGAGUCCGGAGAGCACACGAGGUGCCCACGAGGCGGGGGGCACGCCUAGUGGGGUAGGGAGUGCCCUCCACCCUCGUGGACGCCUCGUGUCCUUCCUGGACUACUUCUUAUUUUCCUAUUUUCUUAAAUAUUCCAAAACCGACAAAUACUGCUGUUAAAAUUAAUUUGGAGUCGGUUUACUUACUGUACCACGUACCUAUUCCUUUUUGGAGUCUGGAACAUUCUGGAAAGUGUCCCUUAUAUAUUCCUCUGGGGUUACGGUUUCAAUAAUGUUAUUUUCAACAUUUAUUGGGUUACCUGAGAUAUAAUGUUUAAUUCUUUGACCAUUCACCACCUUCGGAUUUGUGCCUUCGAAGUUGUUGAUUUUUAUGGCACCGGAACGAUAGACUUCCUCGAUAACGUAAGGACCUUCCCAUUUAGAGAGAAGUUUUCCUGCAAAAAAUCUUAAAUGAGAGUUCAAAAGCAACACAUAGUCACCCACAUUAAACUCACGCUUUUGUAUCGUUUUGUCAUGCCAUCGUUUAACUUUUUCCUUAAAUAGUUUGGCAUUUUCAUAAGCUUGGGUUCUCCAUUCAUCAAGUGAGCUAAUGUCAAACAACCUCUUCUCACCGGCAAGUUUGAAAUCAUAAUUGAGCUCUUUAAGAGCCCAAUAUGCAUUAUGUUCUAGUUCAAGAGGUAAAUGACAUGCUUUUUUGUAAACCGUUUUAUAUGGAGACAUACCCAUAGGAUUUUUAUAUGCAGUUCUAUAAGUCCAUAAUGCAUCAUCAAGUUUCUUGGACCAAUUCUUUCUAGAUCUAUUAACAGUAUUUUGCAAAAUUAAUGUAAGCUCUCUGUUACUCAGCUCUACUUGGACACUAGACUGUGGGUGAUAAGGGGAUGCAAUUCUAUGAUUAACAUCAUAUUUAGCAAGCAUUUUAAAAAAAGCACCAUGAAUAAAAUGUGAACCACCAUCAGUCAUUAAGUAUCUAGGGACUCCAAACCUCGGAAAAAUAACUUCUUUAAGCAUCUUAAUAGAGGUGUUAUGAUCAGCACUACUAGUUGGAAUAGCUUCUACCCACUUAGUAACGUAAUCAAUAGCAAUUAAAAUAUGUGUAUACCCAUUAGAGGCAGGAAAAGGUCCCAUAUAAUCAAAGCCCCAAACAUCAAAUGGCUCAAUAACAAGAGAAUAGUUCAUAGGCAUUUCUUGAUGUCUACUAAUAUUACCAAUUCUUUGACAUUCAUCACAAGACAAGACAAACUUACGUGCAUCUUUGAAGAGACUAGGCCAAUAAAAACCAGAUUGCAAUACCUUAUGUGCAGUUCUAUCUCCAGCGUGGUGUCCUCCAUAUGCCUCGGAGUGACACUUAUGUAGGAUCUGUUCCUCUUCAUGCUCAGGUACACAACAUCUAAUAACACCAUCUACUCCUUUGUAGAGGUGUGGGUCAUCCCAGAAGUAAUGUCUUAAAUCAUAGAAAAACUUUUUCUUUUGCUGGUAUGUAAAGCUAGGUGGUAUGAAUUUAGCAACAAUGUAAUUAGCAUAAUCAGCAUACCAUGGAGCAGUACGAGAAGCAUUUAUGACUACUAAUUGUUCAUCAGGAAAGCUAUCAUUAAUAGGUAGUGGGUCAUCAAGAAUAUUCUCUAACCUAGACAAGUUGUCUACAAUUGGGUUCUCAGCUCCCUUUUUAUCAAUAAUAUGUAAAUCAAAUUCUUGUAGCAAGAUAACCCACCUAAUAAGUCUAGGUUUAGCAUCUUUCUUUUCCAUAAGGUAUUUAAUAGCAGCAUGAUUAGUGUGAAUAGUUACUUUAGAAUCAACAAUAUAAGGUAUGAACUUAUCACAAGAAAAUACAACUGCUAAAAAUUCCUUUUCAGUGGUAGCAUAAUUUCUCUGGGCACUGUCUAGAGUUUUCCUAGCAUAUUGAAUAACAUUUAGUUUCUUAUCAACUCUUUGUCCUAGAACAGCACCUACAACAUAAUCACUAGCAUCACACAUAAUUUCAAAGGGUAAAUUCCAAUCAGGUGGCUGAACAAUAGGUGCAUAAAUCAAAGCUUUCUUAAGUAUUUCAAAUGCUUCUACACAAUCAUCAUCGAAGACAAAAGGAAUAUCUUUUUGUAAUAGAUUAGUCAGAGGCCUAGAGAUUUUGGAAAAGUCCUUAAUGAACCUCCUAUAAAAACUGGCAUGACGAAGGAAACUUCUUAUACCUUUGAUGUCCUUGGGACACGACAUCUUUUCAAUGGCAUCAACUUUAGCUUUAUCAACUUCAAUACCUCUUUCAGAAAUUUUAUGCCCCAAGACAAUGCCUUCAUUAACCAUAAAGUGGCACUUCUCCCAGUUCAAAACAAGACUAGUAUCUUCAAAUCUCUGCAAAACUAGUUCAAGGUUGCUCAAGCAAUCAUCAAAAGAGGAUCCAUAAACGGAGAAAUCAUCCAUGAAUACCUCACAAAUCUUUUCAGAAAAGUCAGAGAAUAUAGCCAUCAUGCAUCUUUGAAAAGUAGCAGGUGCAUUACAUAAACCAAAAGGCAUGCGUCUAUAAGCAAAAGUACCGAAAGGGCUAGUAAAGUGGUCUUUUCUGGAUCAUCCGCUGACACAGGUAUUUGAGAGAAACCAUAGUAACCAUCUAGAAAGCAAAAAUGUGUAUGUUUGGAUAGUCUUUCUAGCAUUUGAUCAAUAAAGGGUAAAGGGUAAUGAUCCUUUUUAGUAGCUUUAUUUAAUUUGCGGAAAUCAAUUACCAUCCUAUAACCUGUAAUAAUUCUUUGCGGGAUCAAUUCAUCUUUAUCAUUAGGAACAAUAGUAAUACCUCCCUUCUUAGGGACACAAUGGACAGGACUUACCCACUUACUAUCAGCAACAGGAUAAAUUAUACUUGCCUCAAGGAGUUUUAGUAUUUCCUUUCUUACCACUUCCUUCAUCUUAGGAUUUAACCAUCAUUGGUGAUCAAUAACUGGUUUGGCGUCUUUCUCCAAUUUUAUUUUGUGUUGACAUAGAGUGGGACUAAUGCCCUUAAGAUCAUCAAGAGUAUAUCCAAUAGCAACACGGUGCUUCUUCAGAGUUUUCAAUAAUCUUUCCUCCUUCUGCUCUGAAAGGUUAGCACUAAUAAUAAUAGGAUAUAUCUUCUUUUCAUCGAGAUAAGCAUAUUUAAGAGUAUCAGGUAAUGGUUUUAAGCUCAAACACGGGAUCACCCUUAGGUGGUGGAAGAUCCCCUAGGAUUUCAACAGGUAAGUUGUGUUUCAAAAUAGGACCCUGUUUAAAGAAUACUUCAUCUAUUUCCCUUCUUUCAUUCAUGAACAUAUCAUUUUCAUGGUCGAACAAAUAUUGUUCUAAAGGAUCAGUAGGAGGCACAUCAAUAGAGGCAAGAGCAAUAAUUCCGUCUUUACUAGACAGUUCUUUAUCAUGGGGUUGUCUACUAAAUUUAGCAAAAUUAAAAUCGUGAGUCAUAUCAUCCAAGCCAAUUGUGACAACAUCUUUUUUGCAAUCAAUUCUAGCAUUAACAGUAUUCAAGAAGGGUCUACCAAAUAUAAUGGGACAAAAGUCAUCUUGUGGGGAACCAAGAACAAGAAAAUCAGCAGGAUAUUUGACUUUCCCACACAAGACUUCAACAUCUCUAACAAUUCCAAUUGGUGAAAUAGUAUCUCUAUUGGCAAGAUUAAUUAUAACAUCAAUAUCUUCUAUCUCAGCAGGUGCAAUGUCAUGCAUAAUUUCUUGAUAUAAGGAAAUAGGUAUUGCACUAGCACUAGCACCCAUAUCACAUAAGCCAUGAUAACUAUGAUCUCCUAUUUUAACAAAAAUAGCAGGCAUGCCUACUAUAGGUCUAUGUUUCUUAGCAUCAGGUCUAGCAAUUCUAGUAGCUUCAUCACAGAAAUAAAUAACAUGCCCAUCAAUAUUAUCAUCCAAGAGAUCUUUAACCACAGCAAUAUUAGGUUCAACUUUAAUUUUCUCAAGUGGUGUGGGUGUUUUAGUAUUACUCUUAUGAACCACAAUUGAAGUUUUAGCAUGAUCCUUUAUCCUAACAGGGAAAGGAGGUUUCUCAAUAUAAGUAGUUGGGACAAUAGGAUCAUUAUAAAUGAUAGUAUUUUCUUCAACUUUAAUAGGUGCAACUACUUUUACUUCGGUGGGAGGAUUAUAUUUAAACCACUUUCUCCUUAGGGAGAUCAACAUGAGUAGCAAAUGAUUCACAGAAAGAAGCUACUAUCUCGGAGUCAAGUCCAUAUUUAGUGCUAAAUCCACGAAAAGCAUCGGUAUCCAUAAAAGAUUUAACACAAUCAAACUUAGGUGUCAUACCUGACUCCUUACCAUCGUCGGAAUCCCAAUCUUCAGUGUUGCGUUUAAUUAUUUCCAAUAAAUCCCACUUGAAUUCAAUAGUCUUCAUCAUAAAAGACCCAACACAAGAAGUAUCAAGCAUGGUGUGAUUGUUGAGAGAAAGCCAAGCAUAAAAAUUUUGAAUAAUCAUUUCUCUUGAGAGCUCAUGAUUGGCGCAUGAAUAUAACAUUGACUUAAGCCUCCCCCAAGAUUGAGCGAUGCUUUCUCCUUCCCGAGGCCAAAAAUUAUAUAUGUAAUUACGGUCACGAUGAACAAGAUGCAUAGGAUAAAACUUCUGGUGAAAUUCCAAUUUCAAUCAUUUAUAGUUCCACGAUCCCAUAUCAUCACAUAGCCUAUACCACGUCAAUGCAUCUCCCUUCAAAGAUAAAGGGAAAACCUUCUUCUUGAUAACAUCCUCAGUAAUACCUGCAAGCUUAAAUAAUCCACAAACUUCAUCUACAUAGAUCAAGUACAAGUCAGGAUGUAAUGUUCCAUCUCCUGUAAAAGGAUUAGCUAGCUGUUUCUCUACCAUACCUGAAGGAAUUUCAAAGUAAACAUUUUCAGUAGGUUCAGUAGGUUGAGGAGCAACUCUUUGCUCUACUGGUCGGGGUGAAGAUACCCCGAACAAGCACCUCAAAGGAUUAGUUUUCAUAGUAACAAGUGACAGUAAAUUUCAGCACACUAUAUAAAUUUUUCCUUACCAAGUUCCACUUACCAAAGGCGCUUCACUCCCCGGCAACGGCGCCAGAAAAGAGUCUUGAUGACCCACAAGUGUAGGGGAUCUAUCGUAGUCCUUUCGAUAAGUAAGAGUGUCGAACCCAACGAGGAGCAGAAGGAAAUGACAAGCGGUUUUCACUAAGGUAUCCUCUGCAGUCACUGAAAUUGUAGGUAACAGAUAGGUUUGUGAUAAGAUAAUUUGUAACGGGUAACAAACAAUGGAAGUAAAUAAGGUGCAGCGAGGUGGUCCAAUCAUUUUUGUAGCAAAGGACAAGCCUGGACAAGUUCUUAUAUGAGAAAAUCGCUCCCGAGGACACAUGGGAAUUAUCGUCAAGCUAGUUUUCAUCACGCUCCUAUGAUUCGCGUUCGUUACUUUGAUAAUUUGAUAUGUAGGUGGACCGGUGCUUGGGUACUACCCUUUCUUGGGAGAGCAUCCCACUUAUGAUUAACCCCUACUGCAAGCAUUUGCAACUACAAAAUAAGUAUUAAGGUAAACCUAACCAUAGCAUGAAACAUGUGGAUCCAAAUCAGCCCCUUACGAAGCAACGCAUAAACUAGGGUUUAAGCUUCUGUCACUCUAGCAACCCAUCAUCUAUUUAUUACUUCCCAAUGCCUUCCUAUAGGCCCAAACAAUGCUGAAGUGUCAUGUAGUCGACGUUCACAUAACACCACUAGAGGAUAGACAACACACAUCUUAUCAAAAUAUCGAACGAAUACCAAAUUCACAUGACUACUUAUAGCAAGACUUCUCCCAUGUCCUCAGGAACAAACGUACUACUCACAAAUCAUAUUCAUGUUCAUAAUCAGAGGGGUAUUGAUAUGUAUUAAGGAUCUGAACAUAUGAUCUUCCACCAAAUAAACCAACUAGCAUCAACUACAAGGAGUAAUCAACACUACUAGCAACCCACAUGUACCAAUCUGAGGUUUUGGUGCAAAGAUUGGAUACAAGAGAUGAACUAGGGUUUGAGAGGAGAUGGUGCUGGUGAAGAUGUUAAUGGAGAUUGACCCACUCCCGAUGAGAGGAUCGUUGGUGAUGACGAUGGUGAUGAUUUCCCCCUCCUGGAGGGAAGUUUCCCCGGCAGAACAGCUCUGCCGGAGCCCUAGAUUGGUUCCGCCAAGGUUCCGCCUCGUGGCGACGGAGUUUCGUCCCAUAAGCUUGCUUAUGAUUUUUUUUCCAGGGUAAAAGACUUCAUAUAGCAGAAGAUGGGCACCGGAGGCCUGUCAGGGGGCCCACGAGGUGUGACACCCCAAAAUUUUGGCCUUGUUUUAUUAAAUUAAAAUUUUUGCCAGGAUUUAAAACUUUGGAUUUCUGAGCUCCAUUUUGAUUUUUAAAUCAUUUCUUUCCCUGUUAUGAUGAGUUUUUCCAAAGAGAAAACUUUUCAAAUAUGUUAUUGGACUUAUUUAACCUCUCAAGAAAAACUUUCCUUUUAUCAGUAUAACUAAUUAACUAACUUAAUUGCUUGAUCUUUACUUUCUUGAAAAAUAGUUUUUCAAGGUUAAAUGGCCACAUUUGAACUACAACCAUUGGAUAGAUUCACUUAAAAUUUCCACAAAAAUUUGGAGAUGUCAUGUGAUGUUUUUAAAUCACUUUUAUGCAAAAAUAUAUUUCAUUCAUGAAAUAUUUUGAGCCCUACUCUCAAUUUUUCUUCUCUGGUCCAGAGUGCAUUUUCUCACGGCAACCUAUUUAAAUAUUUCUUUAAAACUUCUACCAAAAUUAAGGGAGGUCAGUAGGAGCCUGUUAUCCCUCUUUGUGCAAAAACCUAAUUAUGUUCUUUGAAAAAUUUGAGUGAAUCAACCUCAUUUCCAUUCUGGACCAACUUGAGGAUUUGUGCAGCAACCACCAUUUUAGUUGCUCCUAUACCCUUAAUUAUUUCUACUACUUGUAGUCCCCCAUGUUAAACCCUUAAGUCUAGGAGCAUGCACCAUUUAGAUCACUUUUGGUUCAUGGAAUAAUGCUAUUUAUUUCCUGUCCAGAAUUGAAGUUUUGUAAAACUUGCACUAGCAAGUUUCCCCUUUUGUCCAACUAACCUCACCACUCUCUUUUGCAUCUAAAGAGACCCCCAUCUGGAGUUUUUGGCCACCCCAAGACCUGCCUAAGUGCAUGUGGCAUUUUGCCAAACACCUGGAGAGCAUGACCAGUUCUAGCAUGAUUGUGGCAUUGCACUGUGAACUUGCACCUCUGAUCAGACCAGCAUGUCCACUAGACUCCCCGUUGCUCCUAACCUCGAUCUGGAAAAUCCCAUCCUCACCUGCGACCUGUAGCAUGCCUCGGCAUUGUGUCGAACACCUGGUGUGCGUGCACUGGACGCGCCCAGAGCGCGCGUAUUGCAGCCGCGCGCCCGAGCCGACACACUGGCCCCCACGGCUUUGGCCCGCUCUGCAGCACCACGCCACGCGCUCCCCUCCUCGCAGCAACGCGCCAAGCAGCCCCCGCCGCGCCCGACAGGCCAAACACUAACUGCCACCGCCGCCCGACAGCCCUGCGCCAUGCAGCGCCGCCCAAGCCACCCCGGCUCGCCACCUGGCCCCUGGAGCAGUGCCCUCUCGUCCACUAGCUCUUGCCGUCAUCCCCAGCCGCGCCACGUUGCCCUGCAAGCUACAGCGAGGCGGUUCGCCGGAGAGCUUAUCCGGCCGCCGCGGAACCGACCUCGACGAGCUAUAAGAGGAGGUCCCGAGCCACCCCGGGCACGCAGGAAGCCUUAGAGUGCUCCCCUAGUCCUCCCAUGGCAGCCUAUCGACUCGGGGAAGGUCUUCAUCCCCAUCUCCGGCAACGGCAGACGCCACCACUGCCCCGGCCAAUUCGGCACCACCAGGGCCUCCCACCCUCCGUUCUCUCCACCAAGAACCCCCUCAUCCUCCCGUAAACUUUCUCCCUACUCCAUUUCGAUCGAGAACCACCGCCGCCCCGAAACCACUUUUCCCCGAAGCUUCCCUCCGCCGAGGAGCUCGCCGCCGACAGCUCACGCCAUCCCCGCCGACCCAGCGACUACCGGGAGGAUCGCCUCAACCUUGCGGAUCCAUCCCCACCCUCGGGGGCCCGCGAGGAGCAGCCAAACACCGGCAACGAUCGCCGGAGCCCCGCUCCGCUCGGACAGAGGAGGGAGACGACGCGCGGUGACUGGUCAAACAUGACCAGUGGGCCAGGCGGGCCCACUGUCAGCGACACCCCGCGCUGUCCACGUGAGAUUAAGUGAAGGCGUAUUAUCCCUAGUACGCUUUCCCCGCUCCGAAAGCGUAUUCUCCUCCGAAACGUUUUCUUUUUCUGUUUUAUUUAAAAACAGAUUUUGACCAAAUGUUUGACUGGCUAUAACUUUUUAAAUAUAAGUCCAAAUGAGUUGAUUCUUUUUCCUACCUUCCUCAAAUUUGAUCUAGUUUAUUUUAAGAUUUAUUUGAAAAAAAUUCAAACAACUUUUUUUGUUCUGUUUUUGAAAUAUGUGUUAAUUCAAAUAUAUUUUCAAAUAGGAUUUUUGGGACAGAGAAGAAACUUUCAAAAGUUUGGAAAGCACCCUGCCUUUCCACACAUUGAAGGCAAGCAUUCUGAACCCCGGAAUAAUAAUUUUGGAGUGAUCAUUGAUGCAUUUAGAACUCCACCACAUUUCAAAGGACUUGUUAUUUCAUGUGAUAUGAUCAUAUGCAUGGGUGCAUGUUAUUGAUUUCCAUGCUGUUGGUAAUGGACACACUUGUGAUGAUAAUCACCCUCAUGAGCUUUACAUGCAUACCGGCAGGAACCCGGGAAAACCUCUGCCUUGGGUAGGUAUGAGUUUGUCGCCGGUCUCCGUCGGGACGGUUCUGUCUGGUAUGGCAUGGUAGGGUGAUAUGAGUGGUGACUCUGUUUGAUGAAAUAUAUUUGUUAUACUAAUCAUGCAGGGAAUACUUGAACCUCCUGAGUCGACCGUAGAUCGAGUCUUGUUCCAGUAACCCCCAUACUUGUUUCGUACUACCACUCGUCUCUACAGCAAGUAGAGUACGGUUCAGUAAGUUGUCUACCUCUUUCUAGCACACACCGUACAGAGAGGCCAUGGUGGAAGAUACCGGUUGUAACUGGUAGGCAGGCCACCUGGUCCGGGAGCAUGGGUGUUUCCGGUUGGGACCGAGAGGGGAGGCCACCCCUUAGAGCGCGCGAUAUAAAUUUGAUCCCAUGCUACGCGAGGUUGUAGCCUCCCCACUUAGAGUUUGCUUAACAGGUGUCGUGGGUGAUUCCAGACACGUGUGUGAUAAGCUGGUGUGUGCAAGUUAGGUGUGUUUUCAACAAAAAGACCGUAGACGGAAUUAGUCCCGAUGGACUAAAGAAAUCCGUUACUCGUGGGUAAAGAGUACACCCUCUGCAGAGAAUAAACCUAUUCGAAUAGCCGUGUCCAUGGUUAAGGAUUACAGUCUGGGAUGGGUCAGGUGUCGGUCUUAGUGUCGGUCUUCGGAGGUGAAACUGUUAACCAGAAAUGGAAUUACUACUUGUGACUUGUGAUAACUAUGAUUAUUAUUAUUGUUGACUGACCCGUGAUAUUAUUGUUAUUAUCGAGUAUCUCUGGGAUGGUUCUACCUCCGGGAUAUUCAUUUUGAUUAUUUCUUUUAAAGCCCUUUAUGUGGUGUCGCUCAGACGCCCGACUGUGGCAUUUCUUUUAAAGCCCUUUAUGUGGUGUCGCUCAGACGCCCGACUGUGGCAUUUCUUUUAAAGCCCUUUAUGUGGUGUCGCCCAGAUGCCCGACUGUGGCAUUUCUUUUAAAGCCCUUUAUGUGGCGUCGCUCAGACGCCCGACUGUGGCAUUGCUUGUUAUUUGUUUUCAUAAGUUUUUAUACUACCAUGUUAUUGCAGUUUUAUGAAUAACUUGCUUGCACGCAUCAGAGUUUCAUUCAUCUUUUGUGACUGACGUCAUGAGCAUAAUAAUAUUUUCGGCACAUCAUUGUUAUAUUAUACCUGUGUUCAUAAUGUUUGCGAGUACAUUCAAAGUACUCACUGGCUUGUCCCUGGCUAUUGUCUUGGCCAGAUUUUCUUGCACGGAGAGGAGCGACGCGAUGCCAGCCCCGGAACCCACUCAAAGGAGAUAGCAGCCUCGCGAAGAUAGGAAUUAACCUGGUCAGCUGUUCCCAUGGGAAAUGGAGUCCCAUAGACACUGAUGCUUCACAACCCGCUUCCGCCAUCAACCACUAGAAACCAUUUGUUGUACUCACAGGCCAGAAUGGUCUUGUACUACAUAUUUUGUAUUUUGCUUGGAAUUUCUGUAUCAAGUUGGAGCCUCAUCAGCUAACAGUAAUCCUGGGGCUGAUGAGCACGACGGUCUUUUCUGGAAAUUCAUUUCCCGGAAAGCCGGUCGCGACAGGCUUGGUAUCAGAGCCAGGCUGACCAUUGGCUUAUCCUAUCUUAGCCCGGUCAAUAAACUUAGGCAAACCAACCCACCAGACCUUAACCAAACCCCAGCCAAGCUUCUCGUGCAAGAUAGCCACACAGUGACCCAACACCUUUUGGCAAUCGGUGCCCAACCUAUCAACCUAACCUGUCACUCAUGCGCCAGUGACUGGCCCCUAGAUAGUCCUUUCUCGCAAGCGUGCGAAGGAAGACUCCGUCCCCUUUUUCUUAUAAAAAGGGACGCGCUCGCCCCAAACCAGCACAGCACAGCCGCUACCCCCAAACCGAGCCACAAUGCCUGGACCUAUAGUGCACAACGAAACCACAGCAACCAACCUUGGAGGUUUUGUGACCAUCCUCGCAAACCUCACCCGUCGUGCCUACGCGUUAGAGGAGCCACCAGAAUAUGUUGUGUAUCAAGGACCCAUGAGCGGUGAAGACCGCCAAUUCUGGGCCACUGUGCACAUUUAUGGUAGGAGUCUAGCACCCGAGCGUCCCUACCGGUUCACCGGAAGAACAACUUCCUUUGAGCCACAAGCCAUCCAGCUAGCCGCUCGAGAGGCUAUAGUUCAACUCAGGCACUUGUCGCCCAGAGUUAACUGUCGCUCGUUCCACUACUAUCCCAGACGUGAAGGGUAUGGUAGACCACCCCAAGUUGCCAAUGGAGAUCACGAGACGAACCCCGCAUUGUUGCACCUAGUGCGCUAUGUAAGUGCACUAGAGGCACUGUUCGACCAGAUCACUAUUGAUCUAAUCGCAGCUCCUGGAGAGCUGGUUUGUCGAGCCCCGGCGAGAGAAGGAAACGAGCCCAACACCGACAACCCAGUCGUGCUGUUUGGACAACCAAUCGAGACCCCGAGAUCUGCCCCAGCCAUCGACCAAGGUGCUACGAUAACCCCAGAAGUGCUUCGUCGCAUAUUGGGAGCACACUCCAACGGGGUUGUGGCCAACAAUCCCCGCAAUGGUCAUUCUCACUACCCCGACCCUGCAGUUCCUCCGCCAUCUCCGACUAAUCCCGGCAGAGAGACACGUGGAGAAGCCUCGAUAUCCACCAGGCACGCCCGUUUAGACAUAAACGAGGUAGACUGAGCCGUGUGAGUAGUACCAAGUUUCAAUGUAUCCUCGCCUUGUAAUCAUGCGACCGCGUAUAUUAACGCAGCCUGUCUUUGUGCCUCUGUUUUAAUAGUAGCCUUGCAUAUUUAGUCAGCGCAUAGCUGCAUAUUUUUCCGGGCACAACUACCAAAACCAGCCCGACAACAACCACAGUAACACAUCUCUUUAUGAGAUAUGUGUAUCUCUGACACUGACCUGACCUUUGGAGCCAAGCUGGCAAAUUUAUUACUUUUCGCCACGGUAAAACGAUCCGGCUCCAUUGCUAUAUAAAGGCCACCUUGUGACCUUACCCAGCAACCCUCACUUUGCGCACAACACUCACGCUUUUUCCUGUCAUGCCGAACCCCAGCAUUCAUCUGAGAACCCCAGAUGCAACCCCAGGUAGCUUUGUCAAAUUAUUGUGAUAUUUUACCCGCAGUACCAUGGGUUCUACCCAGCCACCCCAGUACGAGCUGUUCAAAUCAAGGAUCACCCCAUCCACCUCGGAAUAUUGGGCAGCAGUACACAUUCCUCCUGUAGACCCCAACCAAGAUCCAAUAGAAGUUUCCUUCGUGGGGAAAUCUAUGCCAACCCCACACUUGGCCAUAGAGGCUGCUGCGAAAGAAGCAAUUGCUCGUCUUUGAUCCGCAGUACCCUAUGCCCGCGAACGAGGAUAUUAUUACUUUCCGAGUCGUGCAGCACCCGGAGAAGUAACGUCUUUUCCCGGUGGACGUAUUGAGAGAGACCCAGUUCUGGCCAACCUUAUCCAGUACAUCAUUGCUCAAGAGCAUUUAAACCAGCGAGUGAUGGAUUAUCUCCAGAGCCUCGCAGAUUUAAAUCCUCAGGUUGCCAUCGGCAGACCACUGAGACCCGACACGGAGAGACGCAUUCAUCGACUGGUCAAUCCACUUCCUCCAAUAGAAGAGGAAUGUAUUCCUUUACCAGAGACAUUCUAUCAGGACCCCGUCCAGUUACCGUUUUCAUUUUAGACGUCACUAUUGUAUUUGUUCCUUGCAGCAUUUAUUUAUGUAUGUGACUUAUGCGUGAUACCCUGAGUUUGUACGGCAAGUUAAUUAUUUGGCUUCUGCUCAUGUGUGUAGUUUUGUUGUGGUUUACGCUCCCUUAAAGUAACUGUUUUUCCCUCGCGAAACCCUAGAGUGAGUUUUUCUUUUCCCUGAGUUGCUACAUCUACACUUUCUCACGACGUGGAUUAUUUAAUUUCACUCAGCACCACAAGCAGACUCACAACCAUAAUCGUACGGACACAUACACUGUUUGCAAAAUUUUGCAACGGUGUUACAUCCAGAUAAUAACCCCCUAACAACAGUUAGCACCCGACACACUCCAUCUACUCCUCAUGAUCACCACCACCGCGGAGAACCAACACCUGGGCCGCAGCAUCGUGACACUCGUCGAAGAUUAUCGCGCACAGGAGCACAGAGAGCCCCAGCAGCGUCGCCAGCCCUCCGCAUAUCAGGAUCACAAACCAGUCCGGCAUCGCCUCCGCCCUUAGAGCCUCGACCGAGCUUCUGUAAGCAGUAAUGGAGAAAGAAGGAGGAGGAGAAGUGAGGCCAGGUGUAAGGAAGAAGAGAGAGGCACCCCGGCCGUUUUUAUAACUCGAGCUCGGUGUACGGUGGGCGAAGUCCACCGACGCCGCUCGUCGCCGAUCGCCGGUGUUCGGAGUCGAAUCCACGAGCAGUGCCGAUAGCGCACUGGCCCGCGAGGUGAGUGCACGCUGCACCAGCAGCUAGCACGCCGCGCACUACCACGGUACGGCCUAGAUGCCCUACACACUAGGCGUCGCCGGUGGGGAAAGCGCGCGGGAGAGAGGAGGAAGAAAGGUCCAGAGGGAGAAGAAGAGGAGACUGACAGUGGACCCCGGGUCCACCUGUCAGCCAGAGAGAGCACUAUGCUCUCGGGUGCGAUCAGCGUAUUCUAAAUUUAGGAAUAAUCCUAAAUUUAUAUCCAGCGUAGAAAUCGCCCGUUUUUGUCUCGGACCGUAAACUUUUCCGCGCAGCCCCAGUUUUUCACACUAUGGUUUUUCACCACUUAUUGCCCUCUCACUGUAGCUACAUCUUUAUUGCGUAAAUAUUCUCUUAACACCGCUUUCAGCAAAUCUCGAGGACGAGAUUUUUCUUAAGGGGGGUAGUAUUGUGACACCCCAAAAAUUUGGCCUUGUUUUAUUAAAUUAAAAUUUUUGCCAGGAUUUAAAACUUUGGAUUUCUGAGCUCCAUUUUGAUUUUUAAAUCAUUUCUUUCCCUGUUAUGAUGAGUUUUUCCAAAGAGAAAACUUUUCAAAUAUGUUAUUGGACUUAUUUAACCUCUCAAGAAAAACUUUCCUUUUAUCAGUAUAACUAAUUAACUAACUUAAUUGCUUGAUCUUUACUUUCUUGAAAAAUAGUUUUUCAAGGUUAAAUGGCCACAUUUGAACUACAACCAUUGGAUAGAUUCACUUAAAAUUUCCACAAAAAUUUGGAGAUGUCAUGUGAUGUUUUUAAAUCACUUUUAUGCAAAAAUAUAUUUCAUUCAUGAAAUAUUUUGAGCCCUACUCUCAAUUUUUCUUCUCUGGUCCAGAGUGCAUUUUUUCACAGCAACCUAUUUAAAUAUUUCUUUAAAACUUCUACCAAAAUUAAGGGAGGUUAGUAGGAGCCUGUUAUCCCUCUUUGUGCAAAAACCUAAUUAUGUUCUUUGAAAAAUUUGAGUGAAUCAACCUCAUUUCCAUUCUGGACCAACUUGAGGAUUUGUGCAGCAACCACCAUUUUAGUUGCUCCUAUACCCUUAAUUAUUUCUACUACUUGUAGUCCCCCAUGUUAAACCCUUAAGUCCAGGAGCAUGCACCAUUUAGAUCACUUUUGGUUCAUGGAAUAAUGCUAUUUAUUUCCUGUCCAGAAUUGAAGUUUUGUAAAACUUGCACUAGCAAGUUUCCCCUUUUGUCCAACUAUCCUCACCACUCUCUUUUGCAUCUAAAGAGACCCCAUCUGGAGUUUUUGGCCACCCCAAGACCUGCCUAAGUGCAUGUGGCAUUUUGCCAAACACCUGGAGAGCAUGACCAGUUCUGGCAUGAUUGUGGCAUUGCACUGUGAACUUGCACCUCUGAUCAGACCAGCAUGUCCACUAGACUCCCCGUUGCUCCUAACCUCGAUCUGGUAAAUCCCAUCCUCACCUGCGACCUGUAGCAUGCCUCGGCAUUGUGUCGAACACCUGAUGUGCGUGCACUGGACGCGCCCAGAGCGCGCGUAUUGCAGCCGCGCGCCCGAGCCGACACACUGGCCCCCACGGCUUUGGCCCGCUCUGCAGCACCACGCCACGCGCUCCCCUCCUUGCAGCAACGCGCCAAGCAGCCCCUGCCGCGCCCGGCAGGCCAAACACUAAACGCCACCGCCGCCCGACAGCCCUGCGCCGUGCAGCGCCGCCCAAGCCACCCCGGCUCGCCACCUGGCCCCUGGAGCAGUGCCCUCUCGUCCACUAGCUCUUGCCGUCAUCCCCAGCCGCGCCACGUUGCCCUGCAAGCUACAGCGAGGCGGUUCGCCGGAGAGCUUACCCGGCCGCCGCGGAACCGACCUCGACGAGCUAUAAGAGGAGGUCCCGAGCCACCCCGGGCACGCAGGAAGCCUUAGAGUGCUCCCAUAGUCCUCCCAUGGCAGCCAAUCGACUCGGGGAAGGUCUUCAUCCCCAUCUCCGGCAACGGCAGCCGCCACCACUGCCCCGGCCAAUUCGGCACCACCAGGGCCUCCCACCCUCCGUUCUCUCCACCAAGAACCCCCUCAUCCUCCCGUAAACCUUCUCCCUACUCCAUUUCGAUCGAGAACCACCGCCGCCCCGAAACCACUUUUCCCCGAAGCUUCCCUCCGCCGAGGAGCUCGCCGCCGACAGCUCACGCCAUCCCCGCCGACCCAGCGACUACCGGGAGGAUCGCCUCAACCUUGCGGAUCCAUCCCCACCCUCGGGGGCCCGCGAGGAGCAGCCAAACGCCAGCGACGAUCGCCGGAGCGCCGCUCCGCUCGGACAGAGGAGGGAGACGACGCGCGGCGACUGGUCAAACAUGACCAGUGGGCCAGGCGGGCCCACUGUCAGCGACACCCCGCGCUGUCCACGUGAGAUUAAGUGAAGGCGUAUUAUCCCUAGUACGCUUUCCCCGCUCCGAAAGCGUAUUCUCCUCCGAAACGUUUUCUUUUUCUGUUUUAUUUAAAAACAGAUUUUGACCAAAUGUUUGACUGGCUAUAACUUUUUAAAUAUAAGUCCAAAUGAGUUGAUUCUUUUUCCUACCUUCCUCAAAUUUGAUCUAGUUUAUUUUAAGAUUUAUUUGAAAAAAUUUCAAACAACUUUUUUGUUCUGGUUUUGAAAUAUGUGUUAAUUCAAAUAUAUUUUCAAAUAGGAUUUUUGGGAGAGAGAAGAAACUUUCAAAAGUUUGGAAAGCACCCUGCCUUUCCACACAUUGAAGGCAAGCAUUCUGAACCCCGGAAUAAUAAUUUUGGAGUGAUCAUUGAUGCAUUUAGAACUCCACCGCAUUUCGAAGGACUUGUUAUUUCAUGUGAUAUGAUCAUAUGCAUGGGUGCAUGUUAUUGAUUUCCAUGCUGUUGGUAAUGGACACACUUGUGAUGAUAAUCACCCUCAUGAGCUUUACAUGCAUACCGGCAGGAACCCGGGAAAACCUCUGCCUUGGGUAGGUAUGAGUUUGUCGCCGGUCUCCGUCGGGACGGUUCUGUCUGGUAUGGCAUGGUAGGGUGAUAUGAGUGGUGACUCUGUUUGAUGAAAUAUAUUUGUUAUACUAAUCAUGCAGGGAAUACUUGAACCUCCUGAGUCAACCGUAGAUCGAGUCUUGUUCCAGUAACCCCCAUACUUGUUUCGUACUACCACUCGUCUCUACAGCAAGUAGAGUACGGUUCAGUAAGUUGUCUACCUCUUUCUAGCACACACCGUACAGAGAGGCCAUGGUGGAAGAUACCGGUUGUAACUGGUAGGCAGGCCACCUGGUCCGGGAGCAUGGGUGUUUCCGGUUGGGACCGAGAGGGGAGGCCACCCCUUAGAGCGCGCGAUAUAAAUUUGAUCCCAUGCUACGUGAGGUUGUAGCCUCCCCACUUAGAGUUUGCUUAACAGGUGUCGUGGGUGAUUCCAGACACGUGUGUGAUAAGCUGGUGUGUGCAAGUUAGGUGUGUUUUCAACAAAAAGACCGUAGACAGAAUUAGUCCCGAUGGACUAAAGAAAUCCGUUACUCGUGGGUAAAGAGUACACCCUCUGCAGAGAAUAAACCUAUUCGAAUAGCCGUGUCCAUGGUUAAGGAUUACAGUCUGGGAUGGGUCAGGUGUCGGUCUUAGUGUCGGUCUUCGGAGGUGAAACUGUUAACCAGAAAUGGAAUUACUACUUGUGACUUGUGAUAACUAUGAUUAUUAUUAUUGUUGACUGACCCGUGAUAUUAUUGUUAUUAUCGAGUAUCUCUGGGAUGGUUCUACCUCCGGGAUAUUCAUUUUGAUUAUUUCUUUUAAAGCCCUUUAUGUGGUGUCGCUCAGACGCCCGACUGUGGCAUUUCUUUUAAAGCCCUUUAUGUGGUGUCGCUCAGACGCCCGACUGUGGCAUUUCUUUUAAAGCCCUUUAUGUGGUGUCGCCCAGAUGCCCGACUGUGGCAUUUCUUUUAAAGCCCUUUAUGUGGCGUCGCUCAGACGCCCGACUGUGGCAUUGCUUGUUAUUUGUUUUCAUAAGUUUUUAAACUACCAUGUUAUUGCAGUUUUAUGAAUAACUUGCUUGCACGCAUCAGAGUUUCAUUCAUCUUUUGUGACUGACGUCAUGAGCAUAAUAAUAUUUUCGGCACAUCAUUGUUAUAUUAUACCUGUGUUCAUAAUGUUUGCGAGUACAUUCAAAGUACUCACUGGCUUGUCCCUGGCUAUUGUCUUGGCCAGAUUUUCUUGCACGGAGAGGAGCGACGCGAUGCCAGCCCCGGAACCCACUCAAAGGAGAUAGCAGCCUCGCGAAGAUAGGAAUUAACCUGGUCAGCUAUUCCCGUGGGAAAUGGAGUCCCAUAGACACUGAUGCUUCACAACCCGCUUCCGCCAUCAACCACUAGAAACCAUUUGUUGUACUCACAGGCCAGAAUGGUCUUGUACUACAUAUUUUGUAUUUUGCUUGGAAUUUCUGUAUCAAGUUGGAGCCUCAUCAGCUAAUAGUAAUCCUGGGGCUGAUGAGCACGACCAGGCCAAUGAUCACCACCACCCACCGCCCGAUGUGUCGCCGCUCCUGCAGACCUAGACUGCUCCUCUGCCUCCUGGUCGAUGCUCCUGGCUCAUCCUGCUGCUCAUCUCCUCCCUCGCGUAUGCAUCAACAAAAAUUGGGUGGGUCGCUGUGUUGGAAAUAUGCCCUAGAGGCAAUAAUAAAUUAGUUAUUAUUAUAUUUCCUUGUUCAUGAUAAUCGUUUAUUAUCCAUGCUAUAAUUAUAUUGAUAGGAAACUCAGAUACAUGUGUGGGUACAUAGACAACACCAUGUCCCUAGUAAGCCUCUAGUUAACUAGCUCAUUUAUCAAUAGAUGGUCAUGGUUUCCUGACCAUGGACGUUGGAUGUCGUUGAUAAUGGGAUCACAUCAUUGGCAGAAUGACGUGAUGGACAAGACCCAAUCCUAAGCCUAGCACAAAGAUCGUGUAGUUCGUAUGCUAAAGCUUUUCUAAUGUCAAGUAUCUUUUCCUUAGACCAUCAGAUUGUGCAACUCCCGGAUACCAUAGGAAUGCUUUGGGUGUACCAAACAUCACAACGUAACUGGGUGGCUAUAAAGGUGCAUUACAGGUAUCUCCGAAAGUGUCUGUUGGGUUGGCACAAAUCGAGACUGGGAUUUGUCACUUCGUGUAAACGGAGAGGUAUCUCUGGGCCCACUCGGUAGGAGAUCAUCAUAAUGUGCGCAAUGUGACCAAGGGGUUGAUCACGGGAUGAUGUGUUACGGAACGAGUAAAGAGACUUGCCGGUAACGAGAUUGAACAAGGUAUCGGGAUACCGACGAUCGAAUCUCGGGUAAGUACAAUGUCACUAGACAAAGGGAAUUGUAUACGGGAUCGAUUGAGUCCUUGAAAUCGUGGUUCAUCCGAUGAGAUCAUCGUGGAACAUGUGGGAGCCAACAUGGGUAUCCAGAUCCCGCUGUUGGUUAUUGACCGGAGAACGUCUCGGUCAUGUCUGCAUGUCUCCCGAACCCGUAGGGUCUAGACACUUAAGGUUCGGUGACGCUAGGGUUGUAUGAAUAUGAGUAUGCAGCAAACCGAAUGUUGUUCGGAGUCCCGGAUGAGAUCCCGAACAUCACGAGGAGUUCCGGAAUGGUCCGGAGGUAAAGAUAUAUAUAUAGGAAGUCUUAUUUUGGUCGCCGGAAAAGUUUCGCACUUUAUCGGUAUUGUACCGGGAGUGCCGAAAGGGGUCCGGGGGUCCACCUGCCCCGGGGGGCCACAUGGGCUGUGGGGGGUGCGCCUUGGCCUAUAUGGGCCAAGGGCACCAGCCCCAAGAGGCCCAUGCGCCAAGGAGACUUGGGGAGGGGAGAGUCCUGAGAGGGGAAGGCACCUCCGAGGUGCCUUGGGGAGGAUGGACUCCUCCCCCCUCUUGGCCGCACCCCUUCCUUGGAGGAAGGGGCAAGGCUGCGCCCUUCCCCCCUCUCUUGCACCUAUAUAAAGGGAGGGGAGGGAGGGGUGGCCACACCCUGAAGCCCUUGGCGCCUCCCCUUCCUGCUACACCUCCUCCUCCUCCCGUAGUCGCUUAGCGAAGCCCUGCCGGAGUUCUGCUGCAUCCACCACCACGCCAUCGUGCUGCUGGAUCAUCAUCAACCUCUCCUUCCCCCUUGCUGGAUCAAGAAGGAGGAGACGUCAUCCGCUCCGUACGUGUGUUGAAUGCGGAGGUGUUGUCCGUUCAGCACUAGGUCAUCGGUGAUCUGAAUCACGGCGAGUACGACUCCAUCAUCCCCAUUCUAUUGAACGCUUCCGCACGCGAUCUACAAGUGGUAUGUAGAUGCAAUCACUCUCCCAUGACUCGUUGCUAGAUGAACUCAUAGAUGGAUCUUGGUGAAACCGUAGGAAAAAAAUUUAAUUUUCUGCAACAUUCCCCAACAGUGGCAUCAUGAGCUAGGUCUAUUGCGUAGAUUCUUUGCACGAGUAGAACACAAAGUAGUUGUGGGCGUUGAUUUUGUUCAAUAUGCUUACCAUUACUAGUCCAAUCUUGUUUCGACGGUAUUGUGGGAUGAAGCGGCCCGGACCGACCUUACACGUACUCUUACGUGAGACAGGUUCCACUGACUGACAUGCACUUGGUGCAUAAGGUGGCUAGCGGGUGCCAGUCUCUCCCACUUUAGUCGGAACGGAUUCGAUGAAAAGGGUCCUUAUGAAGGGUAAAUAGCAAUUGGCAUAUCACGUUGUGGUUUUGCGUAGGUAAGAAACGUUCUUGCUAGAAACCCAUAGCAGCCACGUAAAACAUGCAAAGAACAAUUAGAGGACGUCUAACUUGUUUUUGCAGGGUAUGCUAUGUGAUGUGAUAUGGCCAAGAAGAAUGUGACAAAUGAUAUGUGAUGUAUGAGAUUGAUCAUGUUCUUGUAAUAGGAUUCACGACUUGCAUGUCGAUGAGUAUGACAACCGGCAGGAGCCAUAGGAGUUGUCUUUAUUUAUUGUAUGACCUGCAUGUCAUUGAACAACGCCAUGUAAUUACUUUACUUUAUUGCUAACCGGUAGCCAUAGUAGUAGAAGUAAUAAGUUGGCGAGACAACUUCAUGGAGACACGAUGAUGGAGAUCAUGGUGUCAUGCUGGUGACGAUGAUGAUCAUGGAGCCCCGAAGAUGGAGAUCAAAAGGAGCAAUAUGAUAUUGGCCAUAUCAUGUCACUAUUUGAUUGCAUGUGAUGUUUAUCAUGUUUAUGCAUCUUAUUUGCUUAGAACGACGGUAGUAAAUAAGAUGAUCCCUCAUUAAAAUUUCAAGAAAGUGUUCCCCCUAACUGUGCACCGUUGCGAAAGUUCGUCGUUUCGAAGCACCACGUGAUGAUCGGGUGUGAUAGAUUCUUACAUUCACAUAGAACGGGUGUAAGCCAGAUUUACACACGCGAAACACUUAGGUUAACUUGACGAGCCUAGCAUGUACAGACAUGGCCUCGGAACACAAGAGACCAAAAGGUCGAGCAUGAGUCGUAUAGUAGAUACGACCAACAUGAAGAUGUUCACCGAUGAUGACUAGUCCGUCUCACGUGAUGAUCGGACUAGGCCUAGUUGACUCGGAUCAUGUAAUCACUUAGAUGACUAGAGGGAUGUCUAUUUGAGUGGGAGUUCAUAAGAUGAACUUAAUUAUCCUGAACAUAGUCAAAAGAUCUUUGCAAAUUAUGUCGUAAGCUCGCGCUUUACUUCCACUGUUUAGAUAUGUUCCUAGAGAAAAUAUAGUUGAAAGUUGACAUAGAGAUUAUGCGGACAGUAGAAAGCUUAUGUCCUUAAUGCACCGCUCAGUGUGCUGAACCCCAAACAUCGUUUGUGGAUGUUGCGAACAUCGGACAUACACGUUUUGAUAACUACGUGAUAGUUCAGUAAUGAUAAACGGUUUAGAGUUGAGGCAUCGAAGACGAUUUCGAAACGUCGCGGAACAUAUGAGAUGUUUCGAGGGCUGAAAUUGGGAUUUCAGGCUCGUGCCCACGUCAAGAGGUAUAAGACCUCCGACGAUUUUCUUAGCCUGCAAACUAAGGGAGAAAAGCUCAAUCGUUGAGCUUGUGCUCAGAUUGUCUGAGUGCAACAAUCACUUGAAUCGAGUGGGAGUUGAUCUUCCAGAUGAGAUAGUGAUGUUUCUCCAAAGUCAUUGCCACCAAGCUGCUAGAGCUUCGUGAUGAACUAUAACAUGUCAGGGAUAGAUAUGAUGAUCCUUGAGGUAUUCACGAUGUUUGACACCGCGAAAGUAGAAAUCAAGAAGGAGCAUCAAUUGUUGAUGGUUGGUGAAACCACUAGUUUCAAGAAGGUCAAGGGCAAGAAGGGACACUUCAUGAAACGGCAAAUCAGUUGCUGCUCCAGUGAAGAAACCCAAGGUUGAACCCAAACCCGAGACUAAGUGCUUCUGUAAUAAGGGGAACAGCCACUGGAGCACAAUUACCCUAGAUACUUGGUAGAUAAGAAGGCUGGCAAGGUCGAUAGAAGUAUAUUGGAUAUACAUUAUGUUAAUGUGUACUUUACUAGUACUCCUAGUAGCACCAGGGUAUUAGAUACCGGUUCGGUUGCUAAGUGUUAGUAACUCGAAACAAAAGCUACGGAAUAAAUGGAGACUAGCUAAAGGUGAGCUGACGAUACGUGUUGGAAGUGUUUCCAAGGUUGAUAUGAUCAAGCAUCGCACGCUCCCUCUACCAUCGAGAUUGGUGUUAAACCUAAAUAAUUGCUAUUUGGUGUUCGCAUUGAGCAUAGACAUGAUUGGAUUAUGUCUGUCGCAAUACGGUUAUUCAUUUAAGGAGAAUAAUGGUUACUCUGUUAAUUUGAAUAAUACCUUCAAUGGUCUAGCACCUAAAAGGAAUGGUUUAUUGAAUCUCGAUCGUAGUGAUACACAUUUUCAUGCCAAAAGAUAUAAGAUAGUAAUGAUAGUACCACGUACUUGUGGCACUGCCAUGUAAGUCAUAUUGGUAUAAAACGCAUGAAGAAGCUCCAUGUUGAUGGAUCUUUGGACUCACUCGUUUUUGAAAAGUUUGAGACAUGCAAACCAUGUCUAUUGGUGUAUACGCAUGAAGAAACUCCAUGCAGAUGGAUCGAUUGGACUCACUUGAUUUUGAAUCACUUGAGAUAUGCAAAUCAUACCACAUGGGCAAGAUGACUGAAAAGCCUCGGUUUCAGUAAGAUGGAACAAGGUAGCAACCUGUUGGAAGUAACACAUUUUGAUGUGUGCAGUCCAAUGAGUGCUGAGGCAUGCAGUGAAUAUCGUUAUGUUCUGACUUCACAGAUGAUUCGAGUAGAUGUUGAGUAUAUUUACUUGAUGAAAUACAAAGUCUGAAUUAUUGAAUGGUUCAAGUAAUUUCAGAGUGAAGUUAAAGAUCAUUGUGACAAGAGGAUAAAAUGUCUAUGAUAUGAUCAUAGAGAUGAGUAUCUGAGUUACGAGCUUUGGCACGCAAUUAAGACACUGUGGAAAUUGUUUCACAAUUAAUACCGCCUGGAACACCAUAGUGUGAUGGUGUGUCCGAACAUCAUAGUUGCACCCUAUUGGAUAUGGUGCGUACCAUGAAGUCUCUUAUCGAAUUACCACUAUCGUUCAUGGGUUAGGCAUUAGAGACAACCGCACUCACUUAUAUAGGGCACCACGUAAUUCCGUUGAGACGACACCGUUUGAACUAUGGUUUGGAGAAACCUAAGUUGUCGUUUCUUAAAGGUUUGGGGCUAUGACGCUUAUGUGAAAAAGUUUCAGGUUGAUAAGCUUGAACCCAAAGCGGAUAAAAUGCAUCUUCAUAGGACACCCAAAACGGUUGGGUAUACCUCCUAAUUCAGAUCCGAAAGCAAUAGGGAUUGUUUCUAGAAAUGGGUCCUUUCUCGAGGAAAAGUUUCUCUCUAAAGAAUUGAGUGGGAGGAUGGUGGAGACUUGAUGAGGUUAUUGAACCAUCACUUCAACCAGUGUGUAGCAGGGCACAGGAAGUUCCUGUGGCACCUACAUCAAUUGAAGUAGAAGCUUAUGAUAGUGAUCAUGAAGCUUCAGAUCAAGUCACUACCGAACCUCGUAGGACGACAAGGAUGCGUACUGCUUCGGAGUGGUACGGUGAUCCUGUCUUGAAUGUCAUGUUGCUAGACAACAAUGAACCUACGAGCUAUGGAGAAGCAAUGGUGGGCCCAUAUUCCAACAAAUGGUUAGAAGCCAUGAAAUCCGAGAUAGGAUCCAUGUAUCAGAACAAAGCAUGGACUUUGGUGGACUUGCCCGUUGAUCGGCAAGCCAUUGAGAUAAAUGGAUCUUUAAGAAGAAGACGGACGUGGACGGUAAUGUCACCGUCUAUGAAGCUCGACUUGUGGCAAAGAGUUUUUCACAAGUUCAAGGAGUUGACUACGAUGAGAUUUUCUCAUCCGUAGCGAUGCUUAAGUCCGUCGGAAUCAUGUUAGCAUUAGCUGCAUUUAUGAAAUCAGGCAGAUGGAAGUCAAAACAAGUUUCCUUACCAGUUUUGUAAGGAAAGGUUGUAUGUGAUACAAUCAGAUAGUUUUUGUCGAUCUUAAGGAUGCUAAAAGGUAUGCUGGCUCCAACGAUCCUUCUAAGGAGUGGAGUAAGCAUCUCGGAGUUGGAAUAUACACAUUGAUGAAAUGAUCAAAGAUUUUUGGGUUUAUACAAAGUUUGUGAGAAACUUGUAUUUCCAAAGAAGUGAGUGGGAGCACUAUAGAAUUUCUGAUGAGUAUAUGUCGUUGACAUAUUGAUGAUCAGAAAUGAUGUAGAAUUUUCUGUAAAGCAUAUAGGGUUAUUUGAAAAGUGUUUUUCAAGUGAAAACCUGGAUUAAGCUACUUAAACAUUGAGCAUCAAGAUCUAUGAGCAUAGAUCAAAACCGCUUAAUGGUACUUUCAAAUGAGCAUAUACCUUGACAUGAUCUUGAAGGUGUUCAAGAUGGAUCAGUCAAAGAAGGAGUUCUUUCCUGAGAUGUAAGGUAUGAAGUUAAGACUUAAAGCUCGACCACGGCAGAAAAGAGAGAAAGGACGAAGGUCGUCCCCUAUGCUUUAGACGUAGGCUCUAUAGUAUGCUAUGCUGUGUACCGCACCGGAUGUGUGCCUUGCCAUGAGUCAGUCAAGGGGUACAAGAAUGAUCCAGGAAUGGGGAUCAUUGGACAGCGGUGAAUAAGGACAUGUUUCUUGAUUAUGGAGGUGAUAAAGAGUUCGGCGUAAAGGGUUACGUCGAUGCAAGCUUUAACACCUAUCCGAGUGACUCUGAGUAGCAAACUGGAUACGUAUAGUGGAGCAACCAUUUGGAAUAGCUUCAAGUGGAACGUGGAAGGAGCAUUUACAAUAUGACAUAGAGAAUUGCAAAGUACAUACGGAUCUGAAUACUGCAGACCCGUUGACUAAAACUUCUCUCACAAGGAAAACAUGAUCAAACCCUAGAACUCAUUGAGUCUUAAUCACAUGGUGAUGUGAACUAGUUUAGCGACACUAGUAAACUCUUUGGAUGUUGGUCACAUGGCGAUGUGACCUAUCAGUGUUAAUCACAUGGCGAUGUGAACUAGAUUAUUGACUCUAGUGCAAGUGGGAGACUGUUGGAAAUAUGCCCUAGAGGCAAUAAUAAAUUAGUUAUUAUUAUAUUUCCUUGUUCAUGAUAAUCGUUUAUUAUCCAUGCUAUAAUUGUAUUGAUAGGAAACUCAGAUACAUGUGUGGGUACAUAGACAACACCAUGUCCCUAGUAAGCCUCUAGUUAACUAGCUCGUUUAUCAAUAGAUGGUCAUGGUUUCCUGACCAUGGACAUUGGAUUUCGUUGAUAACGGGAUCACAUCAUUGGCAGAAUGAUGUGAUGGACAAGACCCAAUCCUAAGCCUAGCACAAAGAUCGUGUAGUUUGUAUGCUAAAGCUUUUCUAAUGUCAAGUAUCUUUUCCUUAGACCAUGAGAUUGUGCAACUCCCGGAUACCGUAGGAAUGCUUUGGGUGUACCAAACGUCACAACUUCUCUGGGUGGCUAUAAAGGUGCAUUACAGGUAUCUCCUAAAGUGUCUGUUGGGUUGGCACGAAUCGAGACUGGGAUUUGUCACUCCGUGUAAACGGAGAGGUAUCUCUGGGCCCACUCGGUAGGACAUCAUCAUAAUGUGCACAAUGUGACCAAGGGGUUGAUCACGGGAUGAUGUGUUACGGAACGAGUAAAGAGACUUGCCGGUAACGAGAUUGAACAAGGUAUCGGGAUACCGACGAUCGAAUCUCGGGCAAGUACAAUGCCGCUAGACAAAGGGAAUUGUAUACGGGAUCGAUUGAGUCCUUGAAAUCGUGGUUCAUCCGAUGAGAUCAUCGUGGAACAUGUGGGAGCCAACAUGGGUAUCCAGAUCCCGCUGUUGGUUACUGACCGGAGAACGUCUCGGUCAUGUCUACAUGUCUCCCGAACCCGUAGGGUCUACACACGUAAGGUUGGGUGACGCUAGGGUUGUAUGAAUAUGAGUAUGCAGCAAACUGAAUGUUGUCCAGAGUCCUGGAUGAGAUCCCGGACGUCACGAGGACUUCCGGAAUGGUCUGGAGGUAAAGAUUUAUAUAUAGGAAGUCUUAUUUUGGUCGCCGGAAAAGUUUCGUAGUUUAUCGAUAUUGUACCGGGAGUGCCGAAAGGGGUCCGGGGGUCCACCGGGGUGGUCCACCUGCCCCGGGGGGGCACAUGGGCUGUGUGGGGUGCGCCUUGGCCUAUAUGGGCCAAGGGCACCAGCCCCAAGAGGCCCAUGCGCCAAGGAGACUUGGGGAGGGGAGAGUCCUGAGAGGGGAAGGCACCUCCGAGGUGCCUUGGGGAGGAUGGACUCCUCCCCUCCUCUUGGCCGCACCCCUUCCUUGGAGGAAGGGGCAAGGCUGCGCCCUUCCCCCCUCUCUUGCACCUAUAUAAAGGGAGGGGAGGGAGUGGUGGCCGCACCCUGAAGCCCUUGGCGCCUCCCCUUCCUGCUACACCUCCUCCUCCUCCCGUAGUCGCUUAGCGAAGCCCUGCCGGAGUUCUGCUGCAUCCACCACCACGCCGUCGUGCUGCUGGAUCAUCAUCAACCUCUCCUUCCCCCUUGCUGGAUCAAGAAGGAGGAGACGUCAUCCGCUCCGUACGUGUGUUGAACGCGGAGGUGUUGUCCGUUCGGCACUAGGUCAUCGGUGAUCUGAAUCACGGCGAGUACGACUCCAUCAUCCCCGUUCUAUUGAACGCUUCCGCACGUGAUCUACAAGUUGUAUGUAGAUGCAAUCACUCUCCCAUGACUCGUUGCUAGAUGAACUCAUAGAUGGAUCUUGGUGAAACCGUAGGAAAAAAAAUUAAUUUUCUGCAAUGUUCCCCAACACGCUGCAGUCCAAGUCGUGCCACAGAGGCAGGGCGACCUUCCAGGAUGCAACUCAUCUCAACCGGCUCCAAUUUUGCACAAAUGGGGUGGUGCUGCUAGCUCCAGCAAGCUCCUUCGUCCCUGGCCUGUCUCUGAAUGCGGAUGCAGCACCGCAGGUUCCUACCACCGUGCCUCCUCUCUGCUUCUUCACUCUCCACUUCUCUAGUUUUUUGUGUGUGCAUGCAAAAUGUUGGCUAAAAUGUCUCAGUGCACCAGUACUAGUUUUGAGUGUUCGUUUUACAUUCUAGCUUAGUCCUGGCCUGCUGAUUGAUAUGGCUUGGAUUACUUAUAGUGUUUUUCAUGUGUGUUAUGCACUUCAGGUUCAAGUUCACCCUGUAUCCCUGACGUAGCGCUGCUCCGGCUCCUCCCCCGCUUGCUUCAGGUCUGUCGCUCCUUUCUCCCUUGCUCACUGUCCUAUGCGGAGGUGGACGCGCCUACCUGAUGGAGCGAAGCCAACCUCCCAACACUAGUAGUUUCAAAAAAAAUAACAAUAGCAAGUUCAGAAUAAAAAAAUAGAAGUUCAAGAAGAACAAAAGGUGAUGCGUUCACUCAAGUACUUGCAAAUUGGUAGGUUGUACCUCGUAUUUUAUUUGCAGCUAUCUUCAAUUUCUUCAGUACCUCUUACACAUUUUGCCAAAAUAUAGUUGGCCAGCAGGGACAACCAUGUUGAUAGUGAUUUAAAAAGGAUUAUGAAGUAAUAUUGUUGAGACUGAAGGCCAAGUUUGAUGCACGAUGUCAGAGGAUGCCAAGUCUUUUCCUGAGGCGGUCGAUGGCUUUCGAGAUAUGCGUUCAUAUCUCACAAGUUUCCAGGGGUUCAAGUUCAUCUAUAUAAGAAGGAACACCAAUUUUGUUGCCCAUCCGUGUGUUAAAGAGGCACUGAAACUUGAUGUACUUGCUAUUUCUUUUGUUGUAACGCCUACCUAUUUGAUUGAGACUAUUCAAUCACAGCUAUUUUUUAAAUGCCAUGGCACGGGACCUCCUCCAUCUCAGUGCCGCCAUCACAACCCAACCUCCAUUUGCUAGUCGCUGCUAGCUGUUGUUGCUGUGGCCUGCCUCGCCCUCUAGCUAAUGUUGGUGCGCUACUGUUGAAGUUCAACUCGAAUGCUAGAGAGAGAUUUCUGCGAGAGUUUAGCUACUAUAGUCCUUGGUUUUGUGUUCGAACUUGUUGUUGUCCAUGGUUAAAGAUUAUGAUGUUGCUUUUCUACAGAUGGUCUUCUUGUAGAUAUAUCAUUCUCCAUCCUCUUGGAAGAUACAGAUCUGAAUGAUCAGAACAAAAAUAAUAUAAUGUUAGUGUGCUGCUACUUUUGUAUGUUUGUACUAAGCUUGCUGAUGUGUUGGUCGUGCAUGUAACACAUGGUCAUUUAAAAAUAUACAUACGCGUCAAUGUGUUAUAUACACAUCAGCAUCAGUGUGUUGCUGCCUAUAAUUCUUCUAUGUGUGCACGUAUGUUGUGCAGAUGAGCAUUAGUACGAGGAAAAUGGAGACCGGUCAGUGCCAUAAGUUCAAAAAAAUUGAGCAAGAAGUUCAAAUUAAAAAGUACUUCAAAAACCAUUAUAAAAAUGGAUUUUUAUCGUUUGUAAAAAAAUGGAGAAGUCCAAAUUAAAAAGAGGAACAUUUCGAAAAGAAUUUCUGAAAAAAAUCCCUGUUAUAAAAAACUAGAAGUUCAAAUUAGAAUAAAAGGAACAAGUAAAAAAGUUUUAAAAAAACUCGUUUCUUAAAAAACUAGAAGUUCAAAUUUAAAUAACGCAACAGAAAAGUUGUGUUUUCAACAACUUAUUCAUGUGCAGUAGAAGUUCAAGUCAAACUAACGGGGCGAUUUAGCACUUAUUCUUGAAAAAGUGGAGAAAAUUAUACAUGCUCUGUAGGUCAAAAGUUUGGCUUUAAUUUAUGUUUUGCGAAGGUCAAAAUGUUGUGUUCGAGAAGAUCAAGUGUGUUAUCCAGCAAGUUCAAAAUAAAUUUAAACAUGCAAGAAAACAAAAAGGGAGAAGUUCAAUUUCUAAAGAUGACGCGGUUCAACGUGUAAACCAAUGUUGAAAGAAAACGAAAAGAAAAUGAGAAGUUCAAUUUCUAAAGAUGAAGUGGUUCAACAUGCAACCCAAUGUUGAAAGAAAACAAAAAGAAAGGAGAAGUUCAAUUUCUAAAGAUGACGUGGUUCGACGUGCUAAACAAUGUUGAAAGAAAAUAAAAAGAUAAGGAGAAGUUCAAUUUCUAAAGAUGACGCGGUUUGAUGUGCAAACCAAUGCAACACCAAAAUGUUGUUUUGGUGUCUUAAAAUAUUUUUAUUCAUAAAAAUGAUUAAGAAAUAAAACCAAGAAGACCAUAUUAAAAAGUUGGAGAAGUUCGAUUAUUAUAGAAAACUCAGAUUUUCCUCAUUAUUAAAGAUACGUCAGAGUGAAAACUGCAAGAAGUUCAACAUGAAAACGGCAAGAAGUUCAAUUACUACACUGAAUGAAUUUCAGAUGAAAAACUUGAAAACCAUCGUGAGUAUGAAAAAAUAAUCAACACGGGAAAGUUGCGUGUUUACAGCAGCUUUCCAUUGGUAUAUCACUUGCUCAAUUUCAGUGAGUGGGGGAGAGCUUCAAGUGCUCGGCGAGGGAAAGAUCAAAAAUUCUUGUGAGAGAGGUUCACCAUGUAUUUAGAUGUCCAAAAUACAUAAAAAAAUAUGUUGUUUUUUGUGUUUUAAAAUAAUUCUCUCAAACCAGAGAGAAGUUCAAAGUGAUAACAACCGGAAGUUCACGUACUACAUGGUGUGUAUUUCAUAUAAAAAAUACAAUAAAGUGAAACAAAGUGAAGUUCAAAUAGACAUGCCCAAGAAGUUCAACUACUUCACGCAGUGCAAAAAACAGUACGUCAAAAAACAGCACGUCGAAAAUUAGAGUGAAGUUCAAACAGACAUGACCAAAAAGUUGAACUACUUCACGCAAUGCAUUUCCAUUCACGAUGAAGGCAUAAAUCAUGAUCUCAUCGUUUUCUAAUUUACUUCAAAAUGGCAGGAAUAUAAUUUGUGUAAAUUCAAGUCCUCGGUCGGAGAAAGUUAAAAAAAAUUGUGAGAGAGGUUUGUACAAAAAGAAUAUCAUUUGUGUAACACUGAUGAAAAUGGAUGGGAAAAUUACAAACAAAAAUAUGUCACAGAAGCCCAACGUGAAAAACAACAGGAAGUUCAACUACUACACUCAAUGAAUUUCACAAGAAAAACUUUUAAAAUCGUCGCGAGUAUGAAAAAAAUGAUCAACACGGAAAAGUUGCAUGUUUACAGUAGCUUUCCAUCGGUAUAUCACUUGCUUAAUUCCGGUGAGUGAAUAAAGAGCUACGAGUAAAAAAAGCACGUGAAAAACAGAGUGAACUUCAAGCAGAACUGCCACAGAAGUUCAAGUACUUCACGCGAUGCAUUUUCGACGAAUCUAUUUUGCGAUAAAGGUAGAACGAGUGAUCUCGCCAUUUACGAAAUUACUUGAAAAUGGCCGGGAUUCAGAGAAAACCAUCAACAUGAAAAAGUUUCGCAUUUUUCGUAGUUUUUCAACAGUAUAUUAUUUUCUCCGUUCCGAUGAAGUUUGUAGAAAUUACGGCGAAAAUACGUUUUUAGCCAUUUUCAAAAUCAACAUAAAACCGUAAUGAAUUUGGAGAAACAGUAUAUACCAAAAAGUUUCGCAUUUGUUCAGGCUUUCCAACGCCAUAUCAUUUGCUACAUUCGGAUGUAUGAUUACAAAAAAUAGAUCGAAAAUACAAACUUGGUAGAACUUGUACCAUUUUCUAAAUUACUCUUAAACCAUUCAAAUUAGAAAAAACUUUCAACAUGAGAAAAAAGCGAUUUUCAUAAGCUUUCCAACGCCAUAUAUUUGUCUCAAUUGGAUUAGGCAUUUAGAAAUGGCAUCGAAAAUACGAACUCGGUUGUUCAGUUUGCGAAAUUUUAUGAUUUUCCACAUUACUCUUUAACCAUAGGGAAUUAGAAAAAACUUUCAGCAUGUGGAAUGAGCGGUUUUACAGAAGAUUUCCAACGCCAUAUUAUUUGCCUCAUUCCGAUAAACGGUUUACAAAUGCGAUCGAAAAUACGAUUCACAUUUUUUGUAUGAAGAAAAAACGGUUUUCAAAACUGCUCUUAAACCACUUACAUUUUGCCAAAAUUUUAAGUUGGGUCAUGAUACUGGUGUCCAUAGCUUUCCAACGGUAUGUCGCAAGACCCAUUUGGGCAAUGUUGAUGGAAGUUCAACCUAGCACUAGGGGAAGUUCAGUUCGAACAACUCAGGUAGUAAAAUUGCAAAAAAUGCAAUUUCAUCACGACCCGAGAGCAAAAUCCACCAACGAGCGAGAUUUCUAUUUAAAACCAGUAUUUAGGUGCUAAAAACGUUUCUAGAUUACAACAUCAUAUAGAACACUACUAACCAGAAUAAUUCGCGGGGGAAGCCACGGUUGUAAAGAUAGCCCGAAGGUCGGGUUUGUACAAAGAGAAGUUCAGACGCGUGUACAAACAAAAAUACGUCAUAGAAGUUCAACGUGAAAACAACAUGAAGUUCAACUACUACGCUGAAUGAAUUUCAGAUGAAAAACUUUUAAAAUCGUCGCGAGUAUGAAAAAAUGAUCAACACGGGAAAGUUGCGUGUUUACAGCAGCUUUCCAUCGGUAUAUCACUUGCUCAAUUCCGGUGAGUGGAUGGAGAGCUAGGAGCAGUGGAUAGAGAUAUAUGAGCAUAAAAAACACGUAAAAAUAGAGUGAAGUUCAACUACACGUGCCGAGAAGUUCCGGUUCUUCACGCGGUGCAUUUUCGAAGAAUCAGUUUUGCGAUAAAGGCAGAACGAAUGAUCUCGCCAUUUUCGCAAUUACUUGAAAACGACUAGGAACCAGAGAAAACCAUCAACAUGAAAAAGUUUCGCAUUUUCCGCAGCUAUUCAGCGGUAUAUUAUUUGCCCCAUUCCGAUAAAGUAUGUAGAAAUUAUGCCAAAAUAUGUUUUUAGCCAUUUUUCCAAUUUGACUUCAAACUGUAAGGAAUUAGGAGAAACAAUAUAUACAAAAAAGUUUUGCAUUUCCGCAAUUUUUCCAACGCCGUAUGAUUUGUUGCAUUCGGAUGUACGGUUAAAAAAUUAGCUUGAAAAUACAAACUCGAUGGAACUUGUACCGUUUUCUGAAUUACUUUUAAACCGUACCAAAUUAGGAAAAACUUUUAACAUGAAAAAGUAGCACAUUUUCACAAGCUUUCCAAUAUCAUAUCAUUUGCCUCAAAUGGAGUAGCUGUUUAGAAAUUACAAUGAAAAUACGAACUCAGUUGUUCGGUUUGCAAAAUUUUAUGAUUUUCAAAAUUACUCUUUAUCCAUAGGGAAUUAGAGAAAACUUUCAACAUGUCGGAGGAGCGGUUUUGCAGCAACUUUCCAACGCUAUAUUAUUUACGUCAUUCGAUAAACGGUUUAGAAAUGCGAUCGAAAAUACGAUUCACGUUUUUUAUAUGAAGAAAAAAUGGUUUUCAAAACUACUCUUAAACCGCUUACAUUUUGCCAAAAAUUUAACUUGGGUUAUGAUAUUGGUGUCCAUAGCUUUCCAACGGUAUAUCGCAAGCCCCAUUUGGACACAUUUUAGCUGAAGUUCAACCUAGAACUCGGGGAAGGUCAGGCGCGUUACUCGGGAAGUUCAUGUUGUGAUCAGAAUAUUAUUCUGAUCCCGUGAUNNNNNNNNNNNNNNNNNNNNNNNNNNNNNNNNNNNNNNNNNNNNNNNNNNNNNNNNNNNNNNNNNNNNNNNNNNNNNNNNNNNNNNNNNNNNNNNNNNNNNNNNNNNNNNNNNNNNNNNNNNNNNNNNNNNNNNNNNNNNNNNNNNNNNNNNNNNNNNNNNNNNNNNNNNNNNNNNNNNNNNNNNNNNNNNNNNNNNNNNNNNNNNNNNNNNNNNNNNNNNNNNNNNNNNNNNNNNNNNNNNNNNNNNNNNNNNNNNNNNNNNNNNNNNNNNNNNNNNNNNNNNNNNNNNNNNNNNNNNNNNNNNNNNNNNNNNNNNNNNNNNNNNNNNNNNNNNNNNNNNNNNNNNNNNNNNNNNNNNNNNNNNNNNNNNNNNNNNNNNNNNNNNNNNNNNNNNNNNNNNNNNNNNNNNNNNNNNNNNNNNNNNNNNNNNNNNNNNNNNNNNNNNNNNNNNNNNNNNNNNNNNNNNNNNNNNNNNNNNNNNNNNNNNNNNNNNNNNNNNNNNNNNNNNNNNNNNNNNNNNNNNNNNNNNNNNNNNNNAAGCAAACGAAAAACAAUUAAACGGAAAACAGAAAAAUAAAGGAAAAAUAAAUAAUAAAACCAAAACCCCCCAAAAAAUUUAGUACCGGUUGGUGUUACCAACCGGUACUAAAGGUCUCCCCACACCCGGCCCUGGCUCGUGCCAUGUGGUGGCCCUUUAGUGGCGGUUCAUGCAGAACCGGUACUAAAGGGGGGGGGCUUUAGUCCCCACCCUACAGAACCGGCACUAAAGGCCCUUACGAACCGGAGCUAUAGCCCGGUUCUGCACUAGUGUUGGUUGGAUGAUAUAUAUGGAUUGAUUUUAUUGUUUCCAAUUUUCUUAGAUGCAUAAGCUCAUAAAUGUUCAUUAUUUGUACAAGACGACAUUUAUGCUUGGAAAUGAUGAUGAAGGAGAAGAGGCUAUGGUUUUUGAUACAAGUCCAAGCUUUGAUGAUGUUGUAGUUAAAGUGAGAAGCUUCUUACAUUGGAGUGACCCAAAUGCCGAGGUUAAGCUUAUUGGGAGGUAUGACGUUGGAUUGGGAGUAAAGUCUCGAUUAAAGAGUAUGCCCAUCACCUCCCAAUUGCAUUGGAAUGUGUACAAGGAAAAAGUAGAUGCAUCAUAAGACAAGUCUCUUGAGAUAUUUGCCACAAAGGUUGAUCCUCCCUUGCAAAUUGAUUUGAACCGCAAUGCAUCCUCCCCAAUACAUGAUGAUAGUGCCUAGCUGUAUAUUCCAAUUGUUCUAGCCAACCACCAAGUAGCCAACCCAAUGAAGAACAUAUCAAUGCUAGCGCCAUAGUACUCCGAGUUGAUGCUAUUCCUCGUAUUCAAGAAGAUGAUAGUGGUCAUGUUGAUGAUGAUGCUAUUGUUGCUCAAGAGGAUGCUUACAUGGAGAAUGAAGAGAUUCAUUACAAUCCCAUUGGUAACUUGGAUUUCAUUGUGCGGAAACAAGACAUGGACCGUGCCCUCCCUUAUAACCGUAUGUGUGGGUAUAACUCGGAUGACGAGGGUCCGGAGGAAGAAUUGGAUGAGGAUGGGUUGACUGCGCAAAAAAAUCAAAUCUACAAGAAGGUGACCGGCAAGGAAAGAGGGCUACCGUUGUUUAGGGAUGUGAGUCUUGUGGACAAUGCCGUUGUUGACGUUGGGCUGAAAUUUGAGUUGUUUGAGCCAACAUCGUGCCCCAAAUUCAGUGAUCCUCGGCCAGAAAAUGAGGAUGAGAAUGCUCAUUUGAAGAAAGGCAUCAAGUUUGGUUCUUUGGUAGAGUUCGAGAUAUGGUUGUGUGACUACACCAUUAGGAACCAUAGGCCGUUUGUUGUUGGUCAUUCAAAUCAAAAAGUUUGGUACACAGUCAUAUGUGACCAAGAAGGUUGCAAAUGGAAGGUCCGCGGUAGAAAAAUCAAAGAAACCGGGCAAUGGGUGUUGAAGAGUUGUGUUGGCACUCACACGUGCAUACCCCCCUACAAGGCCGACCAAAGAAAAGGAUACCGUCAACUCACAUCUGAGUAUCUAGGAUACAAAUUUUUGAAUCAAAUAGCACAUGAUCCAACCAUGAAGGUCAAGUUUCUCAUGACUUCAAUUGAGGAACUAUUCGGAUACCCAGUAAAGUAUGGGAAGGCAUGGAUGGCCAAGGCAAACUCUAUUAGGAUGUUGCAUGGAGAUUAUGAGGCCGCAUAUAACAUUCUUCCCAAGAUGUUGGCAGCCAUUGCUCAUCGAAAUCCGGGCAUGCGCCAUCGAAUGGAGUCAAUUGACUGAGUGUUUCGUCGUGCCUUCUAGAGCUUUGGACAAUGCAUCGAGGCAUUCACGUAUUGUCGGCCGGUCUUAUCUAUAGAUGGUACAUUCUUGACCGGCAAAUACAAGGGCACAUUGAUGGUGGCGAUGGCCCACUCUUCAAAUGAUAAUGUGUUGCCGGUGGCAUUUGCCUUGGUGCCUUCGGAGCACGAUGAUAAUUGGGAGUGGUUCAUGGGGCAUGUGAGAACCAAGGUGAUAGGCAAGCGAGAGGUAUAUAUUAUAUUGGAUCACCAUCAUGGGAUUCUCAAAGCAAUAGACGUUUAUAUUCCCGGUCUUCCAAAGCUUCAACACCGUUGGUGCAUGAGACACUUUGUUGCAAACUUUUACCGGGCAUGCUAGAGCAAGGAGUUUUGCAAAGACCUUACCCUUGUUUCUGUUGCAUUCAACACCGACACAUUCAAAAGCUGAUAUGAUAAACUCCUCAAGGCUUUGGAGAAGAACAAAGGGGGGAAAGAAUUAUUGCUUAGGCACGAGCCGAAAAAAGAAAAGUGGUCACGUGCUUACGAUGAAGGAGGUAUGCAAUAUGGGGACAUGACAAGCAACAUGAUGGAAUGCUUCAACAAUGUGUUGAAGGGUGUCCGUUCCUUGCCGGUGACCGCAAUACUCAAGUGCACUUUCAUCAAGCUCAACGAGUACUUCCUAAAGCAUUUUGAAAGCACGACCAAGUGGAUUGGCGAAAAGAUGGACUAUCCAUUCAAGGUUCAGGAUUGGUUGUUGCAUCAAGCGCGCAAGUCUUCCAAACAACAAGUGAUCAAAUAUACUGAAAAAGAAAUGAUCUAUCAAAUCGAUGAGCCGGGUGGGACAACAAGGUAUGGUAGGUCUUAUGGUGGAGUUGCUUAGGAGGUGCACAUCAAAAACCGUUGGUGCCAGUGUGAGAGGCCACGCAAGUAUCAUUGGCCUUGCUCGCAUUUGAUGACCGCAACACGGGCGAGAAACUUGCCCGUAUCCGAUGGCACAACGUUGCGGUUGCACGAGUUCACAUUGGAACGAACAAGGUUGACAUGGGCGCCUCGGUUUAAUCCUUUCCUUGAUGCCUCACAGUGGCCUGAGUAUCACGGCCCAGACAUUGUGCCAGAUCCCGCACUCAUCAUGGUGCCUAUGAGGGGAAGAAGAAGAAAGAAGAGGUUCAAGAGUGACAUGGAUGAUCUAGCUGGAUACACCGGAAUCAAGCAAUUUGGUAGUGGUCAUUUCAUGGAGGCACCGGACACCAACAAUUGUGGAGAAUGCAAUGAAACAAGACACAACGUUAGGAGAUGCACGAAGAAACCUAGAACCAACACGGGCACUAGUUAAACACAUGUAGGGAGGACUAGCCUUGGAGGGGGUCGUGGCCGUGGAGGAAGGACUAGCCUUGGAGUGGUCCUAGGAGGGGGUCGUGGCCGUGGAGGAAGAACAAUACUUAGAGGGGGCCGUGGAUCCGGUGGUUCUAGGACACGUCGGGUUGAUAGGGGAAGGCCUAUCGACGUGUUGCUCAAUCCGGAUGGUUGAAAUAAUGUGAAUGGCACUACUUUUAAUAUGUUCAUGUGUUGAUAUAUUUGCCUCUUUACAUGUCAAUGUGUUCAUAUUUUGACUUAACAUCUUUAAUUGUUGAAGGCAUGGCUUCAUCCAGUUCCAUGAUGAUGCCACCGUGUGCUAACCAAGAAGACAUGCCGCACAAGUGGGAGAAUGCAUCCUUGGACAAGGUGAAGGAGAAAGAUGUGAAGAUUCCUCCAUGUUGGUGUGGAGAUGUUUGCGAGGUGAAGGUGUCCACCGACCGAAAGAAGUCAUGGACGGAAGGAGGGAGAUAUUUUGUAUGCCCCAACUAUGCUUAUGAUCGUGCACUUCCAACUCACGCCUAUGACUAACCACCGGUAUGCUAGAGAAGUAACAUGUUACUCUAAAAUGUGUGUCAACACUAACAUCCAUUUUGUAUGCAUUCACCACCUCCUCUAUGCAAGUACUUCACAUGGAUAGAUCACGAAGUGCCAGAAGAUGUCCAAAAGGACCAAUAUGAAGAUUGUCUUAGGCGCCAGCGGCUGUUCAAAGAAAGGUUUCGAAGAGGCUUGGAGGAAGAGCAUCGUCAGAAGGAGAGGAUGGAGCGGAAGCAACGCGAGGAGGAGAGGGCAUGCCAAGCGAAGCUUGCUCGUGAGGAGGAGAGGGCAAGAAAGCUUGCAGAGGCUUGCAAGGCACAAGAGGAGGAUGAGGCACGUGACAAGAAGGGGAAAUGGCCCCGUAUGACUCAGUAAAGCCUUCACUUCGGUGGAUUCGCCAUGUAACCGGAUGAAGCCAUACCACAUUUAUCAUUUAUCAUGAACUAUGUACUACUAAGGCAAGAAGACAUGUGUCGUGAACUUAUCGUGAAUGAAUUUGUAUUGAAUUUGUCGUCUGAACUAAAGUUUGUCAGCAAUUUCUGUGAUUAUAAACUGUUGUGCUUAGAUGAGGGGCAGAACAGAGGAGGUCCUCUAUUUUCAACUCUACCGCCACACCCCCUGGCGGUAGGUUGCUGAACCCUACCGCCAAGGCCCAUGGCGGUAGGGGGCGCCAUAGGGGGUGGAUUCAGUAUUGUAACGAGAAAAAUCCCCCCUUGGCGGUAGGGUCACACCCUACCGUCACAGGCUCUGGCGGUAGGCUUACCUACCGCCAAGGGAUGGUUUUUCCUCUUUACAGUACCGAAUCCACUCCUGUGCCACCCCCUACCGCCAUGGGCCCUGGCGGUAGGUUUCAGCAGCCUACCACCAGGGGGUGUGGCAGUAGGGUUAAAAACAGAGGACCUCCUCUGUUCUGCCCCUCAUCUAAGGCCAAAUCUUAACUCAACUCAACUCAAGCACAUACAUAACUCAACAUAGUUCAUUACUCUCAUACUUCAUAACAUAGUUCAUUAACUCAAAACAGUUCAUAACUCAACAUAGUUCAUCUAAGGCCAAAUCUUAGAAUGAUCAACUAGCAAGCACAUGCAUAACUCAACUCAACAUAGUUCAUUACAUCCACGAAUAACACAUGUUCAAACUAAUUAAAAUAUGACCCGGUUCGAAUGACAUCGGUUGAAACUAAUAACUCAAGCUCGACGACACAUUUUCUAAACAAGUAACAUAACUCUCAUACUUAUCAGACGUUCAAUUUGAUCGUCACGCGCUUGAUUACGCUUCAGUUGAAAGUCGGUGGAUCCUGCCCAAUGACCCAACACACCAUUCGUUUCGCGGAACCAGGCCCAUGCAGCACGGCGGGCCGGAUUCUCUGACACGCCUUGUUUGAUUGCCCAUCCUAUGACCUGGCCGGGUUUCCUCAAGUCCAUCUCACGGAAUUCUUCUUUGCUGGCAGUGAAUGCAAUCUCAAUUGCCAAAGCGUGUCUGCAAGCAUAUUCCCGGUCUUGCAGCUCAUCAAGCAUCCUUCUUUUUUCGUUCGCAAGCUUUCAGAAAGCUUUUUUCUCCUUAGCAUCAGAAGGUUCCUCGAUAAAGUGAUACUUUUUGAAAUCCUUCAUGGCUGCAUUUGCCUCAUCACAACUCUUCAACCAUGCUUCACAUUCCCUCUUCAAGCAAUGGUGUCGCUCCGACAUGAGCUUCUCACACGCUAGUUCAUAGUCAUGGAUCGAAUGUCCAUCCUACAUGAAUAUACGGGUUUAAGAUGCCAUACAACAGAACACAAAAUAAAUUCAAUGGAGUACAACACUUGGUUACUUGAUAUGACAUACAACACCAAGUUCUCAAUGAGUUCAAAUGUUAAGGGUACAAGUCAUGGUAGUUCAAAUGACGACCAAGCAAAGGGUACAUGUCAUUGUAGUCCAAAUGACAAAGAUUACAUAGCCUCCUUCAAUUCUAUUUGGCGUACGGUCCCGGGUUGCAACAAAUAACAUCAUUUCUUUCUUUGAACCAUGCCCAACGAGAAGCCCGCUUCUGGUCCAAUGAGAAUGGUUGCCUCACUAACCAAUCAAUGACCUGGCCAUGAUUUCCCAUGUCUAUCUCAGCAGAUUAUUCCCUUGUCGCACACAAUGCAAUUUGCAUUGCAAGAUCACACCUACAAUUUUUUUCGCCGUCUUGAGCUUGGUCAUCUUUCUCCCCUUUUUUGAUUAAAUUUUUGGAACAAUCAUUAGUAAAUAAUAAUGUGAAAAGGCCCUACACGUCGCAUUCAACGCAUUAAUGGCUUCCAUCCAGAAGUUCAUCUUUUCCUCAAUCACUUAGCGUUCAUGCUUCGCCGCGGCCUCGGCAGAAAAUUCAACGUAAACGAACGGUGCCAUCCUACAUUUCGACAAGUUGCUAUUAAAGUGAACUUAGGUUUAAUUGCUUUGUUAAGCCUAACCCAACCCCAAUUAUGUACACUAAUACUAGCACUAGAUCUAAGUACACAAACAAUUCUACAAACAAUUCUAGGCAGAUUAUACAUAAGAAAAUCACAAACAUAACCCUAAAUGGAUCAUAGUAAUUGAUUUGACCACACCAAAAUGAUGAACUAGGGUUUGCAACCAAACGAGAAAAAUGCAAACUAAACAAAGACAUCAACCAAUCAAAAUGAGGGGACAUGAGAGAGGUACCUUGGGUGAUGAAAAUGGUAAGAAUCCAACAGAGAAAUCUCUAACAAAUGAGAGAGAUUUGAGAGGCUCUUGUGCUGGAAAGAGAGAGGGGGGAGACUUGAGCUCGGGGCAGAGGUGAGGAGUGGGUGGGCUGAAUGAGUGGAUGAGGAGUGGGGGAGGAAAUAUCCAGCCCUUCCCACCCUUAUCCACCUCCCAGGACCCUACCGUCAGCAUCCCUGGCGGUAGGCUUCAGUACCCUACCGCCAGGGCCCGUGGCGGUAGGCCCUUUUCCAUGCCAGCACGAGCCAAUGCCCGUCAGUCAUCGUCCAGGGACCUACCGCCAGAGCCCAUGGCGGUAGGGCAUGCAAGCCUACCGCCACAGCCCCUGGCGGUAGGCAAAAGGGUUAGAUCCCGAAAAAAAAUUUGAGCGGGGUCAGAUCCUGAAUUUGUUAGCCAAAAGGGUCAAAACACGAAAUUUUUCCUCCAGCAUUGUAUCUGAACUUUACGGCCAUUGCUUGGAAACUUCGCUGAGAAAAAUGACCACCGACAAAAGGUUUCGGCGGAUGUUACUAAAUAUACCUGACCGGUAUCCAAAAAAUACAGGUUUUUACUGCCCUGUGAGUCCAGAAAUUUCAAUGAUAUUUAACCAAAAUUUCAAUUUGAAGCAAACAUUGUGCGAUGGACUUUGUUUCAGUAUAACAAUUUGCCAAGAGGAAUCACUAAAGUCGGUUAUAAAAGUAAUGGCUUGGGACUGUGGCAGAUCUAGGAAUUUACCCGCCUGUAGACAUUCUUUACGCACACAACUUAAUUGAUUUGAAAUCCCAAAUUAAUCACGUAAGUUUAAAUUUGAGAAAAAAUAUAAAUAGUUUGACAUGGCUCAUACAAUUACCGAUCCAUAUUAAUUGUCGCUGUUGUACUAAAUCAACGACAAUGAAUAUGGAUUUGGGGAGUAAUAAAUUUGAACAACUAUAUUAAAACAUAUUGAAAACAAUUAUAGCGUUCGGGGCGGAUGGUUGUUUAGUAUUUUUCGACACUAGAGCAGGUAGACUAAGCAUAAAAAUUAAAUAAUUUAAAACUUAGCUACAAUAUAAUCCAAAACAAAUAUUAUAUGCUAAAAACAGUUUUUGCAUGUUUAGGGGGCUGCCGCCAAUGGGUGCACUAUUUCACAGUUUCUUUCGGUGUUUUAGUAGAAUAUUUCUUUGUUGUCCAUUGCCAUCUAACUUUUAUAAAGCUGCAAUUCAUGAGUUAAUGUUUCACAAACUCUUUGUUUAUCGCAAAUUUGUUUCAUCGUUGCUUCAAACAAAACGCCUUGAGAUCUUUGGCAGAAAAUAUGACAUUACUGGAAAUAGCUUUUUGCUUCGCUUUAUAGUUAAACCACACAGUCGAACGAUACAGGCAAUAGAAAUAUCUUUUGCAAAGAAGAUAAAAAACCAACAUCAAAGAAUGUCGGAAACAACACACAUGGGAUACACUACUGAUGCCAUGAUCUCAUUGUCGAGUAUGAUCGCCAUACUGUUAUUUGGAGAGAGGUAUUCUUCCGAGUGUAUUCUGUCAAAACCAAGCCAUUUAAGUCCAAUUGGUAUUUUGCAGCAUCCUUUUCCUAUGCACAAAAAAUAUUCUUGGUGGACUCAAAGAUAAAAGUGAAGUACUGCACAUUCUCUUGGAAGUAAUCACUUCUAUUUUAUGUUGGGACAAACUGUGCGAUAUUGGGAUAUAUAUGCAUACAUGUUGCAUUAAUGUGUUUGUGGAAAGCAGAUACCAAACUCAUAGUGAGGAGUAUCAUGCAUAUGAUACUAGAAUACGAUACUAUUUGCACGGUGCAUUGUUAGUAUUUUAGAUGAUCUCAUUUAUUGUCAUGCAUGACAUAUAGUCGCACGUCACUUAUUAUGACACCGUAUUUUUCUUUUACUAGAUAUGAUACCUAAUUCUCUCUUGUUUAAUUAAUUAUAUGCAUGAUAUUGCUCAAGGUACCUUUGAGGUGGUUAUAUGACAUGAUACCUAAUUCCCUUUUUUAUUCAAUUAUAAGCCCUCUCAGCAAAAUUGCUUAGUUGUCAUACAUGAUACUCACUAGAGAGGUUACGAAAAAGUGUUUUUUUUUUACUUCGGACAUUUGGGUGAGAAAUGGAUACCAGUGAUGACAUUUAUUUAAGGAGCAUAGUAUAUUACUCCCUCCGUUUCAAAAUAGAUGACCCAACUUUGUACUAAAGUUAGUAUAAAGUUGGGUCUUCUAUUUUGGAUCGGAGGGAGUAUUUAACAAGCAGUUGGUUCAUGUUAGUAAGUACCAAAAUUACUAGUACCAAUCGGGAUGGCUAUUGCUAAUUGCCUACUAUAUUUGUUUCUUCCUUAUUUAUGUGAAAGAAAAGCAUGUCUGGAACCUUUAAUAUGCUUAUCUACCGUGCAGCGGCAACAUCCACUUUUCGAAAACAAAAUUCAAAGACAGGCUUUUCCAUUUUUGAGGGUACAUGGUAUAAUGACUUGUUAAGAAUCUGCCGGUGCACAACAGGAUUCCCCUUACCUUUAGAGGCACACAUGCAAAGCACAUCGAGAAGAAAGGUUCCGGCCAUUGUUUAGCUCGUGCUAAAAGGCACCUAAGUUGACAUCAUUCAGCGUGAGGAUCACUGAACCUGCUGCGCUGAAGGGGCUUGGUGACUAGGCUUCGUCAAUUUGCUUUGUGUGGGACAAAUUAAGACGGCUAGCUAUCAUCCCAUGCUAAGUAAAAUAAUGUUGGUAUGACGCAUGCACUUACUACCUUGGAAAGUUAACUUGGCUAGUUGGACAUCUACAAAGUGCUCGAAUGUGGCCUGCUCAUGCCAGAAUGUGGCGUAGCACUAGCCGUCUAGGGUUGUAGAGUUGUUCUGACGGGCGCUGGUGCUGAGCUCCUCCAAAUAAGUGCUGCUGCAUCUGCAUGCGUUGAUGCGUGGAGCCGUGGAGGAUUGACCUUUGCAAAUCCGAAAGGUGACAGCGUAAUCUAUUCUCCGGUUGAUGGCCAUCACCUUUGCUGGUUCACCGAUCCAACAUUGUAUCUGAAAUCUCACUGCCGUUGUCGGCCAACUUCUCCCACCAGAAUGCCCAGGGAUGAUCGGGGUUUAGGCUUUACCGGAAUGGGUAUUUUUGCCGAGGGGCCCCGAAGGACUUGUAAUCAAAAAAUACCAUUUUUUUAGCAAAGGACAAUAUAUUAAUAUCAAGAUGAUAUUAAAUCAUCUGGGCUUUAAAGCAGCACAAUAUCAAAAACUUAGUUGAGACAUUGAGCAUGCUUACAUUCAAAAAGGUAAAAGGAAGAAGUAAAAACAAAGAGGGAUACGACCAACGCAACAAACAAGCAGCAACACCAUCAUUGUCCUCCACAAUGGUGGCGUCACAUUUGAAGUUAAAACCAUGGCCUUGUUUUGCCGCGUUUCAACCGUGUGUUAAGAACAACGCGAGGAAGGGAAGGUUAAUCAAUUGCAAAAGCAAAAGCUGGGGCCGUGCUUUUCUCUGAAAGCGAGAGCAUUUUGACGUCACACUAGUGCAGAACCGGGCAAUAGCACCGGUUCGUAAGGCCCUUUAGUGCCGAUUUCAUAACCGACACUAAAGUGUGGGCACUAACCCCCCCCCCUUUAGUACCAGUUCAGCACGAAUCGGUGCUAAAGGGCAACCACGUGGCACGAGUCAGCUUCGGGGGCCUGGAGCCCACCAACCGGUACUAAAGGUUUGGGAGGUUUUUAGUUUUAUGAUUUCUUUUUCAUUUAAUUUUGUGUUUCCAUUUUAAUUCUUUUUCGUUUGCUGGUAUUUUACGAUACUACACAUUGUACACGUUAUGCAUAUAUAUAUAUAUAUCAUCAAUGUCUCACAAACACCAUAUUAAUUAAUUCACACAUACGCACAUGUAUAGCUAUAUACAAUUUCUCCUACAUAUGCAUGUUGCCUUCGGAGCCAGUGGCAUUAGCCUAAUUGGUGCCUUCAGAGCACGAUGACAAUUGGAAGUGGUUUUCAUGGGGCGGUAGCGGGUAAUAGUAUUCUCCCUUCGGAUUUAUGACCUGGUCGAGCAAAAAAUCCCGCUAUUUCCUCUUGAAGUGCUUCUACGCGCUCCUUUCUAGGAGCUUCUCCCGCACCUCUCUGAACUGUUAAGAAGGAGAUCAAUAUACAUGUGUAUUAGUUGUGUGACUAGAUAUCGAUAAUGGUGUAAAAAUUAUGAAUAGUGUUCUGACAAGCGUACUCAUUCCUGUCUUUGAGAUCUGCUCCUUUCGGACGCCAUCAUGCGAAUGUUCUCGCAAACACAGAAUGCACACAGAUCAGUCCCCUGCGCCUGCUUCAGGGCCUUUACGAGAAUGGAAUUUGAUCAGAUAAUAAUUAAUCAAGCAUGAUAAUUAAAAAGAUGGCAGCUAGCUAGUACUACUUAAUUACUUACCUUGGGUCGAAACCAUUUAAGCUUUUUUUUCCAUUCGCCUUCCGUGACGUUGAUGAACCUUGCCCAAGCCCUGCCCGCCGACAAAGAAAAUGAAUAAAUGGGUUAUUAAAUAGUUCAUAUCAUGAAAUGACGAACUAAAUAGGCCGAGAUAUAUAGUUAAUAAUGAUUGAAAUUACCUGUUGACUAUCCCAAACAAGAUGUUAUAGUCAGUAUUUUCUUUGAGUAGUGAGUCCAGUAUUUCAACUGUUCCGGCGUCAACUUUAAUGAUACACAAGAUCCAGUGAAAUCUGCAUGCACACACGUUUGCAUGUCUUAAUUAAGCGGGCAUAUGUAAGCAAAAACAUGUAGUUAGCUAGUAGGCAAAAACAGAGAAUUUGUAGUACAAGACAGUGUGACUCACUGGAAGUUGUAAGGAAGUAGUAUAUCUUCAUUGUAUUUGAGGCACUUCAAGAAUUCUAGCAUGUUGUCCUCUACGGCCUUUUCAUGAUGUGGAUUUAUUAGCCAUGUGUAUUCAUUAACGGUGUUUGGGUCAAUGAACCCAAUUGCGACCAUUCUUACAGCCAGCACAUGGACAAGGCAUAAAACCAUCCGCCCGCUUGUUUGCCUCAGCCGCAAGCAGAAAAGUAUGCACGCCCUCAACGAACUGGGGAGAGCAUCGGUCAUCGUACAUUCAUUGCCGGCUCAUCUUCAUUACACAACACCGAAUAGACCAAAUUAAUACAAGUUCAUACAUAAAGUUCAUACAACACUUAAAUGCAACAAACAAAUAACUCUCUAGCUAAAGCAUUUAAAUGCAACAACAAAUACGAUCAAGAUCGCAACUAAGGUAACAAUUGAUCCAACAGCAUAAUGAUACCAAGUCUCACUAUCGAUGGCAUAUUUUCUAAUCUUUCUAAUCUUCAAGCGCAUUUUCUCCAUCUUGAUCUUGUGAUCAUCGACGACAUUGGCAACAUGCAACUCCAUUCCAUCUUCUCCCCCUCAAUUCUUUUCAAUUUUUCUUUCAAGUACUCGUUUUCUCUUUCAACUAAAUUUAACCUCUCGACAAUAGGGUCGGUUGGAAUUUCUGGUUCACAUACCUCCUAGAUAAAAAUAUCUAUAUCAACUUGAUGGGCAUAAUUUGUCAUAAACACGAAAUGCAACAAAUAGUUUUAAAAGAGAAUAUACCACAUCCGAAUCAUAACCAGGACGAGGGCCGACGGGGACGGAUAUCAAAACCAUGUCACUAUGUAUAACAAACAACGUACGGGUAAGAUAAUUAUAUGAGUAACUAUAUAUCCAAAUCACACAAACAACAAUUUUUUAUAUAAAAUUUCAUGAACAAGAGGCUCACCACAAGGUGGUGCCGGCGACGGGACGGUGCGGGCGAUCGACGGUGGUUACGACAGAGAUUUAGAAGGCACUAAGUAAAACACACCUACAUAUGCAAACUAAGUGUUAUUUUGACCUCAAAUUGCAUAUAAAUCAAAUACUACCACAUAUAAUUCCUCCAAAAUUACUAAAACCCACAAUUAAUCACUAUAUAAACCAAUGCAAGAGCUAAUCUAGCAAUGAGAGAUGAAAGGACAAAGUUGCUAACCUUGGUGAUCAUUUGAAUGGAUGGGGGCCUGCAAAUCUUGACAAAUUUGAGGCAAAUUUUGUGAUGAACUCGAGAGGAAGAAGGGAAGAACAGAGGAGAGGGAGAGGGGAAAGGGGGAAGAAUAGAGUGCGGGUGGACGAAGGGUUUAUAGGACGACCUUUAGUACCGGUUCGUGCCAUGAACCGGUACUAAAGGUGCUGGAAGGGCCCCACUCUGACAACAUCAUGCCACCACUUUCUUUAAUACCGGUUCGUGGCACAAACCGGUGCUAAAGGUUCGCCACGAACCGGUACUAAAGAGCUCCUCCCGCCUAGCCGUUGAAACCGGCACUAAUGGACACAUUAGUGUCGGUUCUGUUACAAACCGGGACUAAUGUGUCUCACAUUUGACCAUUUUUCUACUAGUGUCAUCUGAUCUCUCGUGGAGGCUGGAGCAAUACUGGCCAACCGUUGAUGCAACCCCAAGGGCCAGCCUAGAGCACUCUUUCUACAAACAAGGCAAAAGGAAGAGCACUUGUUUAGAGAUGGAACAUAACACUCUUUCCCUUAACAAGAGAAAAGUAGGCGUAUUGGUCUACAGCCAUGCAUAUAGAUCGGUACCACGUAACCAACCCUAGAUUGAUACUCUUGAACAAAUAUGCAAAAGUUUGAAUCUAAUGCAUCAUACCUUGACCUGAGCCGUCCAAAUAAUGUUGGUAGUCAUCAUAAUGUAUGAGCUACGUCAGGGAAAUAUAUGCCCCGAGUACAUUACUGAUUUGACUAAACUCUUGAAUCUCUGGGUUUAUGAAAUAGCUCCUCCUCCCUCAAAAAAAAAAGCUCCUCCAACCUGGAUUCUUUCGGAAAAGUAAAAUGCAGCCGGCAAAUGUCAUUGUUCUCCAACCUGACCGACCCCUUUCCAUUUAUUACAUAACAAAAAUACAACAUAGUACACUCAGAAUUAUGUUGAGUACGCUCACAAAAAUAACCUCGAAAUUAUGAGAGUAGGCUCACAAAAAUAACGUUCGCUAUCUGCACAAAGUGAAAAAUCACGAAUACUUUGAGGUGGUUAUUUUUGUAGUGUGCAUCUUCGAGGCAAAGGCUGGUGAAGUUUUUGCUCUCUCUGACCUUGAAAUUAUGUUUCUUUAGGUCGUAAUUGAGCGAAUUAAUCAACAUACAAUGAGUGAAGCUGAUUGCAGUUUAUCGUACGGUAGUAUGCACCGUAUCCGUAUUCCCACAAAAAAAAGUAUGCACCGUAUCCACGUAGCAGUAACAGGUGCUGGCCACGUUUCACAGUCGUUUUCCUUCCUAUCCGACUCCAUAUGUUUCCUUCUUAUCCAACUCCGAGAACAUACCACGAAUCGGCAGAAAUUGACCGGUACAGAAAGUUCCUCCUUCACAAAGCGGGGCACCAACCAACCAUUGCGUGUAUACGCGAAACAAUAUGUGGUUGGAUGGUUAGAGGGAUAUCCCCAGCCUAUCCAGAUUUAAAUCCCGUUGUUCGCAUUUAUUUUUGAAUUUAUUUCGGGAUUUUCGGCGAUGUGCAUUCUGUGGGAAGAGACGUUUCCUUGAUUUCAUAAACUUCAAGAUGAUAUGCCGGCUCAGUCUUUCGAAGAUGCUUAUAGGUAUAGGGUGUGCAUGUGUGCGUUGACAGGGAUGGGUGUAUGCGCGUGUAUAUAAGCGCUUGUGUCUGUAUUGAUGUUAAAAGAAAAACCAUUGCGUGUAUACAUCACCAUCAAGCUGGUAAAACGGAUAUCACAUGCAAGUUAUUGCUCGACAAUUUUGGAGUGCAAUUGCUGGCCACGAGGAUAAAGCGUAACGGCACUAAUAAUUUUUUUGAAACACCAGGCAACUUUGCACAUUUCAUCAAGUAAUAAGGAGAUUGUUGCCCAAAUAAUUACAAAAUAUCAGACGAAAAUCGAUACAAACAAGACCAAGCCUACUCGACCAAUGACAUCACAAGGCCACACACGCUCUUGUCGACAGCUUGGCGAACAUCACUACAGCACGUCAACCAAACUCACAUAAAUCAACAACUACCGAGCAUCCCACCACAUCACCGGAGAGAAGAAGUUACUAUAGGAGGAGGAGCCUCUGGACGCCUCCCACAGCGGUGAAGAUGCCUACACUCUACAAGACACGUGCCAAACGCGACACUUGGUACACCAACGACCAACGUCAAGAGCAAGCUUGCCGUACACACGACUCGAGAUCAACACACUCAAAGUUAUAGAACUCUAUGGGUUGUUGCCCCAAUUUUCAUUCGCUCUGUGUAGGGGAAGGUGCUGCACAACAACAACAAAACUACCACGCACGAACAAGACCAGGAUUAUAGGUACCGUUAAUGAUGGUCAUACCAACAACAUCAAAAGUAGAGAAGAUUGUCGGUGAAGCCUUCUAAUUCACGCAACUAGUUUAUACCCCCGACUAUGAGAAUGUUCGCCCGAUCUAGUGUCGAAGUAGAUGACAACUCCAAAGUAUCCACACACUGUUCUAGCAGCACCGUCACACCUUUUUUUUGCGAAAAUGAUUCGAAUAUAUUAUCAAAGUUCAAUACAAGUACAGAACCAACACGAAGAACAACAUGAAGAACUCAAGUAGACUAGUGGCGUAUGCUAACUAGAUAAGAUCUAGCCGGAGAGAAGUGGGUGGCGGCUAGAAAGGGAGGGGUUGGUCAAGGGGCAUGGUGUGCCCCCACCUGGAGGGGCAAGGGGGGGACCAACCUCCACGGAGAGUCCUUCUCUGCCUGCGUAGAGAGUCCUCCUAGGACUCCUACUAGCUUGCCUUGCCCCCAAAGAAACAAGGGGACUGCCAAUUUGGGAUCUUUGGACCGCAUUGUCGCCCCACCCCAAGCAAAAGGGGAGGGUCCCCAUUAGGAACCUUCUGGAUCCUUUCGAAAGUUUUCAUCACGUUCCUUAACAUUUCAGUACCUUCCGGAACACUUUCGGACAUCACAGGAACACUACGGAAUCUCCCGAAACACAUUUGAGAUCAUCAAAAACACUUUUGCAACCCUUAUCUCAUUCUCCAUCAUCUCAUAGUACUUCUGAAUUUCACUAGUCAUUAAGCGUGUGAUCCUACAGGUUCGAGCAUAUGUGGACAUGUCCAUAACACUUUAGGCCUAUAACUACCAACAAGAUCUGGACACCCAUAAAAGUUCCCACGUAUCAUCAAAGAUCUUUAUCGAGCGAACCUUGUAUUAUCGUAUACAAUUCCCUUCGACUCACAGUAUGUUAGACAAAUAGAGGUGAGACUUUGAUGGUAUUCCUGUGAUUAACUCCUUGAUCACUAUACCUAGUUAUUCUCAUUACUGGUUUGCACUCUUUUUUCAUUUUGUUAUUCCAGUAUCCUCAUGACUAACUUCUUCGUCACAAUACCUGGCCAGGCAAUGUUGGACACCAUAAUACUAAGUGGGUCCAGAGUGUAUCUCUCUGUCGCCGAAGGGGCAAAUCCCAGUUUUGACAUAUCGAACACCAUGACAUACUUUUCUGGCGUACCUGAAAGCCACCUUUAUUAUUGCCUACUUGCAGAGUAAUAUUUGUCAACCCCAAAGUACAACCAAUACCCGAUUUUACGAUAUUCUCAUGGUCUAAGGAUGCAAGUAAACUUGAACACUUUAUAUGAAAAUACCGACAAUGUACUACCGACCUGAUGAGGACAAUUAUCAAGUAGAGAACAGUACCUUGUAUAGGCUUUAACUAAGCUUGCACUUGCUUUUGUAUACAAUUACUUAUCAUGAGCCUCGCUCCAUAAGAUUUCUUUUUCGGAUAAAAUCGAGUAAACAACACAUUAGACAAUUUCUUCCCGGUGUCAAACGUACCUGCAGGGUAGACAUGAAACCAUGUAUUCACGUUGGCAGUUAGAGUACGACCAAAAAGGAUUUAAUUUCAUUUCAUCAUAGUGAAAGCUUUUAAUUCAAAAGUUCCACAUAUCUCGUCAAAUUGUUACACAUGCUGAUAUGGGUCCCCCGUACCAUCCCGUGUAAAUUGCUUAGUCUUCAAUAUGUUGAGUAAAACACAGGUUGAUUUUCUAAGUUUCACCAUUGGGUCUCGUUCCUACAGCUAUGAAAGUAUAUUUGAUAGGCAGUCCCGAUAUCCUAAUUGUGACAAGUUGACACAGACGUUCACACUCUACCAUGGUUGCUUAGAACCUACAAAAUAACUUACUACACAAUAUAAACCAAAACCUAAAAAAAGACCCAAAAGCACUUAGCUCUCCAACAACGGCAUCAGAAAAAAGUUUGAUAAUCUGCAAGUGCACAAUGUAUAGUUGUAAGUCUUUUGAAGUAAAAGUAUUGAUCCCACGGGAAGCACAUGAAAUGCCUCUUAUAGAGGUUUAUGGAGUUGUGCAUCCAAGUUAGUCACGGUCCAAAGCAAGGCAGACAUGGAAGUUUUGAAAUAUUGCGAGUGGUUGGCGAUUGAAAACAAGGUACAAAAGUAAAAUAAAACAACGUGAGAGAAUAAAUGGAAGUAAUGAAAUCAUUAGGGCUAAGGUGUUGUCAGGGAGUCUGGAGUCUGGAUUCCCCACUAGUAUGUGUAAUGUAAGAUAUGCACAAAGCAUAACUCUGGGUUCAGAUAACUAAGCUACCUUGCAUAUUUUUAUAAGUGGGUGAAGCAUGGUACAAUAUACGUUCCACUUGCCUAGAUCCAUGUCACACAUGCCACCAUUAUUCCUCCACACAGCAGGUUAUGACAUCGAAGAUUAAGGGUUACCUCGUGUACAUGACCAAUGGUCGAUUCUCCAUUAUUUCCCUAUGAAUUGCUCAAGAAAGGAAGGGAGGAUAUUGCUAUCACCUCUUUACCUUCGUGAUACGUCUUUGUCGUAUCUAUAAUUUUUGGUUGUUUCAUGUCAAUAUUUUACUACUUCCAUAUAUUUUUCGCAACAAUUUAUAUGAUUUUAUUAGACUAACAUAUUGAUCUAGUGUCAAGUUCCGGUUUAUUGCAUAUUUUGUGUUUCACAUAAAAUGCAUAUCAAACGAAGUUCAAACGCGAUAAAAUUUUACGGGGAUUGUUUUGGAAUAUAUGUGAUUUUUGGAAAAAAGGAUCAAUGCAAGAUAAUGCUCAAGGGGCCCAGAACCUCACACGGCGCGCCAAGAAAGCUUAUGGCCACCCCACAAGUCGGUUCGGGCCUUUCUUUCGCAGCAAGAAACAUAAUUUCUGGAUAUAGAUCUUCUUAAAAUUUUGGCCCAAUCGUAGUUACGGAUCUCCGGAAAUAUAAGAAACAGUGAAUGGCGAGAAAACAGGAACACACACGAGAGAUAGAGAGAGAGGGGGGGAGAGAGAGAGAGAGAUCCAUUCUCGGGGGGGGGGGGCUCCUGCCCUCUGGGAGCCAUGGCAGCCAAGGACCAGAGGGGAAGCCCUCCUCCCAUCUCGGGGGGAGGCCAAGAAGACAAAGAAGGAGGGGGGUUCUUUCCCCACCUCUCCCUGUGGCACCGGAGUGCCCGCCAGGGGAACCAUUGUGGCGGGGGUCUACGCCAACAAAGUCAUUGUCUUCCUCAACACCUUCAUCACCUUCCUCCAUCUAUUAUCAGUGGUCCACUCUUUCGCAACCCGAUGUACCCCCUACUUGAACAUGGUGUUUUAUGCGUCAUAUUAUUAUCCAAUGAUGUGUUGUCAUCCUAUGAUGUUUGAGUAGAUUUUUGGUGUCCUAUGGGUAAUUGUUGAAUUGCUAUGAUUGGUUUAAAUUGUUGUGAUUAUGUUGUUGUCUUUUGGUGCCCAUCAUAUAAGAUCACGCCAUAGGGCUAGUUGUAUGUUGAUAGGACUAUGCAUUGGAGGGCAAGAGUGACAGAAGUUUUUCUUACCAUAGAAAUUGAUUCAUAUGGGAUUGAAGGGGGGCCCAUAUAUCUUAAUGCUAUGAUUGGGUUUUAUCUUACUGAACUUUAAUAGUUGUGAAUGCUUGCUAAUAGUUCCAAUUAUAAGUGCAUAGAAUUCCAAGUAAGGGAAGACAUGCUAGCAGUGGUCUCUCCCACAUAAAAAAUUUCCAUUGGCCUAGUUGUCGUGGUUCUAAGUCUGAUAGUAGUGUAGGGGGUACUAAUAGAGAGGCAAGAUAUUAGCUAUGGAGCAGUUGUAUACGCAAGAGAUUUACGAGUUUAGGCCCUUCUCGGAGUAAGUAACAGCCCUACGUCUCGGAGCCCGGAGGCGGUCGACUGGAUUAUAUGCGUAUGAGUUACAAGGGUGUUAACCCUUUACACUGAGGAGGGGGUGGCUUAUAUAGAGUCCGCCAGACCCCUCCGGCCCUCAGUUAUGCAGGAUUUAAGAUACAUUAAGGUAUGGCGUUACUGGUAAUGCCAUACAUAAAGUGUUGUGAUGACCAUAAAAGCUACUUAAUGACCGACCGUUAGCGUGUAGAGUGACUUUAGAUCUCCUGGCCGUCGAGUGGUUGGCUUCAUGGUCGAGUGACUAGCUUCAUGGUCGAGUGUUCUCGAGUCUGUCGAGUGAAACACCUCUAGGUCGACUGACAGGCGGGUUCUUCUAGAGAUGUCCUUGGGUAGGGUAGUUUGGACAGGUCCAUGGCCCUACCCUAGGUACAUAGCUUCAUCAAUAGCCCCCAAAUGGAUCAAGGUUUGAGUGGGGAAGGAGUUGAGAAUUCUUCCGACCCAUUUCUCAUGCUAUGAGUAUGUCUUGUCUUGGAUCAAUGAACUUUAGGUGACGGCAUCAACUUCUUUUUCAGGCGCCUUGAUCCAUUCUUUGUAUCUGUCGAGUGAAGUUUUCACUUGGAGAGCUCCGAGUGACAGAGUGGAGGAGAUCUUCCGCCUGACGAGCUGUUCUGCAAGCCGCGGAUUUUGCGGGAUUCAAAUUUUGGGAAGCGCGCGGGACGGGGCGUAGCCGCAGCAAUCGGACGGGAUAAGGCGGGGACGCCUCGAUCUCCGCGCCACCUUUUUUGCCACGUAUCGCGCACGCGACUGUUACGGGAUUUGACAGGAUCGUCCGGGCCUACAUGUCAGCCACUCGGAAGCAGCCUUAUAUAAAGCGCCGAACGGGGGUUUUUCAACAGUGCGCCCUCAUUCCCCCCUCUCUUCUCUAGAUUUCUCCGCCGCGUUUGCUUCUGCCUCAGUGCCGCUGCUCCGUGCGUGCUUCGCUGGCGACGAUGGUGAAGGAGAAGAUGGCGGCCCUGGAGCGAGCGAAGAAAGCGACAUCGAAGGUGAAGGGGAGGGGAACCAGUCGGAGUGGCUCUUCAUCAAGGACUGGCCUGCCGUCGGGCUGGAUCCAGGGCGACUGGAUCCGCUCGACAAUUAGUCAGGCGGAUCUCGACGACCUGGCUGACGGAGGGCUGAUCCCCCAUGGAUUGGCGCGGCUCCCGGGGAGGGAGUCAGAGCCGCAGCCUCAGGAGGGUGAGUGCGUUCUUCUGGCCACCCACGUCGACCGUGGGUUUUCUUUGCCGCCCCACCCUUUCUUCCGGGGGUUUCUGAAUUUUUUUGGGGCACAACUCCACCACUUCACUCCCAACACCAUAGUGUACCUCGCCGCCUAUGUGUCUUUGUGCGAGUGCUUCUUGGGUUGCCGGCCUCACUGGGAUCUCUUUAAGCACAUCUUCACCUGUCGCUCCCAAACGGUGAAGAAGGCAAAUCCGAGUGAUGAGAGGACACAUGUGAUUCAGAUGUGUGGGGGCCUUGGGAUCCAGUUGAGAGGGAAAAAUUCUUUCCCGAACAUGGUUUUGCCAGACUCCAUCCGUGGUUGGCAGUCGACUUGGUUUUACUGCAAGGAUCAGCCGACGCCAGGGCAGUCGACUGGGCUCCCUUCCUUUUCCAUGGAACGAGUGAGGAAGCCCUCCUCUUUGAAGGUGGUCCCGGAGGAGAAGGCGCAGGUGAGGGUGCUGGUCGAGCGUGUCGUGCAGCUCAUCCGCGACGGGGUGACUGGUAUGGACCUCCUGGAGGUCUUCCUCCGGCAGCGCAUCCAACCGCUCCAAUUUCGAGAUCAUCCUAUGUGGAUGUAUUAUGGAACUGAGGACACCGCUCGGAUCCACCCGGAGGAGAUCGACGACGCCACGCUGGAGCGAUGGAUGGGAAGCAUUACGGGGAACAAGGACAACCCCCAAGGAGCUAGGAGGGUCGUUCCACUCGACCAAUCAUAUGAAGUUGACAAGGUCCAAUUCUUCACUUUCGAUUGUGAUUCUGCUUUUUCCAUUAUGUCUGCUUAAAAUCAACCGACUGACUUUUGCCUUGUUUAUUGUCUUCUAGGCCACGACUAAGAUGUACUCGAUGCCCAACGGGGCGCAGGAACAAGACGAGGAGGGAGAGGCAAGUGGAGGUGAAAGUGAGGAGGAGGAGUGGAAAUCUGAUGGUGAGGGGGAGGAGGACGACGGCGGCUCCAGCGAGGAGGAGGAGGAGGCGGAAGCCAACCCUCCUCGCACGGAAAGGCGAUCUAAGCUCGCCCACGAUCCCGCGAGGGAGCGCGGUAAAGCGGUUGCGCCCGUUGUGCCGUCGACAAAGCGCCCUCGGACGGCUUCCCCGGCGCCGACUGAAAAGGCGCCGAAGCAACCGCGGGCGGAGUCGUCAAAGCCGCCGAAGGCCUUGCCUAAGAUGAGAAUGGUCAUUCCCACUAUCUCCGGGUAACAGCAGGAUUUGUAUUUCCUUGUUCAGCUCGAACGAACUUCCGGUCGACUCAUUGACUAACCUACUGAUUUUCUGAACUUUGCAGUGCUGCUACCUCUGAGACCUCUGCCAAGGACGGCGACCAAGAAAUGGAAGACACUGUCACCUCCAACCCUGGUACGUUCUCUUGUAGUUUUCCUUUUGGUCAAUUGGAUCUUUGUUCCCAACCCUGGAUUUAUCUUGCAACUCCUCAUCAUGUCAUUGAUCUCCCUGAUGACGAUGACGAGGUGCCGCUGAGGGCGACGAAGAAUAGAAAGGCUUCGGCAGGCAAAGCCACUUGGACUGCGUCAGCACCUGAGGUACUGGUUCAAGAAGGUGGCGACAUCACUCGGCAUUCUGUGACCUUCGCUGAUCCGCUGAUGAGUGCCCGUCCUUCGUCUCAACUGCUGAACCGCCCUCCCUUUUUGCCACACACCACGUCCUAGAGGACCAAGCGGGCGCUGCUAAGGAGGCUAUACGCCAGGCGGGGAUUAUGAUGGAGCAGGUGAAGGCGAUUCGGGAAGCCAGCCAAGCGGCGUACGAUGCAAGCUCAGCCCUUCAAAGCAAUGUCCAGGUUAGUUGGUAACUGCCUAUUCUGUUAGGAUAUGUUAUUUGAAGUCUUUCUUUUCGAAAAUCUUCGUGUCUGUACACCCAUUGGGUGUGUCGAUUGAAUUUGUAGACUGGUGGGGGCACGCUGAGUGCACCCACUAGGUGUAGUCCCCGAGACUAUGGUGGACUGCUGGCAGUCGACUGUAGUCUUUCUAGUUGAAAUUUCUUCACUCGGUCUGGUCGGACCAUGUCGAGUGGAACAUUAGAACCGGUUGGGGCACGCUGAGUGCACCCACUGGGUGUAGUCCCCGAGACUAUGGUGGACUGCUGGCAGUCGACUGUAGUCUGAAGAAUUCUCUCUCUCUCUCUCUCUCUCUCUCUCUCUCUCUCUUUUGAUGAGACCAUAAUCUCUUUGUUCUUUUUGGUCGACUAAUCGGAUCAAGUCGGUAGAACUUAGUGGGGGCACGCUGAGUGCACCCACUGGGUGUAGUCCCCGAGACUACUGUUGAAUAUUGUGAUUCGACUGUAGUCUUAGAAACGUUACUGUUUUUCUCUUAGUCACUCGGAAGCAACCUCUCUUUGAUAUUUGUCGAUUGACUCUUUGCAGAAAUCUUGCGAGCUCGUGGCUCGUUAUACUAAGUUGGAAAGGAAACAUAUCCAGCUCGACCUUGACUUGAAGCUCGUUCAGGAGAACUUUCAGAAGGCGAAGGACGAGGCAACAGGUAUGAUUGGUGAGAAUUUGACGACUGGUUUCGUCCUUCUACCCAUUAUUGACUCUGACUUCCUUGUCAUUUUGCAGAAAAAACGAAGGUGGCUCUGAACAAGAAGGACCAGGAACUUGCUGAGGCGCAGAAGGCUGCUUUGGAUAAAACGAAGCUUGCGGAGGAGAAGCUUGCUUCAGUCAGCAAACUUGAAGAAGAGAACGCCAGUCUGAAAGCUGCCCUCGACGUGGCCAACAGGGAAGCCAGCCGACUGAAGAAUGACAAGCUGGCUCUGAGUGACAAGGCUAGCGAGCUGGUGGGGAAGAAGAAUGAUCUGGAGGCUUAUCUAGGAGGGCUCGCCAAGAAGUUGUACAUCAUGCUUGAGGGUAAUCUCUCCUGCCCGACUGACUUGUAAUCACUGCCUUAUCAUAGAACUACUGGCUUAUCUUUGGGUUGUGUUUACAGAAUUCUGCCAAAACUUUGAAGAAGAGACCAGUCGAGUGGAGACAGGCCUGGAUCCCAUCAACUCUCCUGUGAAGGAUGAAACUGCCAUGAAUGUGCUUCGACUGGAGUCUCGCGUCGCUGGUGUGGUUGACUAUCUUUCCCGACUGAAGGUUGCGGCGUCGCGGAUUGACACGACACUCUGGCCAAGGGAGACACUUUAGAAUGACCUCGAGUCUCUGAUGACUCAACUGAAUGAAGUCCCGGGUCGAGUGCAGGAAUGGAAGAAGUCUUCUGCCAGGUGCGGUGCUGAUGUUGCUCUGUCCUUGGUCCGUGUUCAUUGCAAGGAUGCGCGAGAGGAAAAGCUGGCGUCCCUCAAGGUGGCCAAUACCAAGAAGCAUGACUUCCAAUCUUUCAUGGAGACCUUCAUCGCCGCUGCCACUCAGAUCGCAGAUGGAAUCGACCUGGACCAGUUUGUCGCACCUUCCAGUCCUCCUCCGGAGGAGUAAAAAACUUUUAUGCUUGAUGCUUUAAAUUUGCCUCGGAAUGCCGAGUGGUUAUGUAAUCGAUAAAAUUUAACAGGCUUGAUUCCUGAGCACUUUUGGACCCGUAGGAUGCUAUCUGAACUUGGCUUUGCCAUUGAAUACGUUUGCAUUUGCCUUCGAGCGACCAUUGUUCUUCACUCGGAAUAUAUUUCAGUACUUGCGAUGCACUCUUGCAGGUAGGGAUGGAGCACAUAUGGCAAUCGACCUGCGUCCUUGCGGCUCGGGAUGGAGCGCACAUUGUAUUUGUGUCGUAGCUCCGAAGGAGAAGGUAACAAUCGACCUGCACCUCGUCGUCCUUGCAGAGUGCACAUUGUAUUUGUGUCAUAGCUCCGAAGGAGAAGGUAACAGUCGACCUGCACCUCAUCGUCCUUGCGGAUUGAAAUGGAUUUCAUACUUAGGCGAGCACUGAGCUGCGGCCAAGCCCUUGAGUGGGAGGUUUGCUCUCCAUUCGGGAGGGUUUUAAACACUCAGGCGAGUACUAGACUGCAGCUAGGCCCCCGAGUGAGAGGGUCGCUCUCCACUCGGUAGGAUUAUUAAUACUUAGGCGAGUACUGGACUGCAGCUAAGCCCCCGAGUGGGAGGUUCGCUCUCCACUCGGUAGGAUUUUGAAUACUUAGGCAAGUACUGGACUGCAGCUAAGCCCCCGAGUGGGAGGUUCGCUCUCCACUCGGUAGGAUUUUGAAUACUUAGGUGAGUACUGGACUGCAGCUAAGCCCCCGAGUGGGAGGUUCGCUCUCCACUCGGUAGGAUUUUGAAUACUUAGGCGAGUACUGGACUGCAGCUAAGCCCCCGAGUGGGAGGUUCGCUCUCCACUCGGUAGGAUUUUGAAUACUUAGGCGAGUACUGGACCGCAGCUAAGCCCCCGAGUGAGAGGUUCGCUCUCUACUCAGUAGGAUUUUAAACAGCGCACAUGGUAUUUGUGUCGUAGCUCCGAAGGAGAAGGUAGCAGUCGACCUGCUCCUCGUCAUCCUUGCGGAUCGGGAUGAAUUUUACACUUAGGCGAGUACUGGACUGCAGCUAAGCCCCCGAGUGGGAGGCAGGCUCUCCACUCGGUAGGAUUUCUCAAACUUAGGCGAGCACUGGGCUGCAGCUAAGCCUCCGAGUGGGAGGCAGACUCUCCACUCAGUAGGAUUUCUCAAACUUAGGCGAGCACUGGGCUGCAGCUAAGCCUCCGAGUGAGAGGCAGACUCUCCACUCGGUAGGAUUUUUCAAACUUAGGCGAGCACUGGGCUGCAGCUAAGCCUCCGAGUGGGAGGCAGACUCUCCACUCGAUAGGAUUUCAAAUACUUAGGCGAAACGGGUUCGCGGCUAAACCUCCGAGUGAAAGGCUUGCUUGUCACUCGGUAGGAUUUCAAACACUUAGGCGAAACGGGUUCGCGGCUAAGCCUCCGAGUGAAAGGCUUGCUUGUCACUCGGUAGGGAAUUUUUUUUUACAAACUUAGGCGAAACGGAUUUGCAACUAAGCCACCCACUGGGGGAUUUCUUACAUAAACAAAAGCAACAACAAUUAAUGGGAAAAUUAUAACACUUUUGUCUUUGAUAAACAAACUACAGGAGUACUUUUAUUACAUCUCAUCCGAGUGAGUACUUAAGAGUAAAAGGGGCGGAGUAGAUGCGCAUUCCAAGCUCGUGGCUCAUCAAUCUGGCGACCGAUAUUGUACAGACGGUAUGCUCCAUUGUGGAGAACUUUGGUGACGAUGAAGGGGCCUUCCCAAGUAGGGGCAAGUUUGUGUGGCUUCUGUUGAUCCACUCGGAGGACCAAAUCUCCUUCUUGGAAGGCUCAAAUCUUCACGUUUCUGGCAUGGAAUCGACGCAAGUCCUGCUGAUAGAUGGUCAAUCGGAUCAAGGCCAUCUCUCUUUCUUCUUCUAGAAGGUCGACUGUGUCUUGCCGUGCUUGUUCUGCUUCAUCUUCAGAGUAGAGCUCGACUCGGGGUGCAUUGUGAAGCAGGUCACUCGGCAGAACGGCUUCUGCUCCAUAGACCAGAAAGAAUGGAGUUCUCCCAGUCGACCGAUUGGGAGUAGUCCUCAGUCCCCAAAGAACUGAUGGAAGUUCGUCGACCCAUGCGCCUGCUGCGUGUUUGAGAUCGCGCAUCAACCGGGGUUUCAGUCCUUUGAGAAUUAGGCCAUUUGCUCUAUCUGCUUGUCCAUUCGUCUGGGGGUGAGCGACGGAAGCGUAGUCGACUCGUGUGCCUUGAGAAGCACAAAAGGCUUUGAAUUGGUCGGAAUCGAAGUUUGACCCAUUAUCAGUGAUGAUGCUAUGCGGAACUCCAUAUCUGGAUAUCAAUUCUCUGAUGAAGCUGAUCGCAGUGCCGGCAUCGAGACUCUUGAUGGGUUUUGCUUCGAUCCACUUAGUGAACUUGUCGACUGCCACCAGUACCUGGGUGAAGCCGCUCCUACCAGUUCUCAGUGGUCCAACCAUAUCUAAUCCCCAGACAGCGAAGGGCCAAACGAGUGGAAUGGUCUUCAAGGCUGAGGCGGGCUUGUGCGACAGAUUGGAGUAGAACUGGCAUCCUUCACACUUAUCGACUAUCUCUUUCGCCAUUUCAUUUGCUCUAGGCCAGUAAAAACCCGCUCGGUAUGCUUUAGCCACGAUGGUCCGGGAGGACGCAUGGUGGCCACAGGUCCUCGAGUGGAUAUCGUCAAGAAUUAUCCGACCCUCUUCUGGCGUUACGCAUUUCUGGCUGGAUCUAGUCGCGCUUUCUCUGUACAACUGUCCCUUCAUCACAGUAAAGGCCUUGGAUCGACAAACGAUCUGUCGAGCCUCUUCUUCAUUCUCUGGGAGCUCUUUCCUUAGGAUAUACGCAAUGUACGGCACUGUCCAGUCGGGAGUGAUAACCAAGACUUCCAUGACCAGGUCGACCACGGCUGGGAUUUCGACUCCAGUCGGAUACGUGGAACUUUUUGGCUGCGGGGCUUCCUCGGUGAAAGGAUCCUCUUGAACUGACGGUGCGUGGAUAUGUUCCAAAAACACACCACUGGGAAUGGCUUCUCUCUUGAACCUAUCUUUGCCAAGUCAUCGGUUGCUUGAUUUUUCAAUCGGGGUAUAUGAUGAAGCUCUAACCCCUCGAAUUUCUUCUCCAGCUUUCUUACUGUAUUGCAGUAACCAGUCAUGGCCGGGCUUCUGAUGUCCCACUCCUUCAUCACUUGGUUUACUACCAAAUCCGAGUCACCGUAUACCAUGAGGCGACGGACGCCGAGUGAAAUGGCCAUACGCAGCCCAUACAAAAAUGCUUCAUAUUCUGCUUCGUUGUUGGAGGAAUCAAAGUGAAUCUGGAGUACAUAUCUGAGAUUAUCUCCUCGGGGAGAAACGAACAUACUCCAGCACCAGAACCAUUCAGCAUCUUAGAGCCAUCAAAGAACAUGGUCUAGUGCUCCGAGUGAAUUUGAGUCGGCAGUUGCUGUUCGGUCCACUCGGCGAGGAAAUCCGCUAUUUCUUGGGACUUGAUAGCUUUCUUUGCCUCAAAUCUGAUAUCUAGGGGAAGGAGUUCAAUCGCCCAUUUUGCCACUCGACCUGUUGCAUCUCUGUUGUGUAGAAUCUCUGACAAUGGGGCGUCGCUGACGACUGUAAUGGUAUGGUCAGAGAAGUAAUGAGCAACUUUCUUCGUGUCAUAUAAAUCCCAUAUACAAGCUUCUGAUAGUGAGGGUAUCUUUGCUUUGAUGGGGUCAGAACUUCAGAGAUAUAAUAUACUAGGCACUGAACUUUUAAGGCUUUUCCUUCUUCUUCCCGCUCGACCGUAAGUAAUGUACUGACAACAUGUCCUGUGGCUGCAAUGUAAAGCAGCAAAGGCUCUUUGCUGACAGGGGCAGCAAGCACCGGCUGGGUGGAAAGCAGGGCUUUUAGCUCUGCAAACGCUGCAUCAGCUUCAGGAGUCCACUCGAACUUGUCUGACUUCUUCAUCAGUCGGUAAAGAGGCAAUGCCUUCUCACCGAGAUGAGAGAUGAAUUGACUUAAAGCGGCCAAGCAACCAGUAAGCUUCUGAACAUCGUGCACACGCACAGGUCGCUUCAUUCGGAGUAUAGUGCCCACUUACUCUGGAUUUGCGUUGAUCCCUCGUUCGGAAACAAGAAAACCGAGUAAUUUUCCGCCAGGAACUCCGAAUGUGCACUUUGAUGGAUUAAGCUUGAUAUCAUACCUUCUGAGGUUGGCAAAUGUUUCAGCGAGGUCAGUCAGUAGGUCGGAACCUUUCCGUGACUUGACCACAAUGUCAUCCAUAUAUGCUUCCACAUUCCGACUGAGUUGAGUGAGCAAACACUUCUGAAUCAUCCUCAUGAAUGUGGCUCCGAUAUUCUUGAGGCCGAAUGGCAUGGUGACAUAACAGAAGCACCCGAAUGGGGUGAUGAAAGUUAUUUUGAUCUCAUCGGGUCCAUAUAGACGGAUCUGAUGGUACCCGGAAUAGGCGUCUAAGAAAGACAGUCACUCACAUCCCGCAGUCGAGUCGACUAUUUGGUCGAUGCGGGGGAGAGGAAAAUGAUCUUUCGGGCAGGCCCGAUCGAUAUGUUUAAAGUCAAUGCACAUGCGAAGUGACUUGUCCUUCUUGGGGACCAUGACAACAUUAGCGAGCCACUCGGAGUGGUAAAUUUCUCGGAUGAACUCUGCUGCUAAGAGCCGAGCCACCUUUUUGCCAAUGGCCUUCCUUUUCUGGACGGCGGACCGUCGCAGAUGUUCUUUGACAGGUUUUGCUUUUGAGUCGACCCGUAGACGGUGCUCAGCCAGUCCCCUGGGAACACCCGGCAUGUCAGAAGGUUUCCAUGCGAAGAUGUCCCAGUUCUCACGGAGGAACUGGAUGAGCACUUCUUCCUCUUUGGGGUCGAGCGUUGUGGAGAUAUUAAUCAGAGCAGCAUUGGGAUCGGUCGGGUGGAUGUGAACCGGUUUCAUCUCACCAGACGACUAAAACGCUGACUCCGUAGCAGGCUUCUUAGCUCGCAACAGAUCACUCGGGUCUGCAUUUUUCUGAUGUUCCUGCCACUCUUCUGCUACCAUCUGAGCAUCGGCGAUCUUCGAGCCCUUCUGAAAGCACUCUUCCACCUUCUUCCGAUUUCCAGUUACCGUGAUCACACCUUUGGGGCCGGGCAUCUUCAAUUUAAGGUACACGUAACACGGUCGAGCCAUAAAACGUGCGUAAGCUAGCUUGCCCAAAAUAGCAUGAUAGGCACUCUGGAAAUCCACGACUUCAAAUGUCAACUUUUCUUUGCGGAAAUUUUUGGAGUCACCAAAAACCACGUCGAGAGAAAUCUGGCCGAGUGACGCGGCCUUCUUGCCAGGAAUGACUCCAUAGAAACUCAUGUUGCUGGUACUGAGCCUGGACAUCGGAAUGCCCAUCCCUUUCAAUGUCUCUGCAUACAGUAUAUUCAAACUACUGCCACCAUCCAUCAACACUUUAGUCAGUCGAGUGCCUUCGACGACUGGGUCGACCACCAGAGCUUGCCUCCCAGGGGUGGCUAUGUGCGUCGGGUGAUUAGACUGGUCGAAUGUGAUGGCUGUCUGAGACCACUUCAGAUAAUUGGGUGUCGCCGGAGCAACCAUAUUCACCUCUCGGUUUAUAACUUUCAGUCGACUUUUGCUUUCAACGUUAGCAAAAAUCAUUAGGGUGGAAUUGACCAGGGGAUAUCCAUCAUCACUAUCCUCUUUGUCAUCAACUUUGUCCGACUCCUUUUCCUUGUCCUUGGGCUGCUUCCCUUGGAACUGCUGGAUCAAGAACCGACAUUGUCGAGUGGUAUGUUUCGGGUAAAUGAAAUUACCCUCCUCAUCUUUCUUCGUGUGGAUGUGACACGGCAAAUCCAUCACGUCAUUUCCUUCUUUAUCCUUUACUUUCUUGGGGUUCCAAGGCCCCUUGGGAUUCCCUUUAAACUUUGCCUGAGUCACGGCUAAGGCUUCUCCAGGAGCAGCUAGCUCGGCUUUCCGUUUCUGCUUCCGACUGGAGUUCCCUCCUCCGGUUUCGUGGGCGACUGACUUGUGCUUGCCACUCCGGAGCCGAUCCUCUUCUUCGCCAUUGGUAUAUUUGGUGGCUAUUUCCAUCAUUCGACUUAGAGACAUGUCUCUGGUUCGAUCGAACUUCAGGUUCAGCUCUCUAUACUUAACGCCUUCCUUGAAGGCACACACUGCCUGGUGAUCAGACACAUUCUCUACCGUGUGAUGCAACGUGAUCCAUCUUUGGAUGUAAUCUCUCAAAGUCUCAUUCGGCUUCUGUAUGCAAGUUUGUAGCUUUGUCAGUCCUGCUGGUCGCUUGCAAGUUCCUUCAAACGUUCUGACAAACACUCGGGAAAGGUCUUCCCAAGUGUAAAUGCUGUUGGGUGCUAACUGGUUCAGCCAUGCUCAGCCCUCCAACAUAAGAGGCAGAUGCUUCAUGGCCACCUCAUCAUUGCCGCCGCCGAUCUGAACAGCCACUCGGUAGUCCUCAAGCCAAGUAUCAGGCUUGGACUCACCAGUGAACUUACUGACUCCAGUCGCCAACCUGAAGUUGGGAGGAAUCACCGCGGCCCUGAUGGCUCUACUGAAACACUCUGGUCCUGAGACAUGCACUCUGCUGCUGGUGGGCACAUCCCUGUCGUGACACUCGCGGUGAGCUCUGUUCCUGUCGACCAGACCUUGAACGAUGAUGGAUCUCGCAUCGAAGCCUGGUUCCCUAUGGUCGACUGGAAUCCUUCGCCCAACAUUGUGCUGGCGUCUAUCAUCCUGCUGCCGAGGCACGUACGAUCCACCCCUAGGGGAGGGGUGGGCACUCGACGUCGAUCAUCCCGAUCGAUUCGGUGAUCAUACUGCUCACGAUUCUUGUACUGAUCAUGCCGGUCUCCACGUCCCUCACGCCUCGGGGGCGAUCUGGGGCUGUGAGCCGACUGGACUGUAUUCACAGCCACGGAUCUGCUCUGAAUCCUGUUCCGCUACUGUGAUACAGCUGAAUUUUGAUCUCCUGCUUCUCGGAGCAAAUCUCUGAUCUGCAUUAAGCCUCUGCCAGCCUCUGACUGGGAAGGCUGAAUUGACUCUGCUAUAUGGGCUGCAGCUGCUAAAUUCUGAAUCAGAGUUCGGUAUACCUGAGUCGGUGGUGGAAAGAGUUGACGUCGACAGGAAUCUGGAAUCCAUUGUCGCGCACGCUCGUCGAGUGCUCGCUGAAGGUUCUCCAGUCGAGUGCGCUCGGCCAAGUUAGCCAAGCGUGCGUCUUCCAGGGCACGAGCCUCGGGAGUUUCUCCAACGAUAGGAGUAUGCAGCGCAUCCAUGUUCCGACGGCGAAGUUCUUCCCUUUGCAGAGAAUCGAGGGGCUCGGGGAGAUAUUCCUCAUGGGCGUGCGAUGGAUCGCCUCCGCCGUCACCUCCCUCGGCACCGGGAAAGCCGGGGGGGCCGUGUGGUCCAUUGACCAUCAGGACCUCCGUUGCUGGAUCACUGCUGUCGCACUCGGAUGCAGUCUCUGCGGAGCCAGUCGACAGGUCGAACAGGCCAUAGAGAGAUUCGUCGGGCUCGAUUGCCGUGACUUGGGCGGUGGUCGACUGGCGAGCCACCGCGUGCCUCACCCAUCGCUGAAGCCUCGACCGACCGGAGCGCUUGCACCGGCGGGAAGUAGGAAGGGAGGAUGACACAAAAACCGGUCGAUACUGGGUCGACGGUUGCCGCAGGAGGACGCCGCGGACGCACGCGCGAAAGUGCGUCGCUCCGCAGACUGGGAGCGCGUCGACGUCGAGCGGAGCCUCCUGAAGCCAGGCAAAGUCGUCGACGACGAACGUGAGCGCGCCGAGACGGAUCUUGCGGCCCUCAACCAAAACUCCGCCUGAAACCAUGAUCAAGGAGAUCGGAAAAAAUUGCAACUUCUCCAAUAAGUCACUAAGACACCUGCCCCACGGUGGGCGCCAACUGUCGUGGUUCUAAGUCUGACAGUAGUGUAGGGGGGUACUAAUGGAGAGGCAAGAUCCUAGCUAUGGAGCAGUUGUAUACGCAAGAGAUUUACGAGUUCAGGCCCUUCUCGGAGGAAGUAACAGUCCUACGUCUAGGAGCCCGGAGGCGGUCGACUGGAUUAUAUGCGUAUGAGUUACAAGGGUGCGAACCCUUUAUACUGAGGAGGGGGGUGGCUUAUAUAGAGUCCGCCAGACCCCUCUGGCCCUUAGUUAUGCAGGGUUUAAGAUACAUUAAGGUAUGUCGUUACUGGUAACGCCAUACAUAAAGUGUUGUGAUGACCAUAAAAGCUACUUAAUGACCGAUCGUUAGCGUGCAGAGUGACUUUAGAUCUCCUGGCCGUCGAGUGGUUGGCUUCAUGGUCGAGUGACUAGCUUCAUGGUCGAGUGUUCUCAAGUCUGUCGAGUGAAACACCUCUACGUCGACUGACAGGCGGUUUCUUCUAGAGAUGUCCUUGGGUAGGGUAGUUUGGACAGGUCCAUGACCCUACCCUAGGUACAUAGCUUCAUCACUAGUAACUUAGCUAAUUGCCUAGGGACAAUCUCACAAGUCGUACCACCACUUCUCCACACUCGCUAUACUAACUUCAUUGUUCUUUUAUUAAAAUGACACCUAACCUUUAUUUUCACGUUCUUUAUUACCUUUCAAACUUAUCCUACUACACAUACAAAGUACUUUUAGUUUUAUUACUUGUUUCUAGGUAAAGCAAACAUUGGUGUGCAUAGAGUUGUAUUGGUGGUCAAUAGAACUUGAAGAGAAUAUUAAUUCUACCUUUAGCUCCUUGUUGGGUUCCACACUUUUACUAAUCGAAAAAAUGCUACAAAAAAUCACCUAUACUUGUGGGUUAUCACUCUGCAUCCCACCAUUGCAAUGAAAAUAAUAUUCUUCAUGGCUAUAAAGGCUAAAUGUCAAGUGUGGACCUUACAUAUCAUUCAGGAAGAAAAUUAACUUAAACAUGCCAAGGAGGAUUUUAUAUCCUAUCGGCGUUCAACACCUGAAUAUACUAGGGUUCCUCAUAUCCCCGAGAACUAGGGGUAUUACUCGGACAUAGAGAUAGCAAGCAUCACAAGGAUGAUCAUGGAUAAAUGGUCAAAGUAAUACAUAUAAGUUUCCUCCUAGGGUUUGGUAUUACAAAGAGAUGAGUAGGGGAUGGUGAUGACAACAGUUGAUGUCGGAGUUUCCUUGGCCGGGAUGGUGGCAUGGCAGAGCCCUUCUAUAGAUUUCCCCUCUGGAUCCCCUUCGGGAGGCUAGGGUUCUUGAUUCUGGUGAAGUUUUUGGGAUCUCCAAACCUUUGAUCCACGAUCCGAAGAUGAUGGGAGUGAAAUAGUCGACCAGAGGGAAGCAAUGCCACCUAGUACAAGUGCUGGUACGAGCAUGCGCACCAUCUUCUCUCCUUGAGACGGUUGCAUCUAGAAUUUGCUCUAUUUGAUCGCAUGUUUUGAUGGUAGUUUGCCAUCACAUUAAUUAACGUGAUUUUCACCUAUAUACUUGUCUUUUCCGGUUUAAUGCCCCAGAUUUCUCCUCAAUCGAGAUCUUGGUGAAAUCAAAAGAAAGAGUGCACGCGGUAAAAUUCCAAUAAUCUUACAACUAUUGCAUAAAAACAAGAGGUCAAAAGUGAUGCAAAUUAGACUCAUUCGUCAUCGUCGCAGCCGUCUAGGCGGUCGCUCUCGUCAAGGUUGUCACUAGACCUAUGCUGGAGCUCGCCGGGGUUGCCACCAGGCCUGCUUCGGCCUCCGGCGUUUCCUGCUCGUCCAUCUUAGACAAUAGCGUGCACCUCCACGUAGUGCGGCGAACAUUGUCAUAGUUGUUUGUGUGUCUGCCUGCUCCUUAGUCUCCCUCGCCCGUUGCCUCUCCCAUCACGCACUCCAUGGAUCCCGACAUGGCGCUCGAUGUUGAUCCCUAGGCAUGUUCCUAAGGGCCUCGACAAAUGUGAUGGAUUUCUCAAACCUAGUCCUCAGUUGGCACUCGUCCUUGUGACACAUGUACGCGUUGUAGCUUUAUUCCUUGAGGGAUAGGGUGAUGGCGGAUAACCCAGAAGUGUAGGGGAUCAAUUGUAGCUUUUUUGAUAAAUAAAAGUGUCAAACUCAAUGCGAAGUUAAAGGUAGAAUUAAUAUUCUCUCAAGUUCUAUCAACCACCAAUACAAUUCUAUGCACAUUUAAUGUUUUAUUUACCUAGAAUACAAAAUAAACUACUUUUCAAGUGCAAUAAGAUAGGUUUGCAAGGUAUAAUAAAGGACGUGUUAAUAAAAGUUAGGUGUUGUUUAAGUAAAGAACAAUAAAAUAAAUAUAGCAAGUGUGGAAAAGUGGUGGUAGGAUGUGUGAAAUUGUCCCUAUGCAAUUAGCUAAAUUACUAGAGUGAUGGCAAGUUUUUAUGUGGGAGAGGUCUCUCCUAGCAUGUCAUCCCUUACUUGGAGUUCUAUGCACUUACAUUUGAAACUAUUAGCAAUCAUACACAAAUACUAACAAGUUUCAUUAAGGUAAAACCCAACAAUGGCAUUAAGAUGUAUUGGGCCCUAAUCCCACAUGUAUCAAUUUCUAUGGUAAGAAGAAUUUUCUCUUGAUCUUGCCACCUAAUGCAUAGUCCUAUCAACAUUCAGAUAAUCCUAUUGUGUGAUCCACACACACGCUCAUGUGAUGGGCACCAAAAGGAAAGUAACAUAGCCACAGAAAUUUAAACCAAUCAUAUCAAUUCGCCAAUUAACUCGUAGGGCAAAAGUGAUCUACUCAAACAUAAUAGCGUUGACAUAAAUCAUUGGAUAAUAAUUCAUAACACCAAAAACCAUGUCCGGGUAGGGGAUUAUAGCAGGUUGCGGGAGAGUGGGUUGCUGAUCAUAGAAAGAGGAAGGUGAUCGAGGUGUUGAUGAAGACGACAGUUGAUACGUGUAUCUAUAAUUUUUUAUUGUUCCAUGCUGUUAUAUUAUCCUUCUUGGAUGUUUUACAGUCAAUUUAUAGCAACUUUAUAUCAUUUUUUGGGACUAACCUAUUGACAUAGUGCCAAGUGCCAGUUGCUGUUUUCUGCUUGUUUUUUACAUCGCAGGAAAUCAAUAUCAAACGGAGUCCAAAUGCAGCGAAACUUUUUGUGGAUAUUUUUUGGACCAGGAGACAUCCAGUGGGCCAAAGAAGUACCAAAGAGGGGGACCACGGUGAGCACAAGACACCAGGGCACGCCUGGAGGCCCAGGCGCGGCCUGAUGGGUUGUGCCCACCUCGGUGACCUCCCGCACCGCCUCUUUGCUCUAUAAAUACCCCAAUAUUACAGAAACCCUAGGGGAGUCAACGAAAAUCAAUUCCAGCCACCGCAAGUUCCAAAACCACCAGGUCCAAUCUAAAUACCAUCACGGAGGGGUUCAUCAUCCUCAUUGGUGCCUCGAUAAUGCGUGAGUAGUUCAUUGUAGACCUACGGGUCCAUAGUUAGUAGCUAGAUGGCUUCCACUCUCUCUCUCUUGAUUCUCAAUACAAUGGUCUCUUGGAGAUCUAUUUGAUGUAACUCUUUUUGCGGUGUGUUUGUUGGGAUCCGAUGAACUUUGAGUUUAUGAUCAGAUCUAUGUUUUUAUCCAUGAAAGUUUUUUGAUUCUUUUGAUCUCUUAUAUGCAUGAUUACUUAUAGUCUCGUAUUUCUUUUUCGAAUCUUUGGUUUAGUUAGGCCAACUAGAUCAAUUUUUCUUGUCAUGGGAAGAGGUGCUUUGUGAUGGGUUCGAUCUUACGGUGCUUGAUCCUAGUGACAGGAGGAGAACCGACACGUAUGUAUUGUUGCUAUUAAGGAUAACAAGAUGGGGUCUUUUUCUACAUAAAUAGAUCUUGUAUACAUCAUGUCAUCGUUCUUAUUGCAUUACUCCGUUUCUCCAUGAACUUAAUACACUAGAUGCAUGCUGGAUAGCGGUCGAUGUGUGGAGUAAUAGUAGUACAUGCAGGAAGGAGUCGAUCUACUAAUCUUGGAUGUGAUGCCUAUAUAAUGAUCAUUAUCUGGAUAUCGUCAUGAUUAUUUGAAGUUCUAUCAAUUGCCCAAUAGUAAUUUGUUUACCCACCGUAUGCUAUUUUUCUCGAGAGAAGCCACUAGUGAAACCUAUGGCCCCGGGGUCUCUUCUUUAUCAUAUUUGCCUUUGAGAUCUAUUUUUAUUUGCUUUUAUUUUCAGAUCUAUUAAUCCAAAAACACAAAAAAUACAUUGCUGCAAUAUUUAUUUAUUUAUUUCAUCUCGCGUUCCCGCGAGAUCUGUUUAUCCAAACUACUACAAUUUUACCCAUCUUUUUACUCGUGAGGGAUUGACAACCCCUCUCUUACGUCGGGUUGCAAGCAUUUGUUAGCAACAGCUGUUUACGUUGUGUUGUGUGGUUCUCCUGCUGGUUUGAUAACCUUGGUCUCAUCACUGAGGGAAAUACCUAUCGUUGUUGUGCUGCAUCAUCCCUUCCUCUUCGGGGAAAUACCGACGUAGUUCAAGCCAACAUCAGCGGUGUUGAUGGAGACGGUUGCGGUGACGAUGGUUCCCCCGGUGAUGCUCCGGCACCACAGGGAGAGAGUGGGACAGAGGCCCCCUCCUCCUUAUUCUUACUUGGCCUCUCUCCUAGAUGGGGAGAGAAUUCCCCCUCUGGUUCUUGUCCUUCAUGGCUCUCGGAGGGCGGGCGCCCCUCCGAGAUUGGACCCCCUCUCUUUUUCUCUAGGUUUUCCUCUCUAUUUCGGUACCGUUUCUAUGACCGAGCACCGUUUCUUAAAUAGCUGAACAUCUGUAACUCCGAUUGGGAUGAAAUUGUAACACGAUUUUCCCCAAAGGAGAGCUCAAACCGAGUUACGGUUUGCCCACAUGGAUGCAUGGCACAGGUAGGGUCAUAGGGCCUAUCCAUGUGGGGCCCAAAAACGUCGCCUUCCGUUGAUUCUUCUGCCAAAAAUUUAGAUAUAUUCUAGAAAAAAUCCACACAAAAAUUCAGGUCAUUCCGGCUCUGUGAAUUUUUCACCUAAAAACCCAAAAGCAAUAAAAACAGGAAGUGGCCUUUGACACUGGGUUAAUACGUUAGUUCAAAUAAUAAUAAUAUAAAUUAUUACCAAAAAUAUGUAAAAGUGAUAUGAUAAUAGCAUGAAAUGAUAAAAAAAAUAUAGACACAUCGGAGACGUAUCAAUGACCCUCUGCAUCCUCCAGGAAUUUGGUUUUGUCAUCGUCGGGAACGGUGGGUGCGCGUAGUUGACUGCCAUGGCUACCAGCAUGCCGAAAGCUUCCAUUGCGACCUUGCCCACCUCCAUCCCGACGUGUUUGACCUUCCUCCCGCACGAUAGUUGUUCCCCACCUCGACUCUGCUGGAGGAAGAAGAGAGGGGCCUGAGAUCGACAAGGUUGCCUCGGUGCGAUGGUGCUUGUUCAUCCCACCGAUGCUAGCAGUCUUCCCCAAAGUUGCACGAUGAUGACAUUGAGGGUAUUUGUGGUGUGGAAAAGUGGGUGUGAUUUUUUGUGAAUUGAGGGUUUCACUAUACACGGGACAUUGGCGCUUGCGAAGGGAGCUUUGGCGAGUAUGCGGGAGCAUAGGCGCCUUGUGGAAUGGUGGUGAGCCGAGGAGGACGUAACGCAUGUGCGUCGAGUAGGCGAGACUGCAAUGGCGCGGGUGAGGACAACGAAGCGACAAGUGUGCACACGGUUACGCUCAUCCAUUCUCGUGUGACACUGCGAAUCUCACACACAUCAAACCAUGUGUCGUACUUCAUAGAGUACAUAUUUCCCACCACACACUCGUGUGCAUUGUCACGGUUUAUCGCACAACGGCUAUUUUGCAAAAUCUUUGUGCAAUUAACACCCGUAGUUAAAAUAAAUAUUCCUUUACACCCACCUACUCUGCAAUUGUGUGCCCCUUUUUCCUUCUUGCCGCCUCCAAAUCCACCUCCCCGCCAGCCUCCACUAUUCUUCAAACGAACUGUGGCCUCCGAAAGUCAAAUCGUGCCCGCACACGUGGAUGAGGCCGUUGUCGCGGCUGAAUGCGAUGCAGAUGCCCUUAUGACAUGCAUGGAUGAUGUUGCAACCAAUGUGCAUGCACCAAUGAGGUCGCGGUUGCGGCGGCAUGAGCGAAAGAGGACGCAGUUGUUGCGGCCACGCGCGGAUGAUGUUGUUUCAGCAGCGCCACAUGUGGAAGAGCCACGGCUGCUGCCGCACAUGCCGAUGGCGCCGUGGAUGCCGCCAUCGUCACGCUUGGUACCACCAUGCAGCAGGAGGAGUCCAAUCAAAGGGCUUACGAAAAUAUCAAAGAUAUGGUGUUUGCCGAAAAGAAAGCCGAUCCCACCUUCCAAGAGGUUAUCUUGAAGUGGUUAGGAGUUAUUUCAACGCAAAGGCCAUCGAGCUUGAGGAAGCACCGACAAUGAAAAUCUCUGAUUACCAGUAUUUCAACAAGUGCUCCUCCGGCGACGAGGAUGAGUAUCUCAAUAUCCAUAGUUUAAUGUCCCCUACUUUAAAUGAUUAUGCAACGAGAUAUGCAAUAUGAUGUUUAGUUACUUAUGUAAUGGAUGUUUAGUUCGGUUAUACGACGAGUUGUGCAAUAAUGUUUUAAGUAUGUUGUUGUUCUGCAAAUAAAGCAAUGUUGUUGUUCUGCACACAGAGCAAGUCACAUCUCAUAUGAUCCACAUGACGAAACCGUGUGCGAUGGUUCACAAUAUCUUUAAUCGUCGUGCCUAGCAAAACACACAAUUCUCACCACACACUCGUAUGCGCUGUCACGAGUUAUCUCACACGAGUUGCCUUUAGGAAACCGUGUGCGGAACUUCUCACGCGUCAAUAUAUUAUGUAACAUGUGUCAUGCUCUCCAUCAUCGCACAUAAUUCAUUUAUUUCAAACAUUGCCACGCAACGCACACGAUUCAAACAGUAGAAUUGUGUUCAUUAUCACGACUUGUCGCACAAGCAUCUGUUGAUCAAGUUGUGUGCCCUUUAUCACACGUUGUUCCCUUUUCAUAAUCAUGCCCAAUGGAUCAGCCAUCGCACAUGUCUCAUUUUCUGGCACACAAUUUUUUUUUUGAACAUGUGUAAUUCCUGCAUCCCACGUAGUUCAACAUCAGGGAGAUGGGGUUGUGAUUGGCGUGUCUUAAUAGCAUCAUUCUGCACCAGUGACCGGAUGAGGGGAAACAUAGUUUUUAUAGGGCGUCUCAACGCGACUGCUCACUCAACUUCGACUACAUCCUCGAUGUCUAUCGGCCUGCUUUGGCUACUACGCUCUAUGUCGGACACCACCAAGCUGAAGAUGUUUGUUGCGCUGGAGUUUUUGGUGCCCUCGUCUGUCAUGAGAGCAAGUACAUUAACAGGCUUAUAACCUGCUUACAUGGCAAUUUAGCCUGUGAAGAAGAGGGACAUGAAAAAUUAAAUGAAUGGACUCUCAUGCUGUCAUGCAAGAGUCUAGCUAUAUGCAGAUUCCUAGGUCGAUACAACAAAUAUGAAAAAAGAGAUAUAGAAAAGGUGAGAAAAAGUAGUACUCUUGUAGUCAAUCUUAUAGCUAACCUUGUUGUAUGUGGCUAUAAGUGGUGGUUAUAUCUGACAUAGCAAUAUUAUAUAGCCAGCAGUUGGCUAUACUAUUAACCAUGCUCUGAACUCUCUCUUCUGACAUAUGUCAUUGGUCCACAUACGCGUGUGCUAGAUGCUCCUGAUCUGUCGUAUGUGAUUUGCCAUGUCCGUAAUCUUGUGAUGAUGCUAAUUUGGAUGAAGUUUAUGCAUGCCCCUUAACCACACAGACAAAGCAUCGAUCGUCAGCCUAAUUACAAAGCACGGUGAGAGGGACCUGCCCUUACAGGCCAGAGUGGCACGCAGCAGCAGCCACUACUCCACUCCACUCCAUCCCUGGGAAUGCUCUUUCCUUCUUUUGUUUUCUUCCAUGUAUUGCGAUGAGAAUGGAAUCGGAGUCGGAGAGCCAUGUAUAUGCCCAUUACCAUCAGUAGAAUAUGUUCCAACCGACAACUGCCAUCUUCCCCGGCCUAUGCGCCUAUAUAAACCAGUGGCACCCGGCUCUGUUCUUCCCCACGACACACACAGACAGCACCUGCAGCUGCGUCCCACCGCAAAUCCUCCAACUCCACUUCCUUCUCGUGGCGUGUCUUUCCGGCCGGCAUCCCCUAGCCCAGCCUACCUCGCUCCAAUUACAUCAGCCGUGUCUCCAUUUGACCAUGGCUAACUCGCUGCUCGACUCGCCGCCGCAGUUCCCUGCCGCUGGCCCUUGGGGCUCUCUGUUCGCCGUCCAGGAACCCGGGAAGCCUCGGCGUGUGUCGGUGGCGCUACCGUUCGCUCCCAAGAAGAUGCCAGCGUACCGGUACGGCAUGAAGCGGAACCUGGAGAUGUGCACCGAGGCGCUCGGGUGCGAGACCGGUGGCGUCGACCCAGCCGCUGACGACGCCGACGAGGGCGUGGAGCGGAAGAGGAAAUACAGAGAGGAGGAGGAGGAGAUCAAGGUGGAGCGAACGGAGCGGAGGGCGCGCGUGCUGCCGCCGCCGCUGACGACGCUCGCUGCUGGCGCGACCCGCAUGCGCAUGGUCCACGAGCGACGCGGCGGGCGGCUGGAGGUGUACGCGGUACGGGCCUCCGGAAUGGAGGCCGAGCGGAGCGGCGGGCGUCUUCGGCUCCGCCUCCUGCCCUGCGCCGGCUGCAAUGCCGCCGCAGCGUGCAGCAGCCAACAAGAACCGCAAGAAGCAGAGGAAGAUGAGACAGAGGAGGUUGAUCAGCAGCGGCAGGAGGAGUGCGUGGUCCCCAAGUACGUGCGCCGCGAGCGGUGCCUGAAGGUAGAGAGUGGCGCCACGGCGGCGAGGUGCAGCAUCAAAUGGGAGCAGGAGCAGACUGCCGCCUUCUGGGUGGCCACCACCUGAACUACAACGGAUUUUUUGACACGUCUCAUGGCUGAAUCAACUAAGCCUUCUUCUUCCAUCUUCAGAUCUGCACUUAGAACGGAUAGUAGGACUGGGAGAUGCUAGUGAUGAUCUCGAAUACUUUCGGUCUUCGAUUUCUUUCGGUUACCUCUCAUCUUUAGUUUCCUUCCUGCCUACUAUCUUCGACCAAGCCCGCCUGAUCAAACUGUUCUUAUUAUGUCGCUGCUGAUUGCAGUGGCACACUUUGUACAUAUAGAAG